GUUAUAAUGGAAGUCAAUUAUGGGAUACUUGUUUUGCUGUUCAAGCAAUUAUUUCAACAAACCUAGGUGAAGAGUAUGGUCUGACUUUAAGGAAGGCACAUCAAUUCAUAAAAAAUUCUCAGGUUCAUGUUGCUAUUGAAGUUUGAUGUCAUAAAUCACCUACAUAUGUUAGCAGUUGUCCAUAAUGAUUUUACUCAACUAUUCCUACUUUGUUUUCAAGGUCUUAGAAGAUUGUCCUGGAGAUCUGAAAUUUUGGUAUCGUCACAUUUCCAAAGGUGCUUGGCCAUUCUCAACUGCUGAUAAUGGAUGGCCCACCUCUGAUUGUACAGCAGAAGGAUUGAAGGUAACAACUGAACUAACUCAAAAUAAUUGUUAUACGGACACUUUUAUUGUUUAUUUCUCUUGUGCAGGCUAUUCUAUUAUUAUCUAAACUUCCAUUGGAAACAGUUGGGGAACCAUUAGAUAUGGAGCAAUUGUUUGAUGCUGUAAAUGUUAUCCUUUCAUUACAGGUAUGGACAUAUUGAGUGGGUAUAGGUAUGGGUGUUUUUGCAUUUUAAAAUUAGGAUUUUUGGAAAGUGCAGAAUAUAGUCUAUAUUCACGGCAGUGGACAAAUAACUUUGUAUGCAUGGUUCGGAGUAACUUUAUAGACAUAGAUGCCUCUUCUAUACAAAGCUUUAUGCAUUCUGAAAAACUGCACAUAAAAAGGGAUUUGAGCGAUUUUCAAAUAUCUUCCAAUUUCUCUCCUGCCAAAUUGUUCAAAAAGGAUACAAAAGGGCAGCCGACACUCUCUUAUGUUCCUUUCUGACAUAGAGUCCAUUCCUACUUAACAACAUUGGUGUUGUUGAAGAGUGGAUCAUGCAAUCUAUCCCAAACCACUGAAGGUAUUAUUUUGACCUGUUCUUCUCUGUGCAGUUCUAAAAAAUUUAUUAUUGCCUUAAAAGUUCUAGGCCACAAAGCUAUUCCAAUAAUUAUAUAAAUUCAGAUCAGAUUUUACAAUACUUGUAUACUACAAAUUUAUGCUUGUUGGCUGAAACUUGUUUUUGAAUCUUGCUAGCAUACCUAGAAUGGGAUUCUCAACUCAAGUUUUGUGUUGAAGAUUUUUACAAGUGUGUGCUUUGGGAACCAGUUAUAAUUCCUUGUUCAGCCUGUUCUCCCGUCUUUUCGGAUUAUCAAUAUUUAAGAUUCCUGCUGUCUGACUUCAGGCAAGUGUUGUACUGAUUUUAUAGAUUUUUCCUUGGAAUCUCAACAGAAUGCAGAUGGUGGUUUUGCAACAUACGAAUUGACAAGAUCUUACCGAUGGGUGGAGGUAACUUUGAUAAAUACUGAUGCCAUUUUAUUAUUUUCACCUGAAGUUGCCCCAUGAAUGUGGCAUAUACAGUCCCAUGACACAUUCCCUCCCAAUAAGUAGGAAAUUGGGUUCCAAAAUGAAUGUCUGCAUUAAAAGCAUCCAUGUGAAACGUUUCACUGAGUAUGCUAGAUUUCUGGCUCUCUUUUUGUGAUUUCUGGUAAUGAAUUCAGUGUUCUAUAAAUUCUGUUUUUUUGCUCAUUCUCAAUCAUUCUUCCUUUUAGCAAUGAAUCUGCUUUUCCAUCUUACUGAUGAUUAUUGAACCAGGGUAGAAAAAAUUUCACAAACUAUGUGGACCUUAAAGAAAAAGAAAGUUCCAUAUACCAUAACUAGGGAACAACAUUAUGUAAACUAUUGUAUCCUUAGUUCUCAUGGAGAAGCCUUCUCCACAGUUGAUUCUCUAAAUAAAAUGAGUUGUCAUCUAGUUUUAUUAUUGAAAAGAAGGUGAGAUGGCCUUGUUAUUGAAAUCCAAAGAUAGAUGGAAUAGGAUUUUUUUUUUCUUUCCCUCUUUUUCCUAUCUUUUUUUCCUUUCUUUCUUCUUUUCUUGAAGGCAAAGUUGCACUUGAAACAACACCUUGAUUUGCUUUAUUGAUUGAGGAAGGUCAUAUUACAUACAGCAGCUCCAUCGCUACUUGAUAAUAUGUGUGGGAUUGGAACCAUUAAGUGGUAUGUCAUACUCCGGAAUCUGCUAUAAUUUGGAUAGACUUGCUUAAGUCACUUAGGUCCUUUUUGGAUUGGUUUUUGGUGAAUCAAAAGUUCUUCUUUAAGUCCAGAAAAGAGCUUAUAUGUGUUUGAAUAAUUUUAAUAAAGCUGCUUCUAACUUUAGGAGCUUAACAGAAAGCAAUGGCAAUGUCACUUCUUAUAAAGCCAUUCUUUUAAGCUUAUAUUGUACGCUAUUUUAUUUUUAAUGAAACUUUCAUGAUUCCAAGAUUGCCAUCUUAAAAUCACGGGUUCAGCAUCUCGCUAAAGCUAAAGCAAGAAACUAUCCCAAUGAGGCCUUAGAUAGAUACUAUAUGUCAUAAGCUUCAUUUGAAUAAUAGAAUGUCUUCUUUCCAAUAUUGAAGGAGAACGGAUACAUUUUAUAUUUGAACUGUGAAUUUAUGUUAAUUAGAAGCUUGGGAGCUAAAUAGCAUCUGGCACUCCUAGGAGGGCAUGGCAAUGAAAGGAGUCCAAAGGAACUAAAGAUAAAUUGAGAUAGAACCUAGGAUGGCCUCGCAAUGAUGGGAGUCCAAUGGAACUAAAGAUAAAGUGAGAUAGAACCCAGGAUGACGUCACAAAGACGGAAAUCUGAAGGAAUUAAUUGAGCAAUGAUCUUGUUAAGGUUUGUGAUAGAACUAAACAUUUUAGAAAAUUGGAAGUGUAUGUGAAAACUACAUUUUUCAACAUUUCUUUUUCUUAAUUUCUUUGCAUGUUUGCACAUUUAGAAUGUUCCAAAUAUUUGCUAUGCUGAAGCUGAAGAACUAAACCUCAUGUGGGCAUACAACACCAUUAUUCUCCUUAUUUCCAUCAACACGUGAUCUUAUCUUUGCUUUAUUAGAUAAAUUUGUGGUGCUAUCAAGGCCCUCCACAUCUUAAAUUGCAGUUUAUUUUAGUUGUGUUGGGAAUAAAUUCAAACUAUUUGUUCUUUUUGUUCUAUCUUUCAGUUAAUCAAUCCUACUGAAACUUUUGGUGACGUUGUCAUUGAUUAUCCGUAAGAUUUUAAGCACUCUUCAGUUUCUAAUGUUUACGCAUAAUUCUAGUUUGUUUUCACCCAUCUAGAAAAAAAGAAAGAAAAAAAGAAUAAAAAAAGAGGUGCGUUGUUGGGGGAAAGGGGUGGGUGGGGUUGUGGGUUGUCUUGUAGUUCAAUUUGAUGGAGAAAAUCUUAUAUGCUGUUACCUGGGUGGCACUGCAGAUGUGUGGAGUGUACCUCAGCUGCAAUUCAAGCAUUGAUAUCGUUCAAGAAAUUAUAUCCUGAGCAUAGAAGGCACGAAAUAGAAAAUUGUAUUUCUAAGGCUGCAAAGUUCAUUGAAGACAUACAGGCUCCUGAUGGCUCUUGGUUUGUUUUAAUUUAUUUAAUUAAUUAUUUUUUACAUCUCUACACAAGCCCUUGAAAUUGUUCUUUUGCUAUAGCUGCAUGCUCUUGCUAUUUUGUUAUAUCAAUCUCUCAGCUUAAUGUAAGCAGUAUCUAAUAUUUGUAGGGGUUAUUGGGCAGUCAUUAUGUGUGUGCAGUUGAUUUUGAGUAUUUUUGACAGGUAUGGAUCGUGGGGAGUCUGUUUCACUUAUGGUGGGUGGUUUGGAAUAAAGGGAUUGAUAGCUGCUGGAAACACAUACAGUAAUUGCCCCUGCAUUCGUAAGGCUUGUGAUUAUCUGCUGUCCAAGGAGCUUGCUUCAGGUGGUUGGGGGGAGAGUUAUCUGUCAUGCCAGAGCAAGGUUUUGAUUUCCAUUCUAUGUGGAAUUUCUUUCCUUUAUAGUUCUAGUGUGCCUCAUGAUGUUUGUUCUUAAUAAAUGCUCCUUAUAAAUCUGCAAAGUCGAGAUUUUAUGAAGAUUGAUAUCUUCUUUGUGGUAGCUCAUCAUAGAAUUUAUUGCAGAGCACCAAUAGUGCACCGUUUCUUUGGAAUUAAGGAGAGUUUUUUCCCAUAGAUCUUACUUGCAUUGAAUAACAAUAAGAACCUUGAUUUAUCAUGUAACUUGACACAAGUUAAUGAACUUCAGUAAGAUGUGUUUGGCUGCAUUCUAACCAAUUUUAGGAAUAGCCUAAUCCAAUUCACAUUCAUUUAUUAUCUCUGUUCGUCAUCUAUCUUGAUACUAUUUAUAAUAAUUCAUAUCUACUGCCUUGUAUGGUUGAUUAUUCUAAUGCCUCUUUAAACAGGUGUACACAAAUCUCCCUGAAGAUAAGCCAAAUAAUGUCAAUACUGCUUGGGCUAUGUUGGCUCUCAUUGAUGCUGGACAGGUAAAGUUGGAGACUAGUGGUGCUAUUUGAUGCUAAUUUAGUGUCCUCAAGGUUUUUUAUAAUGUGUAGUUGAUUAAAGCUUCCUAUACCAUUUGUCUCUGUUUCUCCAUAUCUGGUAUGCUUGUUCUUUGUUGGUGAAAAGAAAAGAAUCAAUCUAUGAUAAUUUCAGUGGGAGAGGGUCUAAAAUAUCUAAAUUAUUGUAUUUAGCUCUUGGGCUAUGCUGUAGGAUACCUCAUUGCAAGAUUUCCCUCUUUCUAAUAAUUUGGAAUAUUUAUAUUUAAAGUUGGCUUCUGCGUUUCGUGUUUUGUGCACUAAGGCAGGCAUUUGGAUCUUUUUCUUUUUGUUCACUGAUACAGAUUUUGUGGUGAUUUUCACCUAAGAUGCAUACAUUUGUUCUGAAGAAUGCACCAAAAAGAAAGUAGCAGUUAUUCUUUCAUUAAACAUUCUUUGCUCCCUUUUGGCCUCAACUCUUGAGUUUCUCUUUCUUUUGCUUGCAUGUUCAUAGAAUGCACCAAAAUUAUCCAGACUAGGUUAGUUCUUUUUCUAUUUUUUGUCACUCCAGAUUGUAAUCUUCUUCAAGCAAUUGUAUGUUCUUCUAGAUUUACACCAUAAAUCUUCUCCAAUCAUUCUGGUGAAACAUGAGAUAUUGUGAAAGUUCCCAUAAAUUGACUGAAAAAUGAGUUCCCUAUCAGAAGGUACCUUUGGGAGAUAUGCAAGCAUGGAAAAUUACCAUAUUCCAACGGUACCUCCUUUGUUUAAAGGAUAUGGGGGGUUUCUCCGCCCCCUUCGUUUAUAUGUCAAGUCUGCUUUUCUGCUUUUCCAUGACUGGAUAUGGUUUCAGGGAUUUUGUGAAUUCUUAGUUGUUUUUAACUUUAGACAAUUUGUUGCAUUACUUUCUAUUUUUUGUUGUUCUUUUCCUUCUAAAAGGCUGGGAGAGAUCCAAACCCACUACACCGUGCUGCAAGGAUAUUAAUAAAUUCCCAAAUGAAGAACGGAGAUUUUCCUCAGGAGGUAACUCUUAUAACUUCCAUUUGUUUCUUGUAAUUUUUUUUUUUUGUUUCUUUUUAUUUUAUUUUAUUUUUAAUUUUUUCUGUUGCAUGCAAAAACUAAAAUUAGGUGGUCACCUAAUGGCUGGUUCCCCCUGUAAGAAAUUGAAAUUAUUAAGAAUAGGAAGUGAAGGGCUUAUCUGUAGUUAUUCAUGCUCCAUGCUUCUUCCCUGAUUUUCAAAAUUUUUUUCCUUUAUUUUCUGUAAUUUAUCUGCACAAGCCAAAUGCCUUUUCUCUGGCAUUCUUUUUUCUUUUUCAUGAACUGGAAACAAGGUUCUAAAAACUGCAUCCAAAGAGGCCUUUGUCAUUCUGUUAAAGUUGCUUGGUAAAAGUUAAUGGAAUAAUUUGACGAUUGAUGGUAAUAAUUCAAAGACAUUGUAACAGUAUCAGGCUUAUGAGCAUUUAAUUGAUCCUUUGUAGCUCUUGAAAACGUACACCUUAAAGUUUUCUUUUUGACAUUUCUUCUCAAAUGUGAAAGACUUAUUAUGAGAAUCAUCAGGAAAACCCCAGGAAGCUCGAAAACAAAUGCUUGGAAUUUGGAUAAGAAAGUUGAUCUGCAACCCCAUAAAUAUUUUAGUAAUUUGUUUCAAUUAUAUAGAUUACAUGUCUGGUUAGAAAAUGAGUAUGCAUGCUGAUUCCCAUUGCAACAACUUUGCUGACUCUCAUGCCUGAAUAGGUCUAAUAGCUUCAACAUUUCUUCAUACAGGAAAUCAUGGGAGCCUUCAACAAGAACUGUACAAUCAGCUAUUCUGCAUAUCGGAACAUUUUUCCUAUAUGGGCACUUGGAGAAUACCGGUCUCGGGUACUUCAUUCUUCCUGAAAAUGUAAUUAUAACGUUCCAAAGAAUGAGAUGCAUGCUUGUCUACUGAGUGUAGCCCUUGUCACGUUUAUAGACAAUAAGGGUCCCGGCUGGGACUUUUCUGCUUUGUGUUGCUUGAAUUUUCUGGGAAAAGAAACAUUAUUGGGUUUAAGAUGAUAUGUGGCUAUAGGGUCUAAGAUAAUCUGUAAGAAACCUAAGCUUAUCUUGAUUUUGAUCCAUGGAAAGGCAUGUAUGCUGGGGAGGCCCUAGCCAUUAAAAUUUAUGUAAUUGACAAUCGCGGAAAGGGUUGUGUGUAGUUUGAGUCAAAAGAAUUUCAUAGGUCUAAAAUGUAAAAAUCAUGCAUACUUUAAAGGAGUUCAUUACAUCUAUUAUGAUGUUAGGAACUUCUCUUCCCAAUCCCCUUCUUGAUAGAUAUUGUCUAUUUUGAAUUUGGAUUUUAAAAUGUGUUUGUAAAGGGGAAUUCUAUUUAUAUAGUAUCAAAAAUUUCUCUUUCUAGUUAAUGUGGGAUUUCAUAUUAAACAGAAUUGAGGGUAUUACUGAGUAAUGUUAACAUUGAUGGUAAUUCAAUGCUUAAAAAAUGAGUGUGUAUGCAAGUUUUGCAUAGGUAUAGUGCACGAAGGGUUAACAAUAUUAGGCCAUAAGGCAUAGUCGAUGGGUAACAAAUGAAUACUUUCUUAUUACCCUUUGUCCGUCUUAAGGGAUGAAGGAGGUUAGAUUAAUUGAAAGACGGUUCUUAUUUUAAAAAUAAAAGUUAGGCCUACGUUUCAAGGUGGAGAAGAGAUAGAAAUAAAAUAUCUCAAGUCGAUGCUCAAGUACAGAAUAUUAAUAUAACCUGUCACAUACUCUCAAGUAAUUCAAAUUAUUCAUGUGAUAAAAGUUAUUUUUUUUUUUCUUUUUUUAAGUUAGAAAAAAAGUUUUUUAAAAAACAAGGCAUAAAACUUUUGGACAUAUAUGAAAAUUAGGGUUUGUGAGGAAGUAGGCGAAUUGGGAGGUUUUGUGUAGGAAAAGGCAUUGGAUCUACUACAAUCUUCUCAUUCGGAGUGGGCUUCUCCCAUUUGAACCUCUUCACCAAAUGAUGCAUGAACAUAAGUAAUCUCAAGUUUCUCCCACUUGAACCUCUUCACCUAAUGAUACAUGAACACAAGUAAUCUCCAAAUGGCCGUACUCUUUUCCAAGGCACAUCCAAGGUCCUCCUCCAAAUGAUGGGUUGAAUUUUUUGGGGUUUGGGAAGUAUUUUAGGUUAUAUUUGGUUCCCAAGAAGUAUUAAGGAAAGAAAAAAAAAAACAAUAAGAAAAAUAAUUUUUUCAUGUUUGGUUUCAUUAUAAAAAAAAUGAAAGAAAAUAAAAUAUAAUUAAAAUUAGUUAAAAAUUUAUAUAAAAAAAAUAAAUUAUUGACUUUAGAUCUAUUUUUUUUUUCUUCACUUUUUUCUUUUCUUUACAUUCUUCUUUUCUAUUUUCUUUUUCAUACAUUUUCCCUCACUCGGGAACCAAACAUGCUAAAGAAGUAAACGUGGGAAUAAACAAAUAGCAAGACUCAACCACAACUCGUUUGACACUAUAUUAAGUUGUUGAUUAGCAUUAUGUUUGGUUCCUAAAAAGUAUCGAGGAAAAAAAUGUUUUGAAAAAUGAUUUUAUCAUGUUUAGGUUCACUACGAAGAUAUGAAUAAAAAAAAAUAUGAUUAAAAUUAAUUAAAAAUUUGUGUAAUUUUAAAUUAUUUGAUUUUUUUUUUUACAUAAAAGAGAAAAAGAAGUAAAAUGAAUUUAAAAUAACAUAUAAAAAUAAUUUAUUUACUUCAAUUUAUUUUUCUUUUCUUCUAUUUUCCUCUUCAUUUUCUUUUCUUUGUAUUUUUGUAUUAAAUUUUCUAGGAACCAAGCAUAGGCUUAGGGUUUUUCGGCAUGUUGAAUUUAUACUGCAAUAUAAAUGCAUGGUAAUAGUUAUAUAAAUCACAAGUGAUAAAUAACUAAAUGAGGGAAUAAGCAAACAAAUAGAUUCAAAAUCGAAGCCCAUGGAAAUUAACCACCUCUUGUGGUACAUUACUAAGUUACUAAUUAAUGGAAGAACUAUUGAUAUAAAGUAAUGAUAUAUAUUGAGUUAAAUUAUUACAAAAUCAUAUUAGUAUUUCAUCAUAAUUACAUGGUAUGUUUAUAUAGAUCAUCAACAAUAGAUAAAUAAAUGAAGAAAUAAAUAAACAAUGAGACUUAAACUUAGGACUUGUAGAAAUCAAAUCUUAAUACUAUAUAUUUUAAGCUAGCAAUUCAUUUAGAAACUUAAGAUAUUAAGUAAUGAACAAAAAAUAUAUAUCAAACUAAUAUUAAUGAUAAUCACAUAGUUUUAUUUUACUUGAUGUAAUUUAACUAAGUGGUAAAGGUUACACAAAAUAUAAAUAAUCGAGAAAUAAAUAGACAAAAAUAUUCAAACCUAGAUCAGUAAAAACUAGAACACCUCUAGUAGAAUGUUGAGUCGCUUCUUAACCUAAAAAACUUAUUAAUAAUGCCUAUCUUCAAGACAUCAUCGCAUCAACAAGAUUCUCAUAGGAACUAGGAGGUGAACAAAGUGGCAGGACAACCUAGUUCUCGUCUUCAAUCUUUACAUUAGCACUCUUCAAAUCAAGAAUAAUCUUGUUAGAUAGAUCAAGAUGAUCCUUAAUUGUCAUGCCUUCACCCAUCUAAAGUUGAUACAACUUGUUUGUGAGAGACUUUGUCAUGUACAGACUUUCUAGUUUCAACCAAAUUCCCAAAAUAGUAGUUUUAUCUAAAACUUCCUUGAGAAUUUCAUCUCCCAUAUGACAAGAUGAUUGUAUCUUGCACUUUACUCAUCAAAUCUUUCAUCUCAUUUUCAAAUAAACUACUAGGCAAUUUGUCAAACCAUCUAAGAGCAUCUUCCAACCUUCGAUGGACCAGCAGUGUCCUCAUCUUAAUUCGCCACAAAUUGAAGUCAUUGUCUUCCGUGAACUUCUCGAUGUUAAACUUUGUAGUUGUCAUUUCAACCUUCCUUUCAUACCAAUUUGUUAUGAACAAAGUAAUAAUAACUCAGAAAAUAGCAGCAAGUCUGUUGAGAAAGAUUGAGAAUUAAUUAAAACCAACACAAACAAGUACACAUUAGACACAUAAUUUACGUGGUUUGGGUAAUAUCCAAUAUUCAUGAGCAGGCCCAGAUUAUUUCUUCAAUUAUUGAACUAGAAUUAUACAAAGUCUUUCCUUUUCAUAGUGUUUCCCAGAGAUUUUAAACACACCAAUCUCCCUUACUAAAAUUGAAAACUCUGAACGAAAAAAACUCUACAAUACAUCCAUCAAUUUUUUUUCCACAUUAUUAUAUGCUUUGAGAUCAACACCACCAGAGACAAAAUAGUUGUCUUUUCUUUAAAGAGAUAUAUUGCAGCACUGCGCACUGUGAUACAGCCAUCAUUGGAAGAAGACAAACCAGAGCUAGACCACAAGGGCUAAUGCUGAGAGAUAAUUAAACUUGUUGGCAGAUGGCCAAGACUUCNNNNNNNNNNNNNNNNNNNNNNNNNNNNNNNNNNNNNNNNNNNNNNNNNNNNNNNNNNNNNNNNNNNNNNNNNNNNNNNNNNNNNNNNNNNNNNNNNNNNUAUUUUAGAUUUAGAAGAAAAGGAGCCUUCAGCAAGUGAAUUAUAAGACAUUAAUCACGUAAGCAUGAUGUCAAUGAGAUCUCCUAGACAGAUUCCAAGAUUUCUGUGCUUUGAUUUUGGUAGAAUCCUAUCUUCUUAGAAAUGAAUUAGAAAAAGGGUUCACUUACCUGACCAAGUAUAAUUGUUUGUACCCGAUCUCAUUUCUUUGUAUUCUUGAAUUGUGAUUCCAUUUGUUUGUAUUUUCAUUUGACGGUUUAUAUCUUGUCAUAUACAUUCAAUGAUCCAAUCCAAAUUUAAAGUUGAUGGAUACCACCACGUAACUUAGAAAAAAAGCAUCCAAAUUAAUGCCUGUUCCAUUCUUGGUUAGUGUGCCGCGAGGUACUCCUGUGCUGCAUGUCUCCUUUAUUCAAUUAUGUUGCGAAGCUAUAUACAAAUGAGAAAUGAAGGGUAGUAUGUAGAUAUGAUUUCAGAGAAAGGACAGUUUUUUUGGAAGGGAGGGAGAGUUAGAAAAUGUGGAGGCUUAAGAUUGCAGAUGGAGGCAAUGAUCCCUACAUCUUCAGCACCAACAACUUUGUGGGAAGACAGAUAUGGGAGUUUGAUCCUGAUUAUGGAACCCCAAAAGAGCGAGCUAAGGUCGAAGCAGCUCGUGAAAAUUUCUGGAAAAAUCAGUUUCGGGUUAAGCCCAGCAGUGAUCUUCUCUGGUGAAUGCAGGUGAUCCCAUCUGUGUCAAAAUCUGAAAGAACACAUAGGAACAUGAAUAUAUAGUAUAUGUAGGGUAUGCAUGCUUAUGUGACUGAACCAAAGAAAUGGUUUAGCUUCAAAGAUUGUCUCCUUACGAGAGUAAGAGAUUUUACAAGACGAUGUAAAUGGUCUGGUCUGCAGUAUCUUUUUCUCUUGGGUAGAAUUCAACACUAAAAAGGUUAGACCUUAUUCUACUUCUUUAAUUAGUUAAUUUAAUGUAUUGAAGAAUAAUAUAAUGAGAAAGUGGCAAUUCAAAUUUGGGCAGGGUGAACACCUUGGGCUUAGAUUAAUUAAUUAAUCUUGUAGAGCUUAUGUCUUCAACUUCUUAUACAUUCUAUAUAUAUAUAUAUAUAUAUAUAACAUGUGAAAAAGUUGAAGAAAGAAACUGAAAAAAUAGAUGAAUUUAACAGAAAUAACUGCCAUAUUAGUCCAUGUAAUGUUAAGAAUCUUCUUAUAGAUGGAAAGAGAUAUAUAGAACAGCAAUUUUGGAGUUAAUUAGUGUAGAUGCUUUGUACAGAUUGUUAGGGUUAACUUCAGGCUGGACCCUGGGCCCAAAUCCAGCACAACCCAACUGAAUUGAAUUAGAUCUAAAGCCCAUUGGGUGUUGAGCUUGUUCUGGGCAGACAGGACUUCAGUGGUAACCCACCCAAAUUAAGUAUGAGUCCUGUGGCCGCCAGUACAGUACCUCCCUUUGGUUCAUGGAUAAAUACUUAAAUCAUCUGAAUGACUCUUUUACUUUGGUUAUCAUUAAAAGAGAUUGUUAGGACACUAGGACAUUCUCUAUGCUCGAUAUUAAUGGAAUAUGGAAGGUUUACUAGUCUCGUCAUGACUGAUCAUUAGUAUAAGAUAUAAGGUCACUGUUAAAACAUUUGAGUUAUCAGACAAGAUUUUAAUGGGCAAAGAUAAAGACAUAAACCUCUUUUAUUUUUUAAAUUGGGGAAAUAGAUAUGUAUUGAUGAAAGCUUGACCUACCAUCAAACGAGACUCACUUCCCAUUAAAUGAGGGUAUGAUACCUAUGGAAAGAAAAAAAUAUUGGGGAUAUCACUGUAGGGUGAUUUUGGGCCUGCUCAUCUCAAAGCCUAGCUUGAAGGGUGAAACUUUCCCUUACACUUAUAAAGAGUCACCCAAUUCCUUCUACAAGAGAUGUAGGUAAACCCAACAAGCUUUCCCUCACACAUUGGCCCCUUAGUUGGGAGACCAUCAACCUGAUAGUCCAAUAAUGAAAGGUGAGACAUUUUGUUUGAACAACCAAUUUUCCUAAAAGAUCAAACUUGUAGAAUUUGUAUCCAUAAUGUAUAUCAUUCACUCUAAUAAUUGUUACACCUAUCUUGAUUAUAUGAGCCCCUCCUAGCUUGGUAGAUGUUUACUAUUGAGGUUAAUAUACCUUUUCUUUUCUUUUCUUUUGAACUUUUUCUUCACUAACUCCCUCUUCAUUUGGCCAAAAAAAAAACCUUGCAGUUUUUGAGAGAGAAGAAUUUCAAACAAACAAUACCACAAAUGAAGGUUGGGGAUGGUGAAGAAAUUACAUAUAAGACAGCCACAACAACAGUGAGAAGGGCUGCAAAUUUCUUUUUUAGCCUUGCAGGCAAGUGAUGGCCACUGGCCUGCUGAAAAUGCUGGGCCUUUGUUUUUGCUUCCUCCCUUGGUGAGUCUACUGAUUAUUCAAAAUUUUAAUUGGAAUGACAUUUGACAGGCAUAACAGUGACGAUGGACAAACCCCAUCUCUUGACUUCAACUUUUUCCCCUAAAAAAUGCAGGUAAUAUAUCUAUAUAUUACAAGGCAUCUUGAUCCUAUAUUCCUUGGUGAAUAUCGUAAAGAGAUCCUUUGCUUCAUAUACUGUCAUCAGGUACACACUUUUGGAACCAUAUUGUUCCAACCUGAUAAUAAACUACAUGGGAGUUGUUUCCUUAUGGACAAUACAUAAUUUUUCAAUUUUUAUUAACCAUCAAAGAGGUUCCUGUAUAUUGCAGAAUGAAGAUGGCGAAUGGGGAUUUCAUGUUGAAGGACACAACACCAAGUAUUGUACAGUAUUCAACUACAUUUGUAUGAGUAUAAUAAGAGAAGGAUCGGAUGGUGGCCAAGGAAAUGCCUGUUUAAGAGGGCAAAAAUGGAUCCUUGACCAUGGUGGUGCAACCUCCAUACCCUCUUGGGGUGUAGGUUUUAGAAUCAAGAAGUGUUGGAAGCAAGAACCAAAAACUAUAUUUGAGCGAAAAUGUCUGCACUUAUUGAAUGAUCAAUGCAACAUUUAUACACAAGUUUGUAACAUAAAACAACAGAAAAGCAGCAAAAAUAGCUAUACGUUGGGACUAACAACUAUUUCCUAUAAAAAAAACAACAACAUAACAAUUAUUAAGCUCCAUGAAACUCCGUCAGCUUCAUUGACUAAGUUUUUCAUGGUUGCAGCCUCAAUUUUAGCAUCUAUUCACACCUCAAUAGCCUUCUUAACAAAUUCUUAAGCUCUCUCAACUCAAACAACUUUCACAUGACUUCCAACAUGUUUGUAGCUACUAAGGCAUUUUGCUCAACACUCCUCUUUGACUUGGGAGCAACAAACUCCAAGUGUUUUUUUGAGAAAUUCAAAUCUAGCUCUCAAUAGAGCUUUUGUUAGAAUAUCAACAUUUAGUACUUCUGUUUUACAAUGUACCAAAUUUACUUCUCCAUCCUACUGUAUUUCCCUUAAGAAAUAAAACUUGAUUUUGAAAUGCUUUGUUCUACCAUGGAAUACUGGAUUACUUGCAAUUGAAAUUGCAGCUUGAUUGUCAACAAAGACUUGUGUGCUUCCAGUUUGCUCCAUGUUUAAGUUUGUUAGCAUCUUUCUUAUCCAAAGUGCUUGAUUUGCAGCUAUAGCAGCAACAAUGUACUCUACUUCAGUUGUGGAUUGUGCCACGAUAUCCUAUUUUUUAGAGCACCAAGAGAAAAAACCUGAACCAAAACUAAAGCAAUAACUUGAUAUGCUUCUCAUAUCAUCAACGUAACCAACCUAAUCACUAUCAGAAAAUCCAUGAAAAUGAAAAUUCUGCACCUGCUUGAACUUGAUGUCAAAGUCAAUAGUGCCUUUUAUAUAUGUCACAACAUGUUUUGCUGCUUGCAAGUUAAUUUCACUAGCAUAAUGCAUGUAUCUUGAGAGUAGACUUACAACAUGUACUAGAUCUAGCCUUGUUAUAGUCAAGUACAUCAGACAUCCAAUCAUGCUUCUAUAUAACUCUUCAUAUACUCUUUCAGCACCAUAUUCUUUGCAAAACUUUUCUUUUUGAUUCAUAGGUGUGGUUGUAGGCUUGCAUUCCUCCAUCUUGAACUUUUUUAGAAUUUCCUUUGCAUACUUCUGCUAACAGAUGAAUAUCUCAUGGUGAUUCUGAUGCACUUCCAUUCCUAGGAACUAAGACAUGUCUCCAAGAUCUGUCAUAUCAAAGACCUCAUCCAUUUUAGCUUUGAAUUUAUCCAUUAAACAUUAAUUGCUCCCUGUUACAAGCAAAUCAUCAACGUAUAACGAAACAAUAAGCAUGUCAACAUUAAUUUUUCUAAUAUAAAGUGUGGAUUCACUCUGAUUUAUUUUAAACCCCAGACUAAGCAUAUGUGCAUUAAUCCUGUUGUACGAAGCUCUGGGGGCUUACUUUAAGCCAUACAAGGCUUUCUUUAGUUGAUAAAUCUUGUUUUGUUUCCCUUUUACUGCAAAUCCUUCAGGUUGCUCCCCAAAGAUUUCCUCCUUAAGGUAGCCAUUUAGGAAGGGUGAUUUUACAUCUAGCUGAUAGAUUUUCCAACCUUUUUGAGCAGCCAAAGCUAGCAGCAUCCUUAUUGUAUCUAACCUAGUUAUAGGUGCAAAGGUCUUUAAAAAAUCCACACCGAACAUUUAAGCACAACCUUUGACAACCAGCUUGGUUUUAUGUUUGUUUACAAAACCAUCGAAAUUAAGUUUGGUUCUAUAAACCUCACUUGACACCAAUGGUCUUUUUAUGUAUUGGUUUGUCAACUAGCUUCCAAGUGUUGUUUUUCUCUAUCAUGCCGAGCUUCUCCUACAUUGCAACCCUCCAUUUUUUAUCCUUAGUAGCUUUAGUAAACCCUACAGGCUCAAAUAUAGUCACAUUACACCUUUGAUAAAUAUUAGAAAGUGAUCCAAUGCCUCUUACAGGAAUGCCAUCAAUAUUUUCAUCAAGGAACUCAAGAUUCUGAUUUUUUUUAGCAUCUCAACUCCAUUUAUCAUCCUCCAUGAAUUAAACAUCUCUGUUGACAAUGACUUUGUCAGCAUGAGGCAUAUAAACUCAUAUAAACUCUAUAAGUCUUUGAUUGGCUAUUGUAUCCUACGAAGAUCCUAGUUUCUGUCUUUUUAUCCAACUUGUCUCGUUUCACUAGAGGCACAUAACAAAAACAAAGGCAACCAAAUGUUUUUUAAGUUUAACAAUAGAGGUUUAUAUCCAAACCAAGCCUCGAAAGGAGUUUUUUUUUUGUAAAGCUUUGGUUAGGAGUCUAUUUAGUAGAAACACUGUAGUGUUUGCAGCUUCAGCCUAGAACUUUUUUGGUAGCCCUUUAUCAUGCAAGAGACAUCUUCUUAUCUCCAUGAUAGUCCUAUUUUUCCUCUCUACCACUCUAUUCUGUUGUGGUGUGUAAGGUGCAGUCAGUUCGUGCUCUAUGCUUACUUCUUCAUAGAAAUUGUUGAAUCUUUCAAAAGUAUAUUCAGUGCCAUUAUUUGUCCUUAUAACUUAUAUAAUGACACCACUUUGGUUUCUACUAGGGCCUUGUACUUCCAAAAUACACCAGCAAUCUCAAAUUUAAAAUUUAGGAAAAAAAUCCAACAAUAUCUGGUAUAAUCAUCUAUAAAAACAAUAUAGUACUUAUUGCCCUUCAGAGAUGGUGUUCUCUGAAGUCUUCCAACAUCAGUGUGUAUAAGUUACAACUCGUGUCAUGCUCUCCAUGUAAAUUUAUGUGGGAAAGGAAGCCUGGAUUGUUUUCCAUAUUGAUAGGCUAUAUAGGUAGGACGAUUUUGCUCCAAGUCAGGUAGACCUACUGCAAGUUGAUUCUUCUUCAUGUAGAGCACUCCAUUAUGAUGAAAGUGCCCCAAUCUCUUAUGCCAUAAAGUUGUGACAUUAAUUUAUUGAGAAACAUCAACUUGCUAUUCCUCAAGCAAAUUCAAGACACAUCUUUUGCCUCUCAUCUUGAUCUUGAACACAUCUUUUCCAUUUGCAUCCUUGAUCAUAUAGAACUUGUCCUAAAAUAACACCUUGAAACCUUUCUCAAGCAAUUGCCCAACACUCAAGAGAUUUUGAUCAAUAUCAGGAACAAACAAAACAUUAGGGAUGAGUUUUAGAUUUGAGAGACUUUCAAUGACAACAGUCCAUUUGCCCUUUAUUGAGAUGUAUUCCCCAUUUACAAUUCUUACUUUGGAAAUGGUAUUUUUGUUAAGCUCCCUGAAAAGUUCUUGAUCAUAAGUCAUGUGGUUUGUGCAACCACUGUCUAUGAGCCAGCUUUUUUAUGUGUUCUUGCUAGCAAAAUAGGUGGCAACAAACAACUGUUCUUCAUGAUAUUGAUCAGCAGCUGCAGCCUUGAUCUCUCAUUCUUGUUGUGUUUUGCAUAGCCUCUCUAUAUAACCUAAUUGACCACAAUUGUGGCACUUGACAUAUGGCCUCCACCAGCACUUUUGUGGAGGAUAAUUUGUUUUUUUGUAAUGAGGGUAGGGUGGAUUAGCUCUUUUAUGAUUCUUUUUGUUAUUGCUUGACUUGUUAUUUUUCUUUUUUUUCUUUCUAUCUUUGCCAGUAUCAUUGUUUGGUGAUUUGGCUUGGAAUGCUCCCUCAAUAGAUCCUUCCUAUCUCAUUAUUCUCCUUUGUUCCAAGGCCUACAAAGCAUUAACAAGUUCUACCAAAGAUAUACUUGACAUAUCUUGAGAAUUUUCCAAGGAAGAGAUUGUGGCUUCAUAUUUUUCCGGCAGAGUUACUAAGAUUUUUUGAAUUAUUCUUUCAUUAGAAAAUUCCUUACCAUACAAUCUCAUCUUGUUUGCCAUGCUAAACAGUUGUUUAGCAUAAUCUUUGAUAAUUUGAGACUCUUUCAUUUUGCUCAUUUCAAAUUCUCAUAUUAAAUUCCUUACUUGUAUAUCUGCACCUUUUCAUUCCCCUGAUACUCAUUUUUUAAAUACUCCUAGAUUGCUGUAGCAGACUCCAUUUGCAUGAUUUUGGUGAGAAUAGAAGGUGAAAUUGUAGAGAAAAGACAAGCCUUGUCCUUGGGUUUUCUUGUUUUUCUUUCCCUAUGAAUCUUCAUUUGAUUGAUACUUAGAUUGUCUCCAAGUGGUGGUACUUCAUAAUCUUCUUCUACGGCCUCCCAAAGAUCCAAAGUUUCAAGGUGGACUGUCAUUCUAAUAGCCCACGCCUGAUAAUUAUCACCAUUGAAAACUAGUACUGACAAAAAGCUUACAUCUCCGUCCAUUUGCUACAAAAUGAUAGUUACAAGCUGUUGAAGGUUGUGUGUUUUGUUGGCUUUGGAGUUUAGUAUGCGUGAAGGUAUUUUGGCUUCACUCAAUCCUCACAGGUCCCUCAAGAUAGCGUGCUAUGAUACCAAUUUGUAGGUUUUAGAACCAAAAACUAUAUUUGAGACCACAAAAAUAUCUACACUUAUUGAAUGAUCAAUGCAACAUUUAUACACAAGUUUGUAAUAGAAAACAACAAAAAAGCAACAAAAACAGUUAUACAUUAGGACUAACAACUAUUUCCUAUAAAAUAGCAACAACAACAUAACAGUUAUUAAGCUCCAUGAAACUCUGUUAGCUUCAUUGACUAAGUUUUUCAUGGUUGCAGUCUCAAUUUCAACAUCUUUUCACACCUCAACAACCUUCUUAACAGAUUCUUAAGCUCCCUUAGUUCAAACAGCUUUCACACAACUUCCAGCAUGUUUGUAGCUACUAGGGCAUUUUUCUCAACAUGGGGGAAGACAUGGCUUUUGGUAUGAUAGUUGCAAAUAUAAAUGGACAUUAUAGAUAUAUAAUCCUAUGCAAAUGUAUUUAAUUUCCAAAAACUAUUCAUGUUGACACAGUCUUUUGGUUUCAUAUGUAUUUUCUUGUAAUGAAUGUUGGCUUAUUAAGUCUCACAUAAUACCAUUUCCUUAUUGUAGAUACUUGGCUUAUUUGAGUGGGCAUGAUGCAAUUCAAUGCCCCCAGUGUUUUGGAUCCUUCCUUAUUUUCUUCCCAUACAUCUAGGUAUUAUUAAUUACACAUUAAUUUUUAUUCAAAUGCUUGAAUUUGCAUUUAGGCUACGUUUGGUUGGCAAAAUAUGAUAGGAUAGAAUUUGCAUAUUCUAAUAUAUCAUAUCCCAUUGGAAAGGAUAUGCAUAUCCAAUUAUAUGAUUUCCAAUGGGAUAUGAUAUCCUUGGAUAUACAUAUUCUCUAGAUUUAAUAUUUUAAAAUAACAUAUUUAUAUUUGAUUUGUGAAAUGAAUAAAAAAUAAUAUGAAAUAUAUAUUAUUUUUCCAUUGUUUAAAAUAAAAAAUAUAUCACAUUCAAAUAUUUUCUAUUUAAAAAAAAAUGAAAUUUCAUUAAUGUUUAACAAUAGUUAUCAUUAAAAUAUUUAAAGUUUACACUUUUUAUUAUUAUUAUUUUAUGUUAUUUAAUAUAUAAAAAUAAUUUAUAUAUCAUAUAUUAAUAUUAUUUUAUAAAUAUUUUUUUAGUUUUUCUUUUUUAAUCGUAAAUUUAAUUUAUAAUAAAUUCUUUUCUUUUAUAAAAUGAAUAUAUUAAAAAUAAAAAAAUUGAUAAAAAAAUAAAUAAAUUUUUGAUGCAUGGGAUAUGUAUAUUUCAUAUCUUACCAUGUGAUUAACAUAUCCCAUAUGAAAAGAAUGAAAAAUAGAGUGUAUAAUAUAUCCUACCACUUUUCCUAUCCAUAUUUGGUUAAACAUAGGAUAGGAUAAGUGAUGGGAUAACUUAUCAUAUUCCAUCACUAACCAAACAUAGGAUAGGAUAUACUAUAUGGAUAGGAUAUACUAUAUCCUAUCCCAUAUUAUAUCCAGCCAACCAGACGUAGCCUUAGUGUAUUUUACAUGCUAAACUCUUAUCUUGCAUAAAAGUAAGGAAGGGGGAUGAUGAAAUCUUUGAUAUCUCACAUCAAAUUAGUAAAAAAGUUAAAGGUGUUGUAUAUGUAUGAAAUCCUCUUAACUUUAUAGACGAGUUUUAAAAUGUAAGGGUCCCUUGGGUGUAGAGUAAACAACAUCUACAUGGGAGGGAACAAACCAUCACAAAUGGUAUCAUAGUUAAUUCUCAAUCCAAGUGUGAUAGUUUGUUUGGUCUUAUAAGGAAAGUCUAUUUGAUUGACCCUCAAUCUUAUUAGACAUGCCGGAGUGUUUGUGAUAUACCACAUUGGAUAGAGGAAAAAGUUUCUAACACUAUAUAUGUAUGAGUUCAUUUUAAUCAUGUAGACGUGUUUUAAAACUGUGAGAGUCCAUUAGGCUUAGAACGGAUAAUUUUUAUAUGGUUGUGAAUAGGUUGUUACAGAAUCACUAAUAAUGCCUAAAAAAUAGACAAGAGGCAAGUCGAGCCAUGCAAUCUUCAACCUUAUUAUGUUAUCGGGUCACACAUGCUGAGUUAGAAACCUAAGCUUUGGAAAGCUGUUUGGUUGAUAUUAAGAAUGCCACUUCCAUGUCUACUUUAACCAUCUUAUACUAAAAAUUGAUUUCUCUUUUCUUAAAAAAAAAUUGCUUCAUAAGUGCAACACAAAUGUGAUGCUAUUCUUGGAUGGUUAACAUGCCCAUGUCCUACUUAUAUGGUAAACGAUUUGUUGGCCCAAUCACCCCUCUUGUUCUAGAACUAAGAGAAGAGCUCUUCCUUCAACCUUAUAAUGAAGUCAAUUGGAAGAAAGUCCAGCAUCAUUGUGCAAAGGUAAGUUUUAGUUAUACUAAAACCAUCCGUCCUUCAAAUAUUUCAUGCUUACAUGAGACAUUCUGUCAAAUUUUCUAUUGCAGGAGAAUCUCUACUAUUCCCGUUCGUUAAUAUAGGAUUUGAUGUGGGAUGGUAUAUACAUAUUUACCGAGCCUUUUCUGACUCAUUGGCCCUUCAACAAGUUGAGGGAAAAGGCUCUUGAAACAACAAUGAAACACAUCCAUUAUGAAGAUAAAAAUAAUCAGUAUAUUACCAUGGCAUGUGUGGAGAAGGUAACACGAUUGUCCGUGUUAUGAGAUGUUUAAAAGGAAAAAGAAACUCUAAUCGAAGAAUGUCUCUUAAAUUGAGCAGGUAUUGUGUAUGCUUGCUUGUUGGGUAGAAGAUCCAUAUGGGGAUUCUUUCAAGAAGCACCUUGCUAGGCUCCCGGAUUAUAUAUGGAUGGCAGAAGAUGGAAUUAAGAUGCAGGUUAGAUCCAAAAAUUUUUCUUUUUUAGAGUUUGUUUUGUAUUUGAGAUUGACCUUCAUUCAAAGUCCUAACUUUGAUAAUUUUCAUUGAGAUAUGCGGACCGCUAGUAGUCAGCAGUGGGACACCAGUCUUGCCAUUCAAGUGCUGAUAGCUUGUAAUCUCACAGAUGAAAUUGGAGCCACGCUCAUGAAAGGACAUGACUUCAUAAAGAAAUCUCAAGUGUUGUCUUGAAUUUCUUAAAUCAUCUCUUCUUAUCAACCAUCAUUAUUUUUUGAUGCCACUUGAAAGAGAAUUAAUCUUGCAGGUUAGGGACAAUCCUUAUGGUGAUUUUAGAAGCAUGUACAAACACAUUUCUAUGGGAUCUUGGACAUUCUCAGAUCGGGAUCAUGGUUGGCAAGUUUCUGAUUACACUACAGAAAGUUUGAAGGUAACUAAUUUCUGUUCAAACACUUCAUAUACUUGUGGCAUGGUUUUCCAUUUAACUCUCAUCUCUGUUACAAUGUUGUCUCAUUCUCUCAAUAAUGCCGCUAGAAAUUGUUGGGGAAAAAAUUAAACCCGAACGGCUAUAUGAUUCUGUCAAUCUCCUGUUUUCCCUACAGGUGAGGAUAAUCUUUCUUGUAUUAUAUCCACGGUUGUAUCAAUUACAAAACAAAUCAUGGAUUUUGUGAUUUUAGAAUUAUAGGAAACUUUUUUAUAUUUCCUCCUUUGGAUUUACCUUUCUUAGAAUUAUUUCUCUAGUAUCAAUAAACCCCAUUUUCUAUAUACCUUUGUAGAGUAAAAAUGGUGGUUUAUCAGCCUUGGAGUCUGCAUGAGCUUCCAAAUGGUUGGAAGUAAUUACUGUUAAUGUUACCAUAUACAAAUUAGGAAUCAAAUUGGUUGUACAUAUAGGAAAUGUUAAUGUUACCAUAUACAAAUUAGGAAUCAAAUUGGCUAUACAUAUAAGAAAAGAUUGACAUGUUGGCUUACCAUGUAUUUGUUAAUGUUACCAUAUACAAUUUAGGAAUUUAGUCUCCAUGUAUAGGAUAUAUAUAUAUAUGUAUAUAGAUGGAUGCAGAAUAUAAUAAACAUAUUAGAGUUCUUAGAGUUCUCGGUUUCUGUGGAGUUUUUUUGAGUAUUUUGACAUGGUAACAGAGCAAGGUUUCGACAUCUUUUGAGUGGAGUUCGUGAUCUUCUACCAAUCAAAGGCUUGGCAUAAAAAACAGUGUUGAUUGGGUUCAUCGCGACUUGGUUCUUGGCCGUUUCUGUUCCAAUUUUCUAGUGGGCUAUUUCAUUUGUUUCUCGGUUGCAUCAUGUCAUCAGAUAAGUUGGAAUUGUUUCCUAUUAGAUUUAUUGGCAAAAAUUAUUGUCCUUGGGAGUUUCAAUUUAAAUUAUUUAUCAAAGGAAAAGAAUUAUGGGGUCAUAUUGAUGGGAGUAAUCCUGCACCUCGUGAUGCUGAGGCUUUGUCUAAGUGGGAAAUUAAGGAUGCUCGAAUUAUGACCUAGAUCCUUAGCUCGAUUGAAUCUCACCUUGUUCUCAGUAUGAGGCCUUAUAAAACUGUUGCUGCUAUGUGGAAUUAUCUCCACAUGGUUUACAAUCAAGACAACUCUACUAGGUGUUUUCAAUUGGAGUAUGAGAUGGGUAAUUUCACACAAGGAAGUCUCUCAAUCGAGGAAUAUUUUUUUUCAAACUCUUUGGACUGAUUAUUCCGACAUUGUUUAUGUUAAUGUUCCCGCUGCAACUCUCUCUACUGUCCAAGCAGUGCAUGCAACCAGCAAGCAAGAUCAAUUCUUGAUGAAGCUACAACCCGACUUUGAAAUUGCACGGUUUAAUCUAAUGAAUCGUCAUCCUAUACCAUCUCUGGAUGCCUGCUUGAGUGAACUUUUGCACGAGGAUCAAUGUAUUGUAACUCAAGCUACCAUGGAACAUCGGUCUAAUGUUAGUGCACCUGUUUCUAUAGCUUAUGCAGCAUAGGGGCGGAAUAAGAGUCGAGAUAUGUGUGUUGUCUAGUGCUUUAGUUGUAAAGAUUUUGGUCACAUUGCUCGGGAUUGUCCCAAGAAGUCUUGUAACUACUGCAAGAAACAAGGUCAUAUCAUCUCUGUUUGUCCCAUUCGGUCUGAAAGGAAGCAUAAUACUAAUUAUCAUGUCUCCAUUGGUGCCUCUAGUUCUGCUGCAUUGCCUGCUGCCUCUUUGAUUGUUCCUAUUCCUACUCCUACAGCCUUAGCAAACCCGAACACACUCACUCCUGAAAUGGUACAACAAAGUAUCAUUUCUGUUUUUUCUGCUUUUGGGCUCUCAAGUAAUCAUACGAUUUCUUCUAAGCCAUGGUAUUUUGAAUCUGAAGCUUCUAACCAUAUGAAGAAUACCGUUCUUUCUAAUGUUAGAAAUUAUGAUGGAAAUCUGAAAAUUAACACUACUGAUGGCAGUUCUCUGCCUAUCAGUGCUGUUGGUGAUCUUUCCUCUUCCUUAACUGAUGUUUUUGUGUCUCCUGACCUCUCUACAAAUCUUCUUUCUGUUGGUCAAUUGGUUGAUAAUAAUUGUAAUGUCAAUUUCUCCCGUUUUGGUUGUGUUGUGCAGGAUCAAAUGUUUGGGAAAAUAAUCGCGAAGGGGCCUAAAGUGGGAUGACUCUUUCCUCUUCAUGUUUCUCCUUCCACUAUUAUUCCUAGUUUUCCUUUACUUUCCUUUGCAUGUAAUGUUGUUGGUUUUGGACAUAAGAUGUGGCAUAGAUGUCUUGGCCACCCAAACUCUGAUGUACUUCGUACUUUGUUUAAGUUUAGAUUAUUGGGAAUUAAAACAUGUUCUUCUCUUGAUCUUUCUUUCGAUUGUACACAUGCAAACUUGGCAAAAGUAAAGUUCUACCUUUUCCUCAUUCCGCAUCUCAUGCCUCACAAUGUUUUGAUAUUAUACAUAGUGAUGUUUGGGGGAUUGCACCUAUUGUUUCUCAUGCACAUUACAAGUACUUUGUUACUUUCAUUGAUGACUUUAGUCGCUUUACUUGGGUUUACUUCCUCCAGGCUAAGGCUGAAAUUUUUUCAGUCUUUAAGCGCUUUCUUGCACUUAUUGAGACUCAAUUCUUUGCCAACAUCAAGGUCUUGCGCUCUGAUUCUGGCGGAGAAUACAUGUCUAAUGAGUUUUAGGACUUUCUUCAAAGUAAAGGGAUCAUCUCUCAGCGUUCUUAUCAUUCGACACCACAACAAAACAAUGUUGUUGAGAGGAAAAAUCGCCACCUUCUUGAUGUGGUAAGAACUCUUUUACUUGACUCAUCGGUUCCUCCUCGUUUUUGGUGUGAAACACUUUCUACUGCAGUUCAUUUGAUCAAUCGCUUACCCUCUCCUAUGUUAAAUCAUGUUUCUCCUUUCUCUAAGUUGUUUGGUCAUUCUCCUUUAUUUUCUGAUCUUCGUACAUUUGGUUGUGUUUGUUUUGUGCAUCUACCUACUCAUAAACGACAUAAACAUACUGCUCAGUCUGUUAAGUGUGCUUUUCUUGGUUAUGCUAUCCCUCACAAGGGUUAUGUUAGUUAUGAUCCCCAUGUUAGUUGUAUACGAGUUUCCUGGAAUGUAAUUUUCUUUGAAAAUCAAUAUUUCUUUCAAUCUCAUGUUGGGUUGCCAUCUGCAUCUAUAUCUCUUCUGCCUAGUUUUUCUGAAUCCCCAACAAUUGUGGAAAGGUUCAAACUUGGUUUUGUGUAUGAAAGAAGUAGUCGACAUGAAUCCAAUUCCACUUCCUCUAUGUCCCCUUCUGAUCUUGACCCGGAGCCUGAUCCUGCUCCUACUUCCACCACUCUUCAUCGGUCUACUCGUCUUUCUCGACUCCCUUAUUAGUAUGGAUUCUUCUCUCUUGUCUCUCUUGUUGCUACUUUAUCCACUAUUUCUAUUCCCUUUUGUUACAAACAAGCCAUGGAACAUGAGUGUUGGCAAAAUGCAAUGCAAGCAGAACUUCAAGCACUUGAGGAGAAUCAUACUUAGGAUAUUGUUCCUUGUCCUUUUACAAUCAAACCUAUUGGGAGUAAAUGGGUUUUCUCUGUAAAACUUCAUUCUGAUGGCUCUUUGGACCGGUACAAAGCUCACCUCAUAGCUUUGGGUAACAAGUAGGAAUAUGGGGUUGAUUAUGAGGAGACAUUUGCUCCUGUUGCCAAAAUAACCAUUGUUCGAACCAUCUUAGCUAUUUCCGCUUCACAGUCAUGGCAACUACAUCAGAUGGAUGUGAAGAAUGUUUUUCUUCAUGGUGAUCUCCAAGAAGAGAUUUACAUGAAGCUUCCCUCUGGUAUGACUAAUUCUUCUCCUCAUGAUGUUUGUAAGCUAAAACGUUCUUUGUAUGGGCUCAAGCAAGCGCCCCGGGCUUGGUUUGAGAAGUUUCACAGUACAAUUCUUUCCUUUAGUUUUACCCAAAGUCAGUAUGAUUCUUCCAUCUUCUUCCACACGUCUGCGUCAGGUAUAGUCCUUCUCUUGGUUUAUGUGGAUGAUAUUAUCAUUACUGGCACUGAUUGUGGUUUGAUUACUAAGCUUCAACAGCUAUUACAUACAACUUUCCACAUGAAAAAUCUUGGACAACUCAUAUACUUCUUAGGAUUGGAAGUUCAUCAUCGGGUUAGUGGUAUUUUCGUGAACCAGCAUAAGUAUAUUCAAGAUCUUAUCACUUUGGCUGGUUUGGAGGACACUUCUUCUUUUGAUACUCCUAUGGAGGUAAAUGUCAAAUACAGGAAAGAUGAAGGGGACUUUCUGGAUGAUCCUACUCUCUGUCAGCACCUGGUUGGGAGUCUUAUCUACUUGACCACUACUCGACCUGAUAUCUCUUAUGCUGUUCAUUAGGUCAAUCAGUUUAUGACUUCUCCUCGGCAUCUCCAUCUUGUUGUAGUUCGACGCAUCAUCCGCUAUCUUCGAGGUUCACCUACUCAUGGGUUGUUCUUUCCUACCGGCUCCUCUCUUCAACUUGUUUCCUAUAAUGAUGCUGAUUGGGUUGGGUGUCCAGAUACAUGUUGAUCUACUAUAGGUUGGUGUAUGUUUUUAGGUGAUGCCUUAAUUUCUUGGAGAUGUAAGAAACAAGAUCGUGUUUCAAAAUCCUUUACUGAGGCCGAGUAUCGUGCCAUGUCUACUGCUUGUUUUGAAAUUGUAUGGCUAUGCGGUCUUCUUGAGGAGCUUGGGUUUCCUCAGACUACUUCUACACCUCUUCAUGCUGAUAACACUAGUGCUAUUCAGGUUGCCACCAAUCCCAUUUUUCAUGAACGUACCAAGCACAUUGAGGUUGAUUGUCAUUCUAUUCGAGACACCUUGGAAAGUCGGGUGAUAUCUCUUCNNNNNNNNNNNNNNNNNNNNNNNNNNNNNNNNNNNNNNNNNNNNNNNNNNNNNNNNNNNNNNNNNNNNNNNNNNNNNNNNNNNNNNNNNNNNNNNNNNNNAUGUUAAUGUUACCAUAUACAAAUUAGGAAUCAAAUUGGUUGUACAUAUAGGAAAUGUUAAUAUUACCAUAUACAAAUUAGGAAUCAAAUUGGCUGUACAUAUAGGAAAAGAUUGACAGAUUGGCUUACCAUGUAUUUGUUAAUGUUACCAUAUACAAUUUAGGAAUUUAGACUCCGUGUAUAGGAUAUAUAUCUGUAUAUAGAUGGAUGCAGAAUAUAAUAAACGGACCAGAGUUCUCAGAGUUCUCGGUUUCUGUGGAGUUUUUUUUGAGUAUUUUGACAAUUACCUCAACAUAUUGAAGAAACUUUAAACUCUGUUAAUGGAAUCUCUCUUUCUCUCUUUCUGUGUGUGUGUGUGUGUGUAUCUAUCUAUCUUUCUAAAUCAAUGGAAUCCUUGAAUGUUUUCAGUUGCUAAAUCCUACUGAAAUGUUUGAAGAUGUUGUCAUUGAACAUUAGUAAGAUUCCUAAUUAUACCUUGAUUCAGCCAUGUUGAUUUCUUUUGCUUUAAAUUACUUCAAGAUUGAUAGAAGAAUGGUCCAGGCAUGUUGAGUGCACUGCAUCAGCAAUCCACGCUUUAAUUUUUUUAAAGAGGUUAUACCCUGGACAUAGGAAGCAAGAGAUAGAAAUUUUCAUAAAAAAUGUUGUACAGUACAUUGAAGAAAUACAAAUGCCUGAUGGCUCAUGGUAUAUAUGUUUCUCAGCUCAACUAUUAGAUUUGCUCAAGAAUUUGCACACAUGUUUUUGCAUGAAUUAUUGAAUGUUCAAUUUACAUGAAGAAACAUUUACAAAGGUAUGGUAAUUGGGGAGUAUGCUUUACCUAUGGCACAUGGUUUGCACUAAGAGGGCUAGCAGCUGCUAGCAAGACGUACCACAACUGUCUUGCUGUUCGCAAAGUAGUUGAUUUUCUACUCAAAUUACAGCUAGAUGAUAGUGGUUGGGGAGAAAGCUAUCUUUCAUGCUCGGACAAGGUAAGUUGUGAUAUCUUUUAUGCAUGCCACCAUCCUUUGACGAAUCUGAUGCCCAUCAACCACAUUUUCAAACUAUGCCUAAGCAAAAGGCAUAAAAUUCCAAUUAGCAAUAUAAUUUUCUGAAUUUCUAUUCAUGCAUAAAACAAAAUUUUGCUGCAUUUUGCUUCGUGUAUCCUGCGUGUUAGAGAUUGAAGACAUAAACUGAUAUAUGGAGAAAGUUAUUGAUCAUAUGAAAUCUCACAGUGGAGAAGAAAAAGGUAAAAUUAUCUUGUGCUUGGUGAUACAGAAAUAUACACCUCUUGAAGGAAACCAGUCAAAUUUGAUACAGACUGGGUGGACUCUAAUGGGGCUAAUUCAUUCUGGACAGGUCAGUUCUAAUAGUUUAAUGUGGUCCUUGACAUUACUUUUUAGAAUGUGAAUUCUCCCUAAAAUUCUAGUUCUGAAGUUCUGUUUUCAAUAGGCGGAAAGGGACCCAACACCUCUUCACUGAGCAGCAAAGCUCCUGGUCAAUUCUCAAAUGGAAGACGGAGAUUUUCCCCAACAGGUGGUUCAUUAUUUCAUUUGAACAUACAUUAAUCUGUUAUUGCAUUUUUCUAUUGUUCUAGACAUCAAUUUCCUUAAGGAAAAGAAAAAGUAGAAGUCGGCAGUUAAGAUCUAAAAUCACUUGAAAAAACAGCUUCUUUUUUCUAUGUCCAAUUCAAGAAAUUUGCACCAUAAAACAUGGGAACAAAUUUUGAAAAUCCGAUUAACACUCUCCUUAACUCUAAAAGUCCAUCCGUUUAAGCUAUAUUGCAUGCAAUAUGUGAUUUUCUAUGAAGCAACCUUAUUUCUAAAGGGAAAGGAAAAAAAAAUGGCUCUCACACAAUCAACAAAUUGUUAUGCUUGAAUUUUUGUUGGCCUAACCAUUGAUUACUCAUUUAUGGCAGGAAAUUGUUGGAGCUUCCCUGAAGACUUGUAUGAUAUACUAUCCAAUCUAUAGGAAUAUUUACCCUUUGCGAGCUAUUGCAGAAUACCACCAGUUGGUUCCAUUGCCUUAAGCUGCAGCUAGCAUGCUUUUUGAAGCAUAUAUAUAUAUAUGUGUGUGUGUGUGUGUGAGAGAGAGAGAGAGAGAGAGAGAGUACCAAUGGAUGCAGUUCAGUCUCUUUUGCUACUUUGUGUCCUUUUCCCUUUUUCUUCUACCUUUGUUGAUCACGUGCUCAUGAAUUGAUGGACAAUGUUGAAUAUUCUUUGAAUAAUAUAAGUUCUUGAGAAGUUUUUCUUGUGCACUAUGUUUUAGAUUCAAAUUCCAUGCAUGCAUAAUUAUGGGAAUUCAUUCAUUCUUAAUACCAAUUGAAGAGGAUGGCCAAUGCAUGCACAAGAAAUGUAGUAUCACAUAUCAUUUAAGGUUUGUGAAGUCAGCCAUUUACUUUCAUGGCUAGGAUUUUGAAUGAAUAUAUAGGAUAUUGAUUUCAAAUAUAUAUGACGGAAACUGUUGUGGGAGGGGAAGCUUCACUACAUGUGAGUUAUGAAAUAACUAUAAACACGACACAGAAAGAAAAUUUUGAUAUGGUUUGACUAGGAAUGCCUACAUCUAUAUAUGAGUAAGACAAUAAUGUCCACUAUAUCAUAAAAGACUAUUACAGAGGAAAGAGAACACAUCAAUAAAAGUCAAGGCCUCAAACAUCCCAUGUUUUCCUAUUCCAUUAGGUGUCUCUAUCUCUUCUUUCAGAAUUUUAUCCACCCCAUAAAAUUUCUAUAUGUCAUCCCUAUCUCAUAAAUUUUUUUUUCUCCCAAGAGAUAAAAUGCUUACAAGUAUGUUCCCAACACUUUUCCUCAUUUAAUAAAGAAACAUAUUUUUUCAAGAAUACAUCAAUACAUAAAAGAUUCGCAUUGAACAAUAUUCUCUAUCAUGAGAAGGCAACAGGCUCUAGUUUUGUUUAGGAGGUCACACCUUAGGCACAAGCAGCAAGAGAGCAAAUUUCAUAACAAAUGUUGAUGGUACAUUGAAAAGAUGUAUAGAAAUGUUUGAUGACUCAACAUGUUUUUUAAUUCAAUUAUUAGAUCUACUCAACACCUUUCUUUAUGUGAAAUAUGGCAUCACUAGUAGAAAAAAUGCAAGUUAUGACGCUUGAUUCCUUGGCGCUUCAAAAAAAUGUCAAGGAAUUGGGUCAAUCUUGGCGCUUAUAGAAUAUUUUUAAACCUUGGCGCUUUUGUGAUACAUAUAUUGGAUUCAACGGCGCUUUUAAUAUGACACCUUUAAAAAGCAUCAUGGUAGGAAGUGGAGAGUAACCUUGGCACACUUUUAUAAGUGUCAUUGAAUGGAGAGCAACAUUGGCACUUUUAUCAAGUGUCAUUGAAGUUACUGAUAUAUAUUUCAUUCUUUUUCCCAUCUAAACACAAUAACUCAUAUUCCAAACACUUCGAGCCCUAACCCAGGGAAAUCACCCACGUUGCCGGCCACCAACAACAACCAAUCGAUGAGAAAAUGUUACCAACACAAUGAAGGUACUCUCAUUUCUUUUCUUAUUGGUUUGUUUGGUUACCCAAAAAUGGGAGAAAAAAGACGUAAAUCAGAUAGAAAAAAUUUUAAUCUUAAAUCUUGAAUUGGUUGAUGCAAUUGUUUUGGGUUAUAUACGAUUUAUUGGUUUUCUACAGUUGAUUGAGAAGAGGGUUAGAGGGAUCUAAGAAAGCAAGAGACCCACUCUUGAACCCUAACCCUUUGAACAAUUCGUCAUUGAAGCUUUCCCAAUCGUAGAGAAGUCGGGCACACUGGUUUUAUCCAAGGAAAGCUUUAGGUGUCUUGGCUUCUUGUAGGGCUUUGGUGUUAUGCCUUUCAAUAAGGCUUUGGGUCUCAGCUUCCAGUUGACUGCGUGGGGGUUGUCUUGGUCUAUGUUGGGUGGUUAACUUUCAAGGUUGUGACUUGAAAACUAUGGAAUCCCAUUUUUGUGACUAAACUGCCCUAUCAUAGUCUUUCUUGUUUUUAGUUGGAAUGAUUCUAGUUGGAAUGAUUCUAGAUUUUACAUUUCCCUUUAUUAAUUUUGUGUACAAAAGCCCAUCAUUAUGCAAAAAAAUAUAUUGCAUAUCACUGAGUCUACUAGAGAAAAAAAUCAAUAAGUGGAAACCAAUUCAAGGAAAAUUGAUUUAUGGUUAAGAUGGAAUGAUUUCCAGGGCAUUUUAUGUCUUUUUAAGUGGAAAAAAAAAGUGAAAGGUCAGCAGUUUGCUGAAACAGAGCAAAAGCUAUAAGGUAGCUUCAAAACAGAGUAUUCCUUGUCCCCCAAAUGCAAUUCACUGUUCCUCAAAGGUGGGCUAUAUUUGAUCUAGAAAUUCAUAAUGGAAGUUUACACUUAGAGAGGAACUUCUUCAAUUUAUUAGGCUAAGAGUAGAGGAUAUGAAGGCUAAGAGAAGGAAUGACUCGAAACUGAUGGUUGGAAUUUCGGUAUUUUGGUUAUCAUUCUAAUCCAGCCCCUGAAAGAUUGAAGAUGAAAUACAAAAUGCCUAAUUGACUGUCACGUGGUCCUUAUCUUCGUCAAUGAACAUUUUAAUAGGGUGGAUGAGUUUUUCCCUCAUGCUAAUUUUUAAAGGAUGCCUCUACUGUUAAGCUAAUAGCAAUUGCGAGCAAACCUUCAAAUUUUAAGAUACUUUACAGAUAGCUCCCCUUGUGUGGGAUGGAGGUAGCCAAGUUUAUUUGUUUUCAAAUUGGUUCGAUGAUUGUCAAUAAAAUGAAUAGCUAAAGGCAGCAAAAUGGUGAAACUGAGGCAUGAUUGUUGUUGUAUUCCAAAAAAAAUGUGGCAGGUGAUAAUGACAUGUUCUGCAUUACCUUCUUGCUUACAAUUUAGCUUAAAUAGAUUCCUUUAAUUUUGGAUUCUAACAAUCCUGUAAGCCUUUGAGACAUCAACUCACAAGGUUUUUAUAUGUUUUAAUUUGCAUUAUCUUUUAUUUGCUAAUUGAACUCAUAUUUAUCCCUUUUUUUCAUCCUCUAUUUUUCUGUAUUGUCUUNNNNNNNNNNNNNNNNNNNNNNNNNNNNNNNNNNNNNNNNNNNNNNNNNNNNNNNNNNNNNNNNNNNNNNNNNNNNNNNNNNNNNNNNNNNNNNNNNNNNNNNNNNNNNNNNNNNNNNNNNNNNNNNNNNNNNNNNNNNNNNNNNNNNNNNNNNNNNNNNNNNNNNNNNNNNNNNNNNNNNNNNNNNNNNNNNNNNNNNNNNNNNNNNNNNNNNNNNNNNNNNNNNNNNNNNNNNNNNNNNNNNNNNNNNNNNNNNNNNNNNNNNNNNNNNNNNNNNNNNNNNNNNNNNNNNNNNNNNNNNNNNNNNNNNNNNNNNNNNNNNNNNNNNNNNNNNNNNNNNNNNNNNNNNNNNNNNNNNNNNNNNNNNNNNNNNNNNNNNNNNNNNNNNNNNNNNNNNNNNNNNNNNNNNNNNNNNNNNNNNNNNNNNNNNNNNNNNNNNNNNNNNNNNNNNNNNNNNNNNNNNNNNNNNNNNNNNNNNNNNNNNNNNNNNNNNNNNNNNNNNNNNNNNNNNNNNNNNNNNNNNNNNNNNNNNNNNNNNNNNNNNNNNNNNNNNNNNNNNNNNNNNNNNNNNNNNNNNNNNNNNNNNNNNNNNNNNNNNNNNNNNNNNNNNNNNNNNNNNNNNNNNNNNNNNNNNNNNNNNNNNNNNNNNNNNNNNNNNNNNNNNNNNNNNNNNNNNNNNNNNNNNNNNNNNNNNNNNNNNNNNNNNNNNNNNNNNNNNNNNNNNNNNNNNNNNNNNNNNNNNNNNNNNNNNNNNNNNNNNNNNNNNNNNNNNNNNNNNNNNNNNNNNNNNNNNNNNNNNNNNNNNNNNNNNNNNNNNNNNNNNNNNNNNNNNNNNNNNNNNNNNNNNNNNNNNNNNNNNNNNNNNNNNNNNNNNNNNNNNNNNNNNNNNNNNNNNNNNNNNNNNNNNNNNNNNNNNNNNNNNNNNNNNNNNNNNNNNNNNNNNNNNNNNNNNNNNNNNNNNNNNNNNNNNNNNNNNNNNNNNNNNNNNNNNNNNNNNNNNNNNNNNNNNNNNNNNNNNNNNNNNNNNNNNNNNNNNNNNNNNNNNNNNNNNNNNNNNNNNNNNNNNNNNNNNNNNNNNNNNNNNNNNNNNNNNNNNNNNNNNNNNNNNNNNNNNNNNNNNNNNNNNNNNNNNNNNNNNNNNNNNNNNNNNNNNNNNNNNNNNNNNNNNNNNNNNNNNNNNNNNNNNNNNNNNNNNNNNNNNNNNNNNNNNNNNNNNNNNNNNNNNNNNNNNNNNNNNNNNNNNNNNNNNNNNNNNNNNNNNNNNNNNNNNNNNNNNNNNNNNNNNNNNNNNNNNNNNNNNNNNNNNNNNNNNNNNNNNNNNNNNNNNNNNNNNNNNNNNNNNNNNNNNNNNNNNNNNNNNNNNNNNNNNNNNNNNNNNNNNNNNNNNNNNNNNNNNNNNNNNNNNNNNNNNNNNNNNNNNNNNNNNNNNNNNNNNNNNNNNNNNNNNNNNNNNNNNNNNNNNNNNNNNNNNNNNNNNNNNNNNNNNNNNNNNNNNNNNNNNNNNNNNNNNNNNNNNNNNNNNNNNNNNNNNNNNNNNNNNNNNNNNNNNNNNNNNNNNNNNNNNNNNNNNNNNNNNNNNNNNNNNNNNNNNNNNNNNNNNNNNNNNNNNNNNNNNNNNNNNNNNNNNNNNNNNNNNNNNNNNNNNNNNNNNNNNNNNNNNNNNNNNNNNNNNNNNNNNNNNNNNNNNNNNNNNNNNNNNNNNNNNNNNNNNNNNNNNNNNNNNNNNNNNNNNNNNNNNNNNNNNNNNNNNNNNNNNNNNNNNNNNNNNNNNNNNNNNNNNNNNNNNNNNNNNNNNNNNNNNNNNNNNNNNNNNNNNNNNNNNNNNNNNNNNNNNNNNNNNNNNNNNNNNNNNNNNNNNNNNNNNNNNNNNNNNNNNNNNNNNNNNNNNNNNNNNNNNNNNNNNNNNNNNNNNNNNNNNNNNNNNNNNNNNNNNNNNNNNNNNNNNNNNNNNNNNNNNNNNNNNNNNNNNNNNNNNNNNNNNNNNNNNNNNNNNNNNNNNNNNNNNNNNNNNNNNNNNNNNNNNNNNNNNNNNNNNNNNNNNNNNNNNNNNNNNNNNNNNNNNNNNNNNNNNNNNNNNNNNNNNNNNNNNNNNNNNNNNNNNNNNNNNNNNNNNNNNNNNNNNNNNNNNNNNNNNNNNNNNNNNNNNNNNNNNNNNNNNNNNNNNNNNNNNNNNNNNNNNNNNNNNNNNNNNNNNNNNNNNNNNNNNNNNNNNNNNNNNNNNNNNNNNNNNNNNNNNNNNNNNNNNNNNNNNNNNNNNNNNNNNNNNNNNNNNNNNNNNNNNNNNNNNNNNNNNNNNNNNNNNNNNNNNNNNNNNNNNNNNNNNNNNNNNNNNNNNNNNNNNNNNNNNNNNNNNNNNNNNNNNNNNNNNNNNNNNNNNNNNNNNNNNNNNNNNNNNNNNNNNNNNNNNNNNNNNNNNNNNNNNNNNNNNNNNNNNNNNNNNNNNNNNNNNNNNNNNNNNNNNNNNNNNNNNNNNNNNNNNNNNNNNNNNNNNNNNNNNNNNNNNNNNNNNNNNNNNNNNNNNNNNNNNNNNNNNNNNNNNNNNNNNNNNNNNNNNNNNNNNNNNNNNNNNNNNNNNNNNNNNNNNNNNNNNNNNNNNNNNNNNNNNNNNNNNNNNNNNNNNNNNNNNNNNNNNNNNNNNNNNNNNNNNNNNNNNNNNNNNNNNNNNNNNNNNNNNNNNNNNNNNNNNNNNNNNNNNNNNNNNNNNNNNNNNNNNNNNNNNNNNNNNNNNNNNNNNNNNNNNNNNNNNNNNNNNNNNNNNNNNNNNNNNNNNNNNNNNNNNNNNNNNNNNNNNNNNNNNNNNNNNNNNNNNNNNNNNNNNNNNNNNNNNNNNNNNNNNNNNNNNNNNNNNNNNNNNNNNNNNNNNNNNNNNNNNNNNNNNNNNNNNNNNNNNNNNNNNNNNNNNNNNNNNNNNNNNNNNNNNNNNNNNNNNNNNNNNNNNNNNNNNNNNNNNNNNNNNNNNNNNNNNNNNNNNNNNNNNNNNNNNNNNNNNNNNNNNNNNNNNNNNNNNNNNNNNNNNNNNNNNNNNNNNNNNNNNNNNNNNNNNNNNNNNNNNNNNNNNNNNNNNNNNNNNNNNNNNNNNNNNNNNNNNNNNNNNNNNNNNNNNNNNNNNNNNNNNNNNNUACUUACAUUCCAAAUGUCAUAACACUAUACCUUAGUUAUUUAGUUAAUUGGCAUCCUUUAAUUAGUAAUUUGACUGGACAAAGUAAUAUGCCAGGGAACCUACCUCAUUGCAUCAUGGAGUGGAAUUCAAGUUGCCAUAAAAAGGCUUAGGGAUGAAGUGAUAAGGAUAAAUUGUGAGUUUUUCAAUACUAGCAAUGAAUUUUGAUUUUUAUUUGUUGCCUUAUUUCUAUCGGCAUAUUGCAUUUAUCUAUCUAAAAGCUAUUGGUUUUAUCACUUCAUGUAAUUCAUUGAGUAGGGUGGUCUUAAGCUAUUGAUUAAUGAUACUAUAAAUUGGCUUGCCAUUCUCCAAGUAUAUGUGAUUAUUUAGGUGUCUAGUUCUAUCAUCAGCAUGUUGCUCAAACUUAUAGGCAGUAAGAAACUAAUUAAAUAUGAUAUUGUUCAAUAAACCUGAAUAUGUGCCAAACACUACAAUGAUGAGAACAAAUCAAAUUAUAUAUGAAUAACUUAUUUUGGAGAAAUUGCAUGUUGAACAACCACACAAAUAUCCCCUUUCUUUUAUAACUCUAUGUAGCCCUUUUUGAUAAACAUCAAAUGUUAUAUAAGAAGAGUCUUAAAUAAUAAGCAAAUAAACCUAAAUACAUUCUAUAAAAAUGUAUCAAACCAAUAUUUACCUCUUGUGAAGUAGAAAUAUAUUUUACCAAAGCCCCAUCAAACUCUUCAUCUCUCAAACUCUCUGGAAUUGAAUAUCCUAAACUUGUAGAUGAGAUUUCACCUAACCCCGCUCGGUUAGUGCUUGCUAGCUUGCCAUUACUUUUCUUUAGUUUAAUUGCAAUUUCAUUAUGGUUGUAAAGUAUAUAAUCAUUAUUAAUUACUUUCCUUUGGUUUUAAGUAAAAAUUUCAAUUUUCAAAUUUUCAAUUUUUUAGCACAAAGAUGACCACCAAAAAAAUGAGUUACUUGCUCCAUGGCAAGAUCAAAGUGCAUCUAUCCUUUCCAGAUGUUAGCUUCCCCAAGGGGAUUACAAUUCUAGCCAUUGGUGAGGACAAGUGGGUAGCCAUGAGCUUGGAGUUUCAAAAUGAGAAAGGUAAUUAAAUUCUUUUAGUUUCCAUUUUAAAGUAGAUGUUUUAUCUAUGUUGAAAGUUAGUAUGACACUCUUGAUAUAUGUAAAAGGUAUAUUGGAAUAUUCACAAAACAAUUAUAGAUAAACUACGCACAACUACCAUGGGAAUGGGGCUAGGAAUUUACAGACAACAAAUAAGAUAAUAAGCACUCUCAAAUUCAAGUUUAGUUGGAAAAUUUAUUAGAAAAAAUUAUAGUGAUGGUAGGGCAACUGAAAGUCAAAGGUCACACGAGUUUUAACUUGCAACAUUAGUAGUUGUGGAAAAGCUUGUGUAUUUUUUUUAUUAAGGUAAUAAUUAAGUGUUUUUUCCUUUUUAAUAUAAUUUGAAAUCUAGAUACCCCUAUGAUUAAUUUUCAAAUAAAUGAGCUAGAAUCCUUAGCCUCCUUGGAUCCCCAAAACGUAUCUCUAUUCAGCACCUAUAUAUUGUUUCCUACCCUAAGCUUCAGUCCUUAAGGCUGCCAAUAACACUGGCAAGUCUUGAAAUCAUGGGAUAUUGGCCCCCCAUUGCCUACAUCCCUAAAUUCAAAAUUGAUGGCAAAUUAAUGUAUUACAUAGGUCGUGGAACAUAAAUGCAUGCUGAAACCUAUUUGCAUGUGUGAACAUGAAUUGAAUAACUUUGCAUGAGUGAGCUAUAUAAACAAUCUAUGUUAAUUUUUAAUUUUUAGGCAUCUUUAAGGAAUUUUAGAAUAUAGUUAUCUUGUGAAUAAAGGUAAACAUGUCAAUCUUUAUUUUUUGGUUUUUUUUUAAUUCACCUCUCUUUAAACAUGAAUGGAAUAACUUUACAUGGGUGAGCUACAUAAACAAUCUCUUUUAAUUUUUAAUCAUCUUAAAAUAUAGCUAUUUUGUGAAAAGGUAAAUCUAUCAAUGUUUAUUUUUAUUUUUUUUAAUUAACCUCUUUUGCUUUAUAUUACUCUAAUGUUAUUGAUAACCUCUCUGAAGCAAGAGCCUAAUGAAGAAGACUUUGAUGGGGAUGAUGCCAAUGACAAGGUAAAUGAAGAUUCAUUUUUCUUCACUAUCAACAUAGUAUAAAUCAUUUUAAAAUGGAUAUUUUCAAUAAUUAAGGGAACUAAGACAUAUUCAUGUGGUUGUACACUUAAUAAUUGAGAUAAUUAUCUUACUUAGUAGCAGUAUUUUUUAACACUAAUAAUUUAUAUACUCUAGUAAAACUUUUUACCUUUGAUCCAAUAAGAAGAAUAUUAGUAUGUUUGUUUUAUUGCUUUACUUGAACAAAAGCUAAUUAACGUGUUAGAUUAUUUUCUAUUCUUAUAUCCUCUUUGUUUCAAUUAUAUUGGUUGUUAUAUGUAUAAAUUAAAAGUUUUAUAUUUUUUUUAUUUGCAGCUUGCAAAAGAAAUUGGCUUACAAGAAGAAGGGAAAUUAUUACAAUGAAGCAAUACUGAAAAUCAUGAAGAUGAUAUCAUUUAAAUCAUUAGGAGGUUUAACUAGGCAUUUGUUGAUGAUGGUUUCUUUUUGUAGUUAUUGCACCGGUAUUUAUUCUUCUAUUGGAUUUAAAAAUUCUCAUUGAAAUAUUUUGAUCUAAUGAACAAAUUUAUAAUUUUUAUACAAGUAAUUAUAAUUUUUAUUCAAACUAAGCCAUUGUAUAUUAAUAUUUGGAGAUAUUUUAAUUUGUACAAUUCAAUUUAAUUUUAUGAUUUAUAAUUGCUUUUGCUUUUAUUUAAUUAUAUAGGAAAUUCAUUAUUUUAAAAACAUAAUAGCAAUAUUAUUAUUAAAAUAAAAUGCUUAAAGAUGACGCUUCUAUUAAGUGUCAUUGAAAAAUAAUCCAAAGAUGAUGCCCGUAGGAGUGUCAACAAUGACAAUUUUAUAAAAAUUAUUUUAGUAAAAACUACUCAAAGAUGGCACUUCUUUAAGUGUCAUUGAAAGUAUCAAUCAAAUAUGACGCUUCCUAAAAGUGUCAUUAUUGACUAAAACCUACAAUGACAGGGGAGACGAGAACGCUUUAGAGAAGCGUCAUCUUAUACUUUUAAUGACGCUUAAAAAGCGUCAUUAAUUCCCUUUUUUUCUUGUAGUGCAUGCAAAUUAAAUGAACUGUUGGAAAAGUGAUUUUUUUUUUUUUUGAAAAAAAAGAACAACAAUUAAAAGGCAACUUUAGCUAAAAUUUGAGUGAGCUCCAAAAAUACUUUAAACUAGGACCUUCAUGAGUAGAUGAACAUAAUAUGUUUACAUGCUAUUUAUGGGUGAAUGAUAAAUUAAGCUCAAAGUGACAUAUACAAUUAUGGAAAAUAUGGUGGAAGAAAGUAGUCCCAUAUUUGAAGAUUAGUAGUUGGAACAAGACUUUAUAAGCAUUUUCCAGGCUUAAAAGAAAUAUGGGCUUAGACCUGGGCUAAUAUAUAUGUGUGGGCUCAACUAGCUAGGCAUGGACUUGGGCUUGACCUAGGCCCACAUGCUUGUGGACUUAAUAAAAAAGUCCAUUAGCAUAAAGUGAUGUCUUUUCCGAACACCUUUUCAAACCUUAUUUGAAAAAGACAUAAGACAUGUCUCCGUUAGACAGGUGCAACCCUUCUAGUGGAAGCAUCAUUUUAGGUGGGGAGGACCCCCUCUAUUGUAUUUUGUCAUUCUAGCAAUCAUCCCUCUCUCCUUCUUUUUCAAGUGUGAUAUUUGUUAUUCAAGUCUAACAAAGUGUGGUAUUCCAUUUCAAGUCAUUCUCGAAUAUGGUAUUCCAUUCUAAGUUAUGUGUGAGUUGCAUGUAAGUACAUAGUUUCAAAGUAUCCAAGCUUUUGUAGGGAUUACAAAACAUUGUUUGAUUCACCAUUUUUCUCUCCUUCCUUUCCAAGUGUGGUAUUCAAUUCUAACAAAGUGUGGUAUUCUAUUUCAAGUCAUUCUCGAAUAUGGUAUUCCAUUCUAAGUUAAGUGUGAGCUACAUGUAAGUACAUAGUUUCAAAGUAUCUAAGCCUUUGUAUAGAUUAUGAAACAUUGUUUGAUUCACCAUUUCUUAUGAUUUAAAGUGCUAUUGAUUGCUCCCAAAUGUAUGUGUAUCAAAAGAUGGUUACCCAAGUAUAAGGAUGAGAUGGUAACUUUAAAAAUCCUAAAGAGUUAGGUAUCGAACCUCAAGGAGGUGACCUUGGAAUGUAAGUGAGAUGGAGAGAUUUGAAGGAUGAAUGCCAGAUUUUUUUUAGGAAAAAAUCUUUUUUUUUUUCAAUUGAUUAAGAAAAGAGGUUUGUGAAUUUUUUUGAAAAACAAGGGAAAAUAAACUAAGCAAAUUUGAUUCAAAACUUGUAUUAAAUGCUAAGAAAAUGGGGGUUCACUGGUUUCCUUCUCACCAUGAAAUAAUCCUUAAUUAAAUUAACUCAGCCAAGACACUUAUGGGUUUUCUUAAUUGGAAUAUUCUCAAUGAAACCACAAUUGAAUUGAAUCAAAAGUCUCAAACUUAUUAAUUGGAUUUUUUUAUAAAACAUUUAAAGUUCCUAAUACUCGUUUGCUUGCCAAAUUGCAAUAUUAAGGGCUCAAUAAUUGUCAUUUCAAGUCAAAAUCCUUGUUAUACAUUUGACAUACCUUUAAAGCCCCCCCUAAACUUCAAUUUCCAAACUUUGAGAUAUGACAAUUUCACAAAAGUUGAAGAAAUCCAAAUUACAAGCCGAUUAAAUUUAUAAAUACCCAAAAUUAGAGGAUCAUUCCAAGGAUAAAAGGGAGUGCCCUAGGGCUCCUUUUCCUUAGCCUAUUUGGCUACUCGAAAGACAUGAAAACAAACUAAACUUAAGAAUAAAAAAAGAGUGCAAGAAAUUGAACAUUAAAAUCCAAUACUCAAGUCUAAUAAUACGUUGAUAAAAUGAAAGCAAGAAUAUUUGAUUACAAUUGAAGAAAAUGAGUUCAAAGCAAAUAAAAUAAUCCAAACAACAUAGGAAAAAAAAGAAGAUAACCUAAACUCCAAUCGCUUCCAAGAUCUCUUUUUUCCAAAAGCUAUAUCAAAAAGCCAAAGUGAAGAACAAAGAAGGAACCCCAUAACAACUGUCAAGGACCUCUUUUAUAGGCUCUCCAACCAUACCCAAGGUGGUUUUCCAUCAAGUGAAAGAUCAAAUGGUUACUUGGAAGUAUCCAAAAAAAGGUAGGCUCCACACAUUCCUAUGGAUCCUAUACAAAAUGGCGACACCAAUAGCAAAAGCGGCAUUGCCAAGGGGCAAUGCCACUUUGGCAAUGUCUUGCCCUCACCUUUUAUAGAAAGUGGCGGCACCCCUUGAAAGUGGUGUCAAUUUGCAUUACUAUGGCACCCCAAGGUGGUGUCACUUAUCUUCCUAAUUUAUUUGCAUAAGCAAAUGACCUUCAAAUCUUCUGAGAUUUGGCGAGAUUGAACUUCAAGGAGUCAAGAGCCUAACAAGUUUCAAGUCAUUUGAAAAUUUGUAGCUCCUUCAACCAAGUUAAAACUUUUUAUUGGUCAAAAUGGGACAACGCUUGUGGCCUCCAUGCGAUUUUGAUCCUUUGGCUCAACUCAAGCCUUGUUCUUGAAUCUAGGAUAUCCUAAGAUGAUCUUAAGAUCAUCAUUAUUCAUAAAAGUGGUUGUAAACAUAAAAAAAAAAAUAAUAAUAAUAAAAACUAUAAGAAAAUAUGAGAAAAUCGAGCAUGCACAAGGUAGCAUAUAAUUGACUAGUUAGAGGGUGCUUUUGGUGCUAUAAUCAAGCUUAAAAUAUGAUAAUUGCCCUUGUUUCCAUGCAAUUUAUGGAAUUAAUCAUGCCCCACAACCAAGCCAUUGCUAGCCCUUAGCAAUGUCAAUGAUAAAAUAAACAAAAUAAAUGAAGUAUGCAUGCAAACCUAAACAUGGACACUAGCAUCACUUACCUUACAAAAACAAGCUUGAUUAGAUAAUUUGCCUAAUUCAAGUUUUGUCAUCAAUUCUUCAUUCUAAAUAGUCAAAACAUCGAAUUCUUUAAUGAGAGAUCGGGAAUGGUGUGAUAAUUAGACUUUCUCACAAGGAGUCCCUCUCUUAAGAAUAAGAGGUCUUUAAUAUCUAAGAUCUCUAUAAUAUGCAAUCUCUUAGAUCUCUAAUAUCUAAUCCUCAAGGGGUUAUAAUAAAGUAUUUAUAGACAAAAACCAAAAGAGCCUUGAUAUCUUAAGUUUCCAAAUAGAGUUUGAAUGAAUCCUUCAUACAAUAAAAUCAAAAUUAUUAAAUAUCUAUUUUAAUUGAUUUAUAAAAUUCAUAUUUAUUAAAUUUAUUUUAAUAAUUUAAUAACUUUUUUAUAUUUCAUAUUUAUCCAUUUAUAAAAUAAAGAUUUUUUUAUUAAAUAAUUUCAUUGUGAAAUUUAUCUUUUUUAAAUUAGCUUUUUUAUCCUUAGUUCUUUCAUGUAAUAAAUAAAAUAUUUUAAAUAAAAAAAUCUAUUUUAAUUUAUUUAUGAGAAUUACACUAAAGCAAAAUGCAAUUUUAAAUGACUUAUAUUGAAAUUAUUUUUUUUAGUUAUCUAAUAUAAUAAAUUUAGAAUUCAUAAUAAGCUCAACUUCCUUAGUUUAUAAGAAUUAAUUUUUUGUUAAAUGAUUGAUAAAAAAAAUAAAAAUUAUUAUUCUGUAUUUUUAAAUAACAUUGAUAUAAAAUAAAAAUGAAGAUGAUAUUAAAUAAUACAUUAUUUUUUAUUAUAAAUUAUAUAUUUUAAUAAUAUAAACUAUUAUUACUUAACUUCCAUUACUAAAUUAUUAACCUCCAAAAUUCAAUAUAAAUACAAUUUUACUUAGUUAUUGAUAGAAAAAGCCUCCAACUAGAAAUUGACAAGAAGUUUUUUUCUUCUUCGUUUGUACACUUCAAAUCAAAGGUCAUAAUUAAAUAUAUAAGUCCAAGAGUCAAAAAUCUAACUUUGGUACACCGGACCAUAAAAUUCUCCUUUGAACCAUUCAUGUUAAACUGUGUUUUAAAAACCCACUCGGACUAGCCGGUCUGACCAUCACUGCUCUUUCCACCUCCUACCGCUGCCCCUUUUUCUCCCUUUCUUUAGCAACUCUUCCCCCAUUUUCAUAUUUUAAAAUUUGUGAUUUUAAUUUAAAUUAAUGAAAACCUUAUGAUUUUAAAUAAAUAUCUAAAAAUUGUGUCACUUAGAUUUUAAAUAAAUUUCUGAUUUUUAAAAUAAGUUUAUGAUUUAAAAAUAAAAUUUAAAAUUUUCUAAUUUUAAAUUAAAAUUUUGAUUUUAAUUUAAAUUUAUGAUUUGAAACUAAUUUUCUGUUUUUCAAAUAAUUUUAUGAUUUUCAAAUAAAAUUUUGAUUUUAAAAUAAUAUAUAAAUUAUUAUUUUAAUUUUUGUAACUAUUUUUAAUUUUAAUAAUAUAUUAAUUAUAUAAUUAUGACAUCAUCAAUUCAACUAUAGUUUGACUAUGAGUCUGAUAUAUCAUUUCUUUAUGUAUGUCUUAAAGCAUAUUAAUUUUAUGAUUGAAUAGACUGAUAUCUAUCAGGGACUGUACCUGGACUCCCAAAAUAAUUUUCUAAAAAUGUAUAAAUUUAUGUAACAAGACCUUGAAUUUAGAAAUCAAUUUAAUAUCAUUGACAUCAAUGCAUAUACAUAGAUAAGCAUAAAUUAAAUGUUAGUAUUCUCAUUCAUAAAUACAAGUCAUGGGGGUUGGUGAUUGACUCGGUGUGGUUCUAUAUGAAUGAGCGAUUCCCACCUGGAACUCGCCAUUCCAAGUUUCUGAACUUUCUCUCUUCUCUGCCUACCCAGCGCCUAUCUCUCUGUGCUUGGUCUGUAUCAUUUCAACUUAAUUUUAUUGCAAAGAAAAGCUUGUCUUACCUUUCGGGUGAUUGCAUGAUCAGCAGGUGUUUUCGGAAGGGAGACACACAUAUUUGUAAACUUAGAUAUAUAUAGAGAUAUACCUCGUCAGUUUGGUGAGUUUGAAAAUGUGGAGGCUCAAGGUUGCAGAUGGAGGCAAUGCUCCCUACAUCUACAGCACCAACAACUUCGUGGGAAGACAGAUAUGGGAGUUUGAUCCUGAUUAUGGAACCCCAGAAGAGCGAGCUGAGGUUGAAGCAGCUCGUGAAAAUUUCUGGAAAAAUCGGUUUCUGGUUAAGCCCAGCUGUGAUCUUCUCUGGUGAAUGCAGGUGAUCCCAUCUGUGUCAAAUAUGCAAGAACACAUAGGAACAUGAAUAUAUAGUAUUUACAAGGAUGAAAAUAUCGAUAAUUACAUAUAAUUUUAUGAAUAUAUCAGACAUAUCAGAGAAAUAUCGGUAGAUAUUUUUUCACAAAUAUCGAUGAAGCGAAAAUUAUUCAAAAUUCAUAAGAAUGCUUGGAAAAACUCAAAAAAAAUGAUAAAAUAAGCAAGAAUGCGCAUUUUAAAGUUAUUUUGUAGGUGUAAUUGACAUAGAUAAGAUCAAGAAGAAAAACAUCCGUAAGCAGAGAUAUAUCGGUAGAUUCAAUACUUGAAUUUUAAGAAUAAUAAAUAAGAAUUUUGGAAGCGUAUAAAGUUAGAAUUGAGUUAAGAAAUAUUUGAUUUUAUUGAAUAAAAAUAAUUUAUAAAUAAAUAUAAUACAUAUGACAUUGCAAUAGUCCUUAGUAACAAAAUGAAGAUCGGUGUGGUUCUAUCAUACUGUUAAAUGAAGGGAACCUAUCUUGUUGAAGACAAUAUUUAUUUAAAAAAUUUUAAAAUAUUUUUAUUAAAACAUGUUUUAUUACAUUUUAAAUGAAAAAUUAAAUUAAUUAAAUAAAAUAUUUUAUAUGAGAUUUAUAUUUGGUAACAACUUUUUCUAUUAACAUUAAUUUAUUUAAAUAAUUAAAAUUAUUAAUAAUUUAUCUUAUCAAAUUAAUUUUAAUUUAUAAAAUAUUAGAACUUUCUUAAUUUUUAUAUUAUAGCAAUUUUUUUGGGUAAAAUUAUAUUUUUAAUAUUUUAAAAUAAAAACAUUUAAAAUUAAAUAAAAUUGAAAGGAUAAAUAUAUAUAUAUAUAUAUAUAUAUAUAUAUAUAAAUAAUAAUAAUAGUGAAGUGAUAAUAAUUUUUAAAAAUAGGAUUAAUGAGAUAAAUAUGAAAAGUGUUAAAAAUAAAAGGAUAAUAUAAAAUAAAAUGACAAUAUAAAAACAACGGUGAAAUUUGGACCUCGUAAAAAAUUCAAAUAUGAGAAUUUUCAAAAAUUUUUUUAAAAAAGCCCAAAAAAUCACUGAUUUUUAAAAAAAGCCCAAAAAGUGUCAAAAACUCGGUGAUUUUUAGGCAAUUUUUAUCCAUUCUCCCAUGCUCCGAUUUUAUCGCCAAUUUAUCGGUUCCAAAUCGAUAUAUCACCGAUAUUUGGACGAAUCGGACAAUUUUCCUGAUAUUUUUUUCAAUAUUCCUCCCGUUCGAUAAUUGACACUCAAAAUCGUUAUAUAUAGGAGAAUAUCACCCAUAAAAACAAAAAUUUCAAUCCAUGAGUAUAUGUAGGGUAUGCAUGCUUAUGUGACUUGAACCAAAGAAAUCGUUUAGCUUCAAAGAAGUCUCCUUAUUCUACUUCUUUAAUUAGUUAAUUUAAUACACUGAAGAAUAAUAUAAUGAGAAAGUGUCAAGUGGGCAUAGGGUGAACAUUUUUAUUGUUUAUUUCUCUUGUGCAGGCUGUUCUAUUAUCAUCUAAACUUUCAUUGGAAACAGUUGGGGAACCAUUAGAUAUGGAGCAAUUGUUUGAUGCUGUAAAUGUUAUGGUAUGGACAUAUUGAGUGGGUAUAGGUAUGGGUGUUAGAACUGACUUGGAACAAUGAGUGUUUUUUGUCAUUGUCUAUUUUAACUCCAUGUGAAGUUCACUACAUUCAAUCUUAUUUUUAAAAUUUAUUUAUUUAUUUAUUUUUUUACUCCAAUAGAGAUAAUCUUUUUAGACUGAAGCUUCUAUGGUUCCUUGAUCAAGUCUCUCUUGUGCAAAAAAAUUAUUCUUUAUGGUGGCUUUGAUUAACAUGUGUUUGGCCCACUGGAAAUGUGUUUGGCAUGAUGAGACAUAUUGGGAAUUUUUGUAGUAAUGGAUGAGAAAGCCAUCUUAAUAAUGUUUCUCAAAUCAUUGGGCCUAUUAUAAUAGGUUAGCUUCUAAUCCUUUUGUGGCUUUUGGUGAUAGGGUUUUCCUAAAAUGGAAGAUGUUGUGUUGCUGAGAACUUACAACCAAACAAAAACAAAAGGUUGAAGACAAUCUUGAUAAGAUUUGAGAUGGAUUCAUAAUUUAAAUGCUCUAUGUAUAAAUCAAUAUACAAGUGACGUCAAGGGCAAGUAAUUCUGUGAGAAUUUGAGAAUUUUAUAGAUACUUUAAGAAAUCUUUUGUAUCUUUUGUUAAUAGUAGGAUUAGUUGUAAAGGUGUGAAGAUCCAUAUUUUGUGGAAUUUGUUUUUGAAAAAGCUAGAUGUGUUUGUUGGGUUUGGUAUUGACUCAACAGUAAUGUGCCUAAAAUUGUAAUAUUUAUAUAUCAACAUAUGAAUGAAAUCAUGUGUUCACAUGGUAUCAAAGCACCAAAAAGAUCUUAAUAUGACCUGUGAGUGAAAAAAAAACCACCAACAAGGCUUUCGCUAAAAACCGUCAUGGCUUCCAACAAUACGUCUGCUCUUUCAACCCUAGUUUUCAAUGGUGAAAACUAUCAAGUUUGGGCUGUUAAGAUGAAAGCUUACUUGAGAGGUCUUAGUUUGUGGUAGUGGGUUGAAACUAAAAGGCAAAUACAGCCUUUGGGAAACAAUCCAACCCUCAAUCAAAUCAGGGCUUAUGAAGAAGAGAAAGCUAAAGCUCUAAGAGCUUUAUCUUACAUCCAUGUUGUUGUCUCAGAACCAAUUUUCACAAGGAUUAUAGCUUGCGAAACACCAAAAGAGGCGUGGGACAAGCUCAAGGAGAUGUAUUUGGGGAGUGACAGAACUAGGCAAAUGUAGAUUCUGAAUCUAAAGAGGCAAUUUGAAGUUUUGAGGAUGAAAGACAAUGAGUCCAUCAAAGAAUAUGUAGACAGGCUCAUGGAAGUUGUUAACAAAAUCCGGCUUCUUGGUGAGGAUCUAACAGACCAAAAGGUUGUAGAGAAAGUUCUAGUGAGCUUGCCUGAAAGAUUUGAGUCCAAGAUCUCUUCACUUGAAGACUCAAAGGAUUUAACCAAAAUUUCCUUGGCUGAUCUUGUUCAUGCUUUUCAAGCUCAAGAAUAGGGGAGAUUAAUGAGACAGGAAGAAAGCAAUGAAGAAGCUUUUCUUGCACUGCAAAAAAGAAAAGCUUCUCAAGGCAGAGAGAAAAAGCAAUCUGGUGAGAAGAAUGAGGGCCAAGGAAGGAAAAGUGGUGGCAAAAAGAGAUAUCCUCCAUGUCCUCACUGCAAGAAACAGAGUCAUUCAAAGAAUUUUUGUUGGUAUAGGCCAAGUGUACAAUGCAGAUCAUGCAAGCAAUUUGGUCAUGUAGAGAAGGUAUGCAAGAAUAAAAAUGAUCAGCAAGGGGAGCAAGGACAACAAGCACAAAUGGCUGAAAAUCAGUAGCAACAGGAGCAAUUGUUUAUUGUUACAAGUCAUGCAACAAGCAGCUAUAUAGAAACUUGGCUUAUUGACAGUGGUUGUACAAACCACAUUACUCCUGAAUUGAGCUAUUUCAAGGAGUUGGAUCAGUCAUAUAAGUUGAAAGUGAAGAUUGGAAAUGGAGAUUUGGUUGAUGUCAAGGGCAAGGGAGUUGUUUCUGUUGAGACUCCAACAGGUAUUAAAUAUAUCUCAGAUGUGUUGUUUGUGCCUGAAAUUAGUCAAAGCUUAUUAAGUGUGGGUCAAAUGCUAAAAAAGAAUUAUUCUUUGCAUAUUCAAAAAAUGUCCUGCACUGUUGUUGAUAAUGUUGGUUGUAAGUUGAUGACUGUAAAAAUGAGAGACAAAAGCUUUCCAAUUAAGUGGAAAGAGACUAAUUUGCAUGCCUAUACCACUGUUGUUGAUAUUAAAUAAUACAUUGUUUUUUUUUAUUAUAAAUUAUAUAUUUUAAUAAUAUAAAAUAUUAUUACUUAACUUCCAUUACUAAAUUAUUAACCUCCAAAAUUCAAUAUAAAUACAAUUUUACUUAGUUAUUAAUGGAAAAAAAAGCCUCCAACAAGAAAUUGACAACAAGUUUUUUUCUUCUUCGUUUGUACACUGCAAAUCAAAAGUCACAAUUAAAUAUAUAAAUCCAAGAGUAAAAAAUCUAACUUUGGUACACCGGACCAUAAAAUUCUCCUUAGAACCAUUCUCCAUUUUAUGUGUUAAGUUGUGUUUUAAAAACCCAAUCGGACUAGCCAAUCCGACCACCAUUGCUCUUCCCAACUCCUGCUGUUGCCCCCUCUUCCCCCUUUCUUUAGCAGCUCUUCUCCCCAUUUUCAUAUUUUAAAAUUUGUGAUUUUAAUUUAAAUUAAUGAAAAUAUUAUGAUUUUAAAUAAAUAUCUAAAAACUUUGUGUCCCUUAGAUUUUAAAUAAAUUUCCGAUUUUAAAAUAAGUUUAUGAUUUAAAAAUAAAAUUUAAAAUUUCUAAUUUUAAAUUAAGAUUAUGAUUUUAAUUCAAAUUUAUGAUUUGAAACUAAUUUUCUGUUUUUUAAAUAAUUUUAUGAUUUUAAAAUAAAAUUUUGAUUUUAAAAUAAUAUAUAAAUUAUUAUUUUAAUUUUUGUAACUAUUUUAAAUUUUAAUAAUAUAUUAGUUAUAUAAUUAUGACAUCAUCAAUUCGACUAUAGUUUGACUAUCAGGGACUGUAUGCCUUAAACCAUAUCUAUCAGGGACUCCCAAAAUAAUACAAGUAAUGAGCGAUUCCCUCCUGGAACUCGCUAUCACAUGAUUCACAUCUACUCUAUGUUCAAAUACUGGUGGCCAUUUCUCCUAAUAACAACCACAAGAACCAUAAUUAUAACUGAUGGCAACAACACAGAAGGUCAUUUAUUUCCUUUCCAUUUUUGGGGGUUUGCAAAAAUGGAAUCUUUCACAUGUUAGUUGAUUGAGACUUUAAUUGGACAAUUUGAAUGUUAGUUGAUGUGUCAUUUCUUCAUGUAUGUUUUAAGUAUAUUAAUUUUAGGAUUGAAUGACUGAUAUCUAUCAGGGACUGUCCCUGGACUCCCAAAAUAAAUUUCUAAAAAUGUACAAAUUUAUGUAACAUCAAUGCAUAUACAUAGAUAAGCAUAAAUUAAACGUUAGUAUUCUCAUUCAUAAAUACAAGUCAUGGGGGUUGGUGAUUGACUUGCUGUUGUGCUUCUAUAUCAAUGAGCGAUUCCCUCCUGGAACUCGCCAUUCCAAGUUUCUGAAGUUUCUCUCUUCUCUGCCCACCCAGCACCUAUCUUUCUGUCCUUGGUCUGUAUCAUUUUAACUUAAUUUUACUGCAAAGAAAAGCUUGUCUUACCUUUCCGGUGAUUGCAUGAUCAGCAGGUGUUUUCGGAAGGGAGACACAUAUUUGUAAACUUAGAGAUAUAUCUCGUCAGUUAGAAAAUGUGGAGGCUGAAGGUUGCAGAUGGAGGCAAUGAUCCCUACAUGUACAGCACCAACAACUUCGUGGGAAGACAGAUAUGGGAGUUUGAUGCUGAUUAUGGAACCCCAGAAGAGCGAGCUGAGGUCGAAGCAGCUCGUGAAAAUUUCUGGAAAAAUCGGUUUCCGGUUAAGCCCAGCUGUGAUCUUCUCUGGCGAAUGCAGGUGAUCCCAGUUGUUUUUUUACUGUUUUUAUUGUUAUUACUUACUGUUAUGUCAUGAUUUGGGUUAACUUCAUGCUGUACCCUAAACCCAAAUCCAGCCCAGCCCAACUGAAUUGGACAGAUCUAAAGCCCAUUGGGCAGAGAGGACUUCUGUGACAACCCAUAUAUAUAGAAAAUUUAGUACUUGAAUUAGAGCUGUUUUGAUCUUAGUCCAUCCUAUAUUUGUUGUGUGUGUAUGUCUUUAAUUGGUAGAGAGACUACAAUCUUUUCAUAUUUAAAGCCAGAAGCAUUAUCUUUUCACAUUUAAAGCCAGACGCAUUCUCUUCGAUGAUUCUUAGAACUUCAGGAAGAAACAAGAACCGAACCUAUUGUUGUUUUUUUUACUGUUUUUAUUGUUAUUACCUACUAUCAUGUCAUCAGUAUUGAACAUUCAUUUGUUUUGAGGUUUAGAGUGCUUUUGCAUUGAUGCUAAUUAAUGAAGAUGUCUUUUGCAAAGCUUUCAAAUGGGUUUCUGAGUGCAUAUGAUGCUAAAAGAGAGAUGUUUUAGAAAACGGGCUUAGUUAUGAUGCUGAUCUCCAGGCACAUGAUGGUCAUUGGCCAGGGGAUUAUGGGGGUCCUAUGUUUCUACUGCCCGGAUUGGUAAGAGCUGACUUUUUGAAUGACUCAUGUUUCUCCAUUUGUAAAUUAACCAAUGCUAUUUGUCAGGGUUGAAUCUGGUGAGAAACACCCCCCCCCCAAAUAUAAUUUUUUUUUUCUAUAUAUGAUUUAUUCAUGUGUCUCAAUUUCCAUUUUAUCUAAUCCUUAUUUCCUCAUUGAAUAAGUGACAAUUGGGUGACAAAAUUGCAACGGGUCAUUACUUUAUAUAUUACGGGAGCUCUGAAUGUUGUCUUAUCAAUAGAACAUCAACGUGAGAUGUGUAGAUACCUUUUCAAUCAUCAGGCAAGAUUAUUUUCCUAUAUUUUGGCACUCUUAAAGUAUUAUGGUCUUUUGUUGCUGUUAAACUACCACUUGCAAUGAACUUUAGCUUUUGGGUCAAACGGUAGUCUAACAUAAUAUUAGAGUUUUGGUUCCAUGAUCUGAUAUCAUGUUAAGCUUUUGUAGAAGUGUAGUUUAACUAUCACUUCUCUUUCAUUUUAUAGGAUUCGAGACUCUAGAGAUAUUAACAUAAAUUAUUGUGUCGUCAUAAUUUUCUUUUGAUAUCAUUUUGAGAUGAGUACUUCCUCAACAUUAUUCUUCCUACAUACUCAUGUAAAGUGCUAUUAUUUUUAUGGGAAGCUAAAAUAUUCAACCAAAUGAAGCCUUUUACCAUUUACUUGGCUAGCUCUGGCAUUGCUAGUGAAGAAACAAAAGCAAUUAAAGGGAUAGCACGUUUUGUUGCAGAAUGAAGAUGGAGGUUGGGGGCUACACAUUGAGGGCCCGAGCACCAUGUUUAGUACUAUGCUAAGCUAUGUUACUCUAAGAUUGCUUGGUGAAGGAGCUUUUGGUGCAAAAGGAGCAAUGGAAAAGGCGCGGAAAUGGAUCUUGGACCAUGGGGGUGCAACUGCAAUAACUUCUUGGGGGAAAAUGUUGCUUUCUAUAUGAACUCAAAACUUUUGGCUUGAGAUAAAAUAUUAAUUGUUUUACAACUAUGAGUUGACAUUUGAUCUGCUUCUGAUGGCCACAGGUACUUGGAGCAUAUGAAUGGUUUGGGAAUAAUCCACUCCCACCAGAAGUGUGGCUAUGUCCUUACAUUCUUCCAAUUCAUCCAGGUCUCUCUCUCUCACUCUCUCUAAGUGUGUAAAUAUAAAUAUAAAUAUGAUUAUAAGUCUCGUGCAAUGAGGUGUAAAGGAUCAUGGUUAGCUGCAGAAGAAGUUAUUAAUCAUAUCAACUUGAUGCAUAACAAAGAUCCUAACUAGUGGGGAAAGUCAAAUGGCUAGAAAAUAUAAGUGGAGAUGAUUGUAACGCAUAAUGAAGGAUUGGACAAUACCUUCAAUAUAUCUAACUUACAUAAAAAAUAACAACAUGACUUAAUCAUAAAAUAUGAAUUUUUAAAUUAUGCCAAACUUUCCUUGACUACAAAAAGGGUUAGUGCAAUAGGUGUAGGAAAAAGAAUGUUUUUGUUAUACUUGGAGAGUUAAUUUACAACAAAUCAGGGCCCUAAAAUUAAAUUUAAGAAUUUAUAUUAAUGGAAAAAUAUCAAAACAAAUUAAAGAGAUCAUGAAAUAAUUUAAUUUUACAAAACAAUUUCUGGUGUCCAAAAUAGAGUGAAAAAAUGGACCUAUUGAAAUAUUGGUUUAUAUCUCUUAAUUGAAAAAUGAUUUUAGACUCAAACAAAAUUCUAUCAAUAUAUCUAGGAAGUCUACAACAUUAUGCAAUCAUGAGAAAAUUUUUAGAGAGACAUGAAACAACCUGAUUCAAUUUUUUAAUUACAAAGGUUCAAUAAUUCUAACAAAACGACAACAAGGUGAAUAAUCCAAACAUCACAAUAAAAAAUGAAUAACCAAAAAUAAAAUCGAAGGCAAUAAAAAUCAAAUAAAGGAUCUCUUAGCCACUAUCGUAUGUUAUCAAAAGGCCUCAAUCAAGUGAAAAUAAUUUCAAAGAAAAUAACUCUAAUCUUAAUUCUAAUAGGCAUCAAUUAACACGAGAUCAAUUAACCAUUCAUCAACUUCUAAGUAAUAUGUCAUCAACAAUCCGAUUAACAAUAAUCAAAGUGGCCUUCAUUAUUAGAUAUGCAAGAAAAUUGAUAAAGAGAUGAUCAGUUGAUUGGAAAAAAAUUAAUAUAUAUAGAUAAGAAUAAAUUAAAAAUUAAUAUUUUCAUUCAUAAACCUAAUCCUCCCUCACCAAGUUUAUUGACUUUAUUGGGUUUUCUCCAUGUGUAAAAUGACUUCAAAUUCAAUAAAAUUUCAUGUGUUAGGUUUAUUAACGAGUUUUAGAGCUCAAAAACCAAAUCAAGUAAUCCCAAAAUUUCACAGAUUGAAAGUGGCCUAAAAUGACUAUUCGCAGGUUCUCCUUUGCGCAUAAUUAUAUAUUUUUAAUAAAUAAAUAAACUUUAUUUAAAUAAAAUUAAUGCAUUGGAUUCUUUGAUUUAGAAAUCUAUCAAUUCCAUAAAUUUUUUUUGCAAAGACACCUGCUGGUCAUGCAAUCACCAUCCUCGUAUCAGAGGCUCCAUAAAGGUAAGACAAGCUUUUCGUUGAAAUAAAAUAUAUCAAUAAAAAAUACUUGAGAGUCCAAAAAUUCCACAAACGUGGUGGGGGUUGGUGAAAAAAUCCAUAAUACUUGAAGUGGGUGAAAAAUGAAUUGAUAGAAGUGAUGGGGGUUGGUGACUUGGUGUUGUGCUUCUCUAUGAAUGAGUGAUUCCCACCUGGAACUCGCCAUUCCAAGUUUCUGAAGUUUCUCUCUUCUCUGCCCACCCAGCACCUAUCUCUCUGUCCUUGAUCUGUAUCAUUUUAACUUAAUUUUAUUGCAAAGAAAAGCUUGUCUUACCUUUAUGGUGAUUGGAUGAUCAGCAGGUGUUUUCGGAAGGGAGACACAUAUUUGUAAACUUAGAUAUAUAUAGAGAUAUAUCUCUUCAAUUUGGUGAGUUAGAAAAUGUGGAGGCUCAAGGUUGCAGAUGGAGGCAAUGAUCCCUACAUCUACACCACCAACAACUUCGUAGGAAGACAGAUAUGGGAGUUUGAUCCUGAUUAUGGAACCCCAGAAGAGCGAGCUGAGGUCGAAGCAGCUCGUGAAAAUUUCCGGAAAAAUCGGUUUCCGGUUAAGCCCAGCAGUGAUCUUCUCUGGCGAAUGCAGGUGAUCCCAUCUGUGUCAAAAUAUGCACUAGAUGAGUUAUCCUACUUCUUUAAUUAGUUAAUUUAAUACACUGAAGAAUAAUAUAAUGAGAAAGUGCCAAGUGGGCAUAGGGUGAACACCUUGAGCUUAGAUUAAUUAAUUGGUCUUGUUCUAGCUUACGUCUUCAACUUCUUAUAUGUACUAGAUGAGUGCAUAUAUAUAAACAACAUGUGAAAUGAAGUAGUAUAUGGAAAAAUUGAGAAAGGAAAUUGAAAAGAUAGAUGUUAAAAUCUUUUAAUAGAUGGAAAGAGAGAAGGAAAACAUGAAUUUUGGAGUUAUGCUUUGUGCAGAGGGUUUGGGUUAACUUCAUGCUGUACCCUAAACCCAAAUCCAGCCCAACCCAACUGAAUUGGACAGAUCUAAAGCCCAUUGGGCAGAGAGGACUUCUGUGACAACCCAUAUAUAUAUAGAAAAUUUAGUACUUGAAUUAGAGCUGUUUUGAUCUUAGUCCAUCCUAUAUUUGUUGUGUGUGUAUGUCUUUAAUUGGUAGAGAGACUACAAUCUUUUCAUAUUUAAAGCCAGAAGCAUUCUCUUCAAUGAUUCUUAGAACUUCAGGAAGAAACAAGAACCGAACCUAUUGUUGUUUUUUAACUGUUUUUAUUGUUAUUACCUACUAUUAUGUCAUGAUCAUGGUCAUUAGUAUGUUAGGUUUUUAGUUGCUUAUAGAACAUUCAUUUGUUUUGAGGUUUAGAGUGCAUAUGAUGCUAAAAGAGAGAUGUUUUAGAAAACGGGCUUAGUUAUGAUGCUGAUCUCCAAAUUAACUUGAUAUGCCAAAAUAUUCCUGUGCAAGAAAUGCUAGAUUGCAUACUUCGAAAAAAAUAGCUCACAAACUUGAGGGAUAGAUAUAGACUUCUUUUAUUUUUCAAAGCUGGGAAACUUUAUACUGCAUGUCAUUGCUGAGACUGUGAGAAAAAAUAGGAAGAGAAAUGAAAAAUAAGUUGUAUGGUUGCUUUUAGAAGUUUCCAUGUUCAAGUCAAAAACAUGUUGGGUAUUGACACUUCUCUGGCAGACUGUACAUGUGUUUCAAGGAUUUAAGUUUUUAAUUUCAUUACAUUUCAUAUUUAUAAUUGCUUGCUGACUUAUUAUUAUUCUAACCUUUUCUUUCUGAAAUAUAGUUUGCAAGGGAGAACCCAUGUGUCGCAAACUUGCCACAAAUCAAAGUUCAAGAUUUGGAAGAAGUGACGGAGGAGGUGGUGACGACUACCUUACGAAGGGGCUUAAAUUUCUAUUCAACUAUGCAGGCACACGAUGGUCAUUGGCCAGGGGAUUAUGGGGGUCCUAUGUUUCUACUACCCGGAUUGGUAAGAGCAGACUUUUUGAAUGGCACAUGUUCCUCCAUUUGUCAAAUAACCAAUGCUAUUUGUCAGGGUUGAAUCUGGUGAGAACCCUUUUUAUUUUUUCAUUUGAUAAUCUCAUUUCAUCUCUAUUGAACUUUAUGCAAGUCUUUUUAGAACCCACUGGAGAAGGCCAAAUAUAAUUUUUUUUCUAUAUAUGAUUUAUUCAUGUGUCUCAAUUUCCAUUUUAUCUAAUCCUUAUUUCCUCAUUGAAUAAGUGACAAUUGGGUGACAAAAUUGCAACAGGUCAUUACUUUACAUAUUACAGGAGCUCUGAAUGUUGUCUUAUCAAUAGAACAUCAACAUGAAAUGUGCAGAUACCUUUUCAAUCAUCAGGCAAGAUUAUUUUCCUAUAUUUUGGCACUCCUAAAGUAUUACAGUCUUUUGUUGUUGUUAAACUACCACUUGCACAAGAACUUUAGCUUUUGGGCCAAACGAUAGUCUAACAUAAUAUUAGAGUUCUGGUUCCAUGAUCUGAUACCAUGUUAAGCUUUUGUAGAAGUAUAGUUUAAUUGUCACUUUUCUCUUUCAUUUUAUAGGAUUCAGGAAUUUGAUGACAGAGAUAUUAACAUAAAUUAUUGUGCUGUCAUAAUUUUCUUUUGAUAUCAUUUUGAGACGAGUACUUCCUCAACAUUAUUCUUUCCACAUACUCAUGUAAAGUGCUAUUAUUUUGAGGGGAAGCUAAAAAAUUCAACCAAAUGAAGCCUUUUACCACAAGCUCUAGCAUUGCUAGUGAAGAAACAAAAGCAAUUAAAGGGAUAACACGUUUUGUUGUAGAACGAAGAUGGAGGUUGGGGGCUACACAUUGAAGGCCCAAGCACCAUGUUUGGUACCGUGCUAAGCUAUGUUACUCUGAGAUUGCUUGGUGAAGGAGGUUUUGGUGUAGAAGGAGCAAUGGAAAAUGGGCGAAAAUGGAUCUUAGACCAUGGGGGUGCAACUGCAAUAACUUCUUGGGGGAAAAUGUGGCUUUCUGUAUGAACUCAAAACUUUUGGCUUGAGCUAAAAUAUUAAUUGUUUUGUAACUAUGAGUUGACAUUUGAUCUAUUUCUGAUGGCCACAGGUGCUCGGAGCAUAUGAAUGGUCUGGGAAUAAUCCACUCCCAACGGAAGUGUGGCUAUGUCCUUACAUUCUUCCAAUUCAUCCAGGUCUCUCUCUCUCACUCUGUGUGUGUGUGUAAAUAUAAAUAUAAAUAUAAAUAUGAAUAUAAGCAAGGAGGUGAUUGUAAGGCAUAAUGAAGGAUUAAAGAAUUAAAAUUGCUUUUAGACAACUAGGACAAGAAUAUUACGUUAGAGGAAAGCUAUAGUAUCUAAUUUUAUUCUUCAUGUUAGAGAAUAGAAGCAAACUAUGGAGCAAGGAGGUUUCUUUAAAUAGAAUCCUAGACUUUGAAAGGGCUAGUUUAAUUAUUUUUUUAAAAAAUUUUCAACGCAUUUGGGUUCUUGCUAAUUUUAUUUAUAUUUUUGGGGAUUUUCCCCUAAAGUGUCCUCUUUAUUCCUUAAUUCAUUACCAUCAAAGCUUUAACUGAUUGUUUAAUUACUUUGCUCGAGUUUUUUUUCUUCCCUAUUAACAAAACUAGGUUCUAUUUCCACUUUAUUAAAGACUUUAAUUUUAUUCUCCUUGACAAACAAGUUACCAAAAAAUUAGGCAGCUUUUCAGGUUGAUUUUAUCUCACUGCUAGCAGGAUUUUAUUUGUCAAUGGUAAACUUUCAAAUUUUUAUCUAUAGGACGAAUGUGGUGUCAUUGCCGAAUGGUGUAUUUGCCCAUGUCGUACAUAUAUGGGAAGAGGUUUGUUGGUCCAAUUACACCCACAAUUAUUUCUUUGAGAAAUGAGCUAUACAUAGUCCCUUAUCAAGAAGUAGAUUGGAAUCAAGCCCGUAAUCAAUGUGCCAAGGUUGGUUAGCAUAUUUUCUCCUUCUGAACUCAUGCUUUUAACUUUUACCAUCCCCUUAUGAUGCUAUUUUAGCUCUUGUACUAUGCUUCUGAUCAGUAUUCUUGCAUAUGCAUGAUCUACAAGUUUAUCCCCGGAAAGUUUAUCCUAUUAGUUGUUGACAUAUUUUAUGUUAAUUAUCACUGGGAUGUCUAUAAGUUUCUCUCCAUUUUGAAGCAUACUUGUAUCUGGUAGAUGAUCAAGGAGUAUUAUUGUUGUGAAGCAAUAUUCCCUAUGUCUUGAUCUCACUUCUUUUGUUCCAAGGAGAUACUGUAAUGACCUGCACCCAAUUGUGUAGAUAUUGUCUGCUCUGAGCCCAAAGGGGCCCUCAUGACCUUUAAAUGUGUUUACCAGGUUAAGACGAGUCUCUACAUAUAUAGCAUCAGGAACUUUCUCCCCAUCCGAUGUUGGAUAUCAUAAACACCUCCCAUGUAUACAUAAUGUGCUUGUUGUGGGGCCAAACAAAUAAAUACUCCAUACGGGGCCAAACAAAUUCCCACAUCGAGGUCAAGGAUCGGCUCUGAUACCAUUUAGAACAACCUGCUCCCAAUUUCUUAGAUAUUGCAUACUCUAGGCUUAAAGAGGUACUUAUGGCUUUAAAACACGUCUAUUAGGUUAAAAGGAGUCUCUACAUAUAUAGCGUUAGAAACUUUCUCCCCUAUUUGAUGUGAGGCAUCAUAAACACCUUCUCAUACAGACAUAACGUCAUCAUUGUGUUCCAUAGAAUUGUGGGGCCUAACAGAGAAACACCCCCUACGGGGCCAAACAAACCUCCACACUGGGAUCAAAGAUCGACUUUGAUACCAUUUGUAACGACCCACACCCAACCAUGUUAAUAUUGUUCACUUUGGGCCCAAAGAGGCUCUCACUGCCUUAAAACACGUGUAUAGGGUUAAAAGGAGCCUAUACAUAUAUAACACUAAGAACUUUCUCCCAUAUCCAAUGUCAGACAUCACAAACACCCCCCAUGUGGAUACAACGUCCUCGUUGUGGGGCCAAAUAGACAAAUACCCCCUAUAGGGCCAAGCAAAUCCCCACAUCGAGGUCGAGAAUCGACUUUGAUACAAUUUGUAAUGACCCACUCCAAAUCGUGUAGAUAUUGUUCACUCUAAAUCCAAAAGGGCCCUCAUAGAUUUAAAACACGUUUACAUGGUUAAGAGGAGCCUAUACAUAUAUAGCACUAGGAACUUUUUCCUCUAUUUGAUGUGGGACAUCACAAACACCCCCUAUGCAGAUAGAACAUCCUUGUCGUGGGACCAACUAAAUAAAUACUCCUUUGAACCCAGAGCAGACAAUUUCUACAUGGUUAGGAACAAGAAGUUACAAAUGGUAUCAAAGUCGAUCCUAGACCCUAGUGUGGGGAUUUGUUUGGCCCCGUAGAGGGGGUAUUUGUUUUUUUAGCCCCACAACAAGGAUGUUGUGUCUAUAUGAGGGGUGUUUGUGAUGUCCCAUUAGAUAGGGGAGAAAAUUCCUUGUGCUAUAUAUGUGAAGACUCCUCUUAACCCUAUAGACUAUUUUUAAAGCCGUGAGGACCCCUUUAGGUCCAGAGUGGACAAUAUCUAUAUGGUUGGGUGCAGGUCAUGAUAAUUGGUAUCAGAGUCGAUAUUUGACCCCGGUGUGGAGGUUUGUUUGGCCUUGUACGGGGUGUUUGUUUGUUUGGCCCCGCAAUCCCUUGCGACACAACAAGGAUGUUGUGUUUGCAUGAAGGGGUGUUUGUGAUGCCUCACAUCAAAUAAAGGAGAAAGUUUCUACCGUUAUAUAUGUAAAGGCUCCUCUUAACCUUGUAGACGCAUUUUAAGGUCGUGAGGGCCCCUUUAGGUCUAGAGCAAAUAAUAUCUACAUGGUGGGUGUGAGUCAUUAUAGAUAACCUUGAAAAUUUUAUUUUUUGUCAUUAGCAAGUAUGAUAGUCACAAAAGUAGUGGUUCUACUAUGGGCUUGUGUUGUAUUGUCUAACUGAAAGUUGAUUGCUGAAAGUGCAAAAUGCAACACCAAAGUGCUCCAAUUGUGCUUUGGUGGAUUGUUUUUAGCCCAUACCCCAUGCAUAACUCUCCUUUCACUAAGGAUGAAAGGGUGGUGGUGGUGCCAUAUAUGCUUCUUCUUCAAAAUAACACAAAUAUAAGCAAAAGUUGCUUUGUCAUGUUGACAUCUUGAUCUAAUUGUGGAGUGUUUUUUUUUUUUUUUUUUUGUUAUUGUUGGUUUUUUUUUUUUUUGGUCAUUGUCUAUUUUGACUCCAUGUGAAGUUCACUAUCUUCAACUUAAAAAAAAAAAAAAUUAGUUAUUUAUUUAUUUUUUACUCCAAUAGAGAUAAUAUUUUUAGACUGAAGUUUCUAAGGUUCCUUGAUCAAGUCUCUCUUCUGCAAAAAAAUUAUUCCUUAUUAACAUGCGUAUGGCCCAUUUUAAAAUAUAAUAUAAGCAUUUUAUCAAUAUGUAAUUUGAUGUGUUUAUUGGUAGUUUGGUUAGUUAGGUGUAGAUGUUAAAAUAAUAUCGAUACUUUGCAAAUAUUAAUUAAGAUAUCUAACAUAUUAUGAACACCAUGAUUUUCAUUUGUCAUUGAAAAAAAAUCUCUAAAGUAAGGUUAUGUUCCUGAAUUUGGGAAUUUAAUGGAAAUUUACAAUGCAACACAUAUGAAUAUUUUUAUAUAUAAAUUUCAUGUAUUUCAUGUUGAGUUGUGGAUUGCAGUGAUACUUUAUGAAUAAUAACUAUAGGAGUUGCUCAUCUUUUUCUCUAAGCUUAUUAUUGAGUAACUAAGGGUCUAAGAGAAACUUUUUGGCUGUUGUGAAAAGAAAUAGGUUUUCUUGCAAAGAUGAGCCAAUCUUUUGAAACUUGUUGAGAAUCUCAAUAAGAUCAUUUUUUUUAUUUGGUUGUUACCUAUUUUUUAGGGUUAAUCUAAUUGUUACCUAUUUUUUAGGGAUAAUUUUUGUAUUUUUUUAGGGAUAAGUUGUUGUUGUUGCUUUUUAGGGAUAAGUUGUAUAUUUUAAAUUUAUUUUGUUCCUAAAAAUCUGGGUCUACAACUGUAGAUUUAGUUUGAUUUGUUGUAGCUUAUCUAUAAAAGGAAGCAUGUUUCCAUUCCUUAUUCAAUUAAUAUACAACAUUUUUUUUAUCCCAUUCUAGAUGGUAUCAAAGGCAAGUUAAUUGGCUAUUCCAUUUCUUUUUGUUCUUAUUAUUUUCAAUUCUAUUCUUCUUCCCUUUCAUUUUCUAUUUCUAUCUCUUUACCAUGUCAGAAAUUUAUGAAUCUACUCAUUUCAUUACUACUAUUUCCAAUUCCUUAAAAUUACCCACAUCCAAUUCUCAUUCCCACUCUAUCCAAAUCACCACAAUUCGCCUUAAUGAGACCAAUUUUCUUAGAUGGUCACAAUAUGUUCAGAUGUACAUUAAGGAUUGAGGCAAAAUUGGUUAUUUGACUAGUGACACCAAAGAACUAGCGAAGACAGACUGUAGCUUUGCCAAUUAGGAAAAAAUUGGUUUGUGACUUUUAUUGAUGAUCACAAACGCCUAUGCUAGCUUUAUCUAAUGAACUCUAAAUAUGAGGUUGCAAAACUCUUUUUGGAUUUUUAUUCUAUGGUUAAAACCAAUUUCAAACCAAAAGAAGUAUUCUUCGGUGUGACAAUGGAACAGAAUUUUAUAAUGAUUGUUUAGGUGAUUUUUUUUCUAGAGAAAGGUAUUUUACAUCAAUCAACUUGUAGGGACACUCCUAAAAAAAAUGGAAUUUCAAAACGUUAAAACAAAUAUUUACUUGAAGUAGGUAGAGCUCUUAUGUUUCAUAUGAAUAUUCCUACACACCUUUGGGGGGAUGCAAUUUUAACAAGUUGUUUCUUUAUUAAUAGAAUGCAUAAAAGGGUUCUAAACUAUGCAACACCUUUACAAACUCUUAAGAAUAAAUUUCCAAACACACGCCUCACUUUAGAUUUACCCUUAAAAUUUUUGGUUGUACAGUGUUCAUCCAUGUACCAAUCUCCGAUCCAAAUUUGAUCCAAGAACCAAAAAAUGUAUUUUUCUAGGUUAUGCUCCUAAUAAAAAAGGGUAUAAGUGUUUUGAUCCUACCACUAGGAAAAUUCAUGUUAGUAUGGAUGUCAACUUUAUUGAAAAUAUCUUUUUUUUCAUAACAAAACUACUCUUUAGGGGAAGAGCUCUAAUGAAGAUCAGUUUUGGCAACAAGAACAACCAAAACCUAGUAUUUUUCUUAUUGAUAAAAAAAAAGAUGUUUUAAUUAGUGAAAAAGAGGGAAAUACUGAUUUAUCUAUGCUAAGUAAAAUUGCUUCAUAAACAGGGGGAAAAACUCUACAACAUAUCUCCACUGAGUUCGGUGUUUAUACUAUGUGCAUGUUUAAUUCUAAUACUGAGAAUAAUCUAGUCAAUCUUGAGCAUGGUCAAUCAUCAUCUCCUAGUUCUCAAAAUCUAGGUAAUCUUCCUAUGGACUUCACUCAUUUACCUCUUUUUGAUCUUGAUAUCUCUAUUACAAUCCGAAAAGGAGUUAGGAAUUGUACCAAAUAUCCCAUUGCCAAAUAUCUGUCUUAUCAAAGACUCCUAUAAAAAAUAUAGAGCUUUCACUUCAAAUAUUUCACUUAUUCAUUCCUAGAACUAUACAAGAAGCACUAGGACACUUGGGGUGGAGGUGAGUGGUUCAAGAAGAAAUGAAUGCUCUUUUAAAAAAUAGAACAUGGGAAAUUGUUUGAUUUACCUAAGGAGAAGAAGGCAAUGGAAUGCAAGUGGGUUUUCACAAUCAAGUGUAAGCCCAAUGGUAGCAUUGAAAGAUAUAAAACAAGGUUAGUAGCCAAAGGUUUCACACCAACCUAUGGAAUUGAUUACUAAGAGACCUUUGCACCAAUUGCAAAGAUCAAUUCCAUUCAGAUUUUACUUUCUCUUGCAGUACACUUUCAUUGCCCUUUACACCAAUUAGAUGUGAAGAAUGCUUUCUAAAAUGGUGAUUUGAAGGAAGAAGUGUUUAUGGAUUUAUCAUCGGGUUUUGAAGAAAAGUUAGGAAAAAAAAGGUUUAUAGAUUAAAGAAGUCCUUGUAUGGUCUUAAGCAGUCUUCUAAGGCUUGGUUUGAGAUAUUUGGAAAGGUAAUCAAGCUUCAAGGAUAUAUUCAAAGUCAAGAUGACCAUACAAUCUUUUAUAAACACUCAAGAGAAGGAAAGAUUGUUGUGUUCAUAGUUUAUGUGGAUGACAUUAUUCUAACUGGUGAUGACAGUCCAGAACUUGAGAGAUUGAAGAAAGCUUUAACUUGUUAAUUUGAGAUAAAAGAUUAAGGUCCCCUGAAAUAAUUUCUUGGUAUGGAGUUUGCUAGAUCCAAGAAAGGUAUUUUCAUUUCUCAAAGAAAAUAUAUACUUGAUUUAUUAAGUGAAAUAGGUUUACUUGGAUGCAAGGCUAUAAAAACUCCUAUAGAACCGAAUUUGAAACUCCAACUAGCAAGCCUAAUAAAGGUGAUUGACAAAGAGAAAUAUCAAUGCCUAGUUGGAAGACUUAUUAAUCUCUCUCAUACUCAUCCCGAUAUUGCAUUUGCGGUAAGCAUGGUGAGUCAAUUCAUGCACUCGCUGAAUUAGGAACACUUUGAUGAUGUGUACAAAAUUUUAAGGUACUUAAAGGGGACUCUAGGAAAAGGACUUCUAUAUGAGAACCGAGGACAUCUCCAAGUGGAUGUGUUUAUUGAUGUAGAUUGGGCAAGGAGUGUAAUAGAUAGGAGAUCAAUUUCUAUGUAUUGUACUUUUGUUGGAAACAAUCUUGUGACUUGGCGAAGUAAAAAGCAAAGUGUUAUGGCUAGAAGUAGUGCUGAAGCUGAGUUUAGAGUUGUAUCCCAUGGCAUUUGUGAAGUUUUGUAGAUUAAACAAUUACUUGAAGACUUUAAGGCUGCUAGCCCUUUACCUAUGAAGGUUUUUUGUGAUAAUAAAGUUGUCAUUGUCAUUGCACAUAAUCUAGUACUCCAUGAUAGAACUAAACAUGUCAAGGUUGAUAAACAUUUUAUCAAGAAGAAACUGGAAGAUGGACUAAUUGUUAUGCCCUAUAUGCCUACGGUUGAACAAGUUGCAGAUAUAUUCACUAAGGGAUAGCCAAAAAGCAGUUUGAUGAUUUAGUAAGUAAGCUGCCAUGAAUGACAUCUUCAAACCAACUUGAGGGGGAGUGUUGAAAAUCUUAAUCAGAUCAGAAUUUUUCUGAUUUGGUUGUUACUUAUUUUUUUGGGAUAAUUUCGUUGUUACCUAUAUUUUAGGGAUAAUUUGUUGUUGUUUUUUAGGGAUAAGUUGUUAUUGUUUUUUUAGGGAUAGGUUGUAUAUUUUAAAUUUAUUUUGUUCCUAGAAAUCUGGGUGUACAACUAUAGAUUUAGUUUGAGUUGUGGUAGCUUAUAGCUUAUCUAUAAAAUGAAGCAUGUUUCCCUUCCUUAUUCAAUUAAUAUAAGACAUUUUUUCUCUCUCCCUAUUUUAGAAAACUAAUUCACCUAAUGAAGAAUGGGAGUCUAUUUUAUGUAACUUACAACUAAAUUCUGGUUUUUGUUGUGGUUCAACUGUUAUAUUUCCUUAAAAUUCUAAAUAAAGUCAACCAACAAUAUACAUUUCGAUUAAUUUGUAUCAUUUUUCUCCUUGGGGUUUAUUUGAUUUGCAGUUUCAUGAUGAUGACAUCAUUUUAAUAAGCAUUUAAGAAGGAAAUUUAUGAAGAAGAUCAAUUGCAUCUUUCUUAUGCUUUUGGCUCCUAGUUGAUUUUGAUAUUUGUCUUUACAAUUAUUGCCAGGAAGAUCUAUACUAUCCACAUCCACUGGUUCAGGAUAUUUUAUGGGCAUCUCUUCACAAUGUGAUUGAGCCUAUUCUGGGGCAUUGGCCCGGAAACAAGUUGAGGGAGAAGGCUUUAUGCACUGUGAUGCAGCAUGUACACUAUGAAGAUGAGAAUACACGGUAUAUAUGCAUAGGGCCUGUGAACAAGGUACAUGUGAAGUAUAGAAAGGUCCUUUGAACUGCAAUAAAUGAACUGAUUACUAUUAAUUAAGAACGAAACCAGUUAGCUUCUUCAAUUCGACCACUCUACUCAGGUUCACUUGAUCUAAUUGUCUGUUCUUUUCUGUUCCAUGAAGCUCUUGAUUUCCUGUUAUCUGAUUUGUACAGGUGUUAAAUAUGCUUUGCUGCUGGAUUGAAGAUCCAAACUCAGAGGCCUUUAAGUUGCAUAUUCCAAGAAUUAUUGAUUAUUUGUGGAUUGCUGAAGACGGCAUGAAAAUGCAGGUCCAUAAAUAGUAUUACUCUCUUUCUAUUUUAUCUCAGAGUGCCAUAUGUAGCCAUUUAUAGUGGCGUGUUGUAAAGGCAGAUUUUGUAUUUUAUUCCUUGGAAAUUAUUGAAUUUUAUUAUCUGUCUGUCAUACAUAAUAAGUUCACUGCAGGGUUGUAAUGGAAGUCAAUUAUGGGAUACUUGUUUUGCUGUUCAAGCAUUUAUUUCAACAAACCUAGGUGAAGAGUAUGGUCUGACUUUAAGGAAGGCACACCAAUUCAUAAAAAAUUCUCAGGUUCAUGUUGCUAUUGAAGUUUGAUCUCAUAAAUCACCUACAUAUAUUAGCAGUUGUCCAUAAUGAUUUUACUCGACUAUUCCUACUUUGUUUUCAAGGUCCUAGAAGAUUGUCCUGGAGAUCUGAAAUUUUGGUAUCGUCACAUUUCCAAAGGUGGUUGGCCAUUCUCAACUGCUGAUAAUGGAUGGACAACCUCUGAUUGUACAGCAGAAGCAUUGAAGGUAACAACUGAACUAACUCAAAAUACUUGUUAUACGGGCACUUUUAUUGUGUAUUUCUCUUGUGCAGGCUGUUCUAUUAUUAUCUAAACUUCUAUUGGAAACAGUUGGGGAACCAUUAGAUAUGGGGCAAUUGUUUGAUGCUGUAAAUGUUAUCCUUUCAUUACAGGUAUGGACAUAUUGAGUGGGUAUAGUUAUGGGGCGUUGGAACAACAAUGAGUGUUUUUGCAUUUUAAAAUUAGGAUUUGUGGAAAGUGUCUUUAUAUGCAUGGUUUGGAGUAACUUUAUAGACAUAGAUGCCUCUUCUGUACACAUUUUGAAAAACUGCACAUAAAAAGGGAUUUGAGCAAUUUUCAAAUACCAUCCAAUUUCUCUCCUGCCAAAUUGUCCAAAAAAGAUACAAAAGGGCAGCCAACACGCUCUCUUACAUCCCUUUCUGACAUAGAGUCCAUUCCAACUUAACAAGACCGGUGUUAUUGAAGUCUUCUCUGUGCAGUUCUAAAAAAUUUAUUAUUGCCUUAAAAGUUCUAGGCCACAAAACUAUUCCAAAAAUUAUACAACUUCAUAUCAGAUUUUAGAAUACUUGUAUAUUGCAAAUUUAUGCUUGUUGGCUGAAACUUGUUUUUGAAUCUUGCUAGCAUACCUAGAAUGGGAUUCUCAACUCAAGUUUUGUGUUGAAGAUUUUUACAAGUGUGUGCUUUGGGAACCAGUUCCAAUUCCUUGUUCAGCCUCUUCUCCCAUCUUUUCUGAUUAUCAAUAUUUAAGAUUCCCUGCUGUCUGACUUCAGGCAAGUGUUGUACUGAUUUUAUAGCUUUUUCCUUGGAAUCUCAACAGAAUGAAGAUGGUGGUUUUGCAACAUACGAAUUGACAAGAUCUUACCGAUGGGUGGAGGUAACUUUGAUAAAUACUAAUGCCAUUUUAUUAGUUUCACCUGAAGUUGCCCCAUGAAUGUAGCAUAUACAGUCCAAGCACAUUUCCUGUCAAUAAGUAGGAAAUUAGGUUCCAAAUGAAUGCCAACAUUAAAAGCAUCCAUGUGAAAAGUUUCAAUGAGUAUUCUAGAUUUCUGGCUCUCUUUUUGUGAUUUCUGGUAUUGAAUUCAGUGUUCUGUAAAUUCUGUUUUUUGGCUCAUUCUCAAUCAUUCUUCCUUUUAGCAAGUAAUCCUUGUGCUUUUCCAUCUUAUUGAUGAUUAUUGAAACAGGGUAGAAAAAAUUUCACAAACUAUUUGGUCCUUAAAGAUAAAGAAAGUUCCAUAUACCAUAACUAGGGAACAACAUGAUGUAAACUAUUGUGACCUUACUGCUCAUGGAAAAGCCUGCUCCACAGUUGAUUCUCUAAAUAAACUGAGUUGUCAUCUAGCUUUAUUAUUGAAAGGAAGGUGAGAUGGGCUUGUUAUUGAAAUCCAAAGAUAGAUGGAAUAGGAUUUUUUUUUUCCUUUCCCUCUUUUUCCUUUCUUUCUUCUUUUCUUCAAGGCAAAGUUGCACUUAAAACAACACCUUGAUUUGCUUACUGAUUAAGGAAGGUCAUAUUACAUAGAGCAGCUCCAUCGCUACUUGAUAAUAUGUGUGGGAUUGGAACCAUGAAGUGGUAUGUCAUACUCCAGAAUCUGCUAUAAUUUGGAUAGACUUGCUUAAGUCACUUAGGUCAUUUUUGGAUUGGUUUUUGGUGAGUCAAAAGUUCUUUAAGUCCAAAAAACACUUCUUAUAAAGCCAUUCUUUCAAGCUUAUAUUGUACGCUAUUUUAUUUUUAAUGAAACUUUCAUGAUUCCAAGAUUGCCAUCUUAAAAUCACGGGUUCAGCAUCUUGCUAAAGCUAAAGCAAGAAACUAUCCCAACGAGGCCUUAGAUAGAUACUAUAUGUCAUAAGCUUCAUUUGAAUAAUAGAAUGUCUUCUUUUCAAUAUUGAAGGAUAAUGGAUAAAGAUUAUAUUUGAAUUGCAAGUUUAUUUUAAUUAGAAGCUUGAGAGCUAAUAGCAUCUGGCACUCCUAGGAGGGCAUCACAAUGAAAGGAGUCCAAAGGAAUUAAAGAUAAAUUUAGAUAGAACCUAGGAUAGCGUCGCAAUGAUCGGAGUCCAAUGGAACUAAAGAUAAAGUGAGAUAGAACCCAAGAUGGUGUCACAAAGAUGGAAAUUCAAAGGAACUAAUUGAGCAAUGAUCUUAUUGAGGCUUGUGAUAGAACUAAACAUUUUAGAAAAUUGAAAGUGUAUGUGAAAACUACAGUUUUCAACUUUUCUUUUUCUUAAUUUCUUUGCAUGUUUGCACAUUUACAUCGUUCCCAAUAUUUGUUAUGCUGAAGCUGAAGAACUAAACCUCAUGUGGGCAUAUAGCACCAUUAUUCUCCUUAUUUCCAUCAAGACAACCCACAUCUUAAAUUGCAGUUUAUUUUAAUUGUGUUGGGAAUAAAUUCAAACUAUUUGUUAUUUUUGUUCUAUCUUUCAGUUAAUCAAUCCUGCUGAAACUUUUGGUGACAUUGUCAUUGAUUAUCCGUAAGAUUUUAAGCACUCUUCAGUUUCUAAUGUUUAUGUAUAAUUCUAGAUUGUUUUCACCUAUCUGGAAAAAAAAAGAAAAAAAAAAGAGUUGGGUUGUUGGGGGAAAGGGGUGGGUGGUGUUGUGGGUUGUCUUGUAGUUUGAUUUGAUGGAGAAAAUCUUAUAUGCUGUUACCUGGGUGGCACUGCAGAUAUGUGGAAUGUACCUCAUCUGCAAUUCAAGCAUUGACAUCGUUCAAGAAAUUAUAUCCUGAGCAUAGAAGGCAUGAAAUAGAAAAUUGUAUUUCUAAGGCUGCCAUGUUCAUUGAAGACAUACAGGCUCCUGAUGGCUCUUGGUUUGUUUUUAUUUAUUUAAUUAAUUAUUUUUGCAUCUAUGCACAAGCCCUUGAAAUUGUUCUUUUGCUAUAGCUGCAUGCUCUUGCUAUUUUGUUAUAUCAAUCUCUCAGCUUAAUGUAGGCAGUACCUAAGAUUUGUAGGGGUUAUAGGGCAGUCAUUACGUGUAUGCAAUUGAUUUUGAGUAUUUUUGACAGGCCUGGGGAGUCUGUUUCACUUAUGGUGGGUGGUUUGGAAUAAAGGGAUUGAUAGCUGCUGGAAACACAUACAAUAAUUGCCCCUGCAUUCGUAAGGCUUGUGAUUAUCUGCUGUCCAAGGAGCUUGCUUCAGGUGGUUGGGGGGAGAGUUAUCUGUCAUGCCCGAAUAAGGUUUUGAUUUCCAUUCUAUGUGGAAUUUCUUUCCUUUAUAGUUCUAGUGUGCCUCAUGAUGUUUGUUCUUAAUAAAUGCUCCUUAUAAAUCUGCAAAGUCGAGCUUUUAUGAAGAUUGCUAUCAUCUUUGUGGUAGCUCAUCAUAGAAUUUAUUGCAGAGCACAAAUAGAGCAUCUUCUUUGGAAUUAAGUAGAGUUUUUUUCCCAUAGAUCUUACUUGCAUUAAAUAACAAUAAGAACCUUGAUGUGUUUGGCUACAUUCUAACCAAUUUUAGGAAUAGACUAAUCCGAUUCACAUUCAUUUAUUAUCUCUGUUCAUCAUCUAUCUUAGAUACUAUUUAUAAUAAGUCGCAUCUUCUGCCUUGUAUGGUUGAUUAUUCUAAUGCCUCUUUCAACAGGUGUACACAAAUCUCCCUGGAGAUAAGCCACAUAAUUGCAAUACUGCUUGGGCUAUGUUGGCUCUCAUUGAUGCUGGACAGGUAAAGUUGGACACUAGUGGUGCUAUUUGAUGCUAAUUUAGUGUCCUCAAGGUUUUUUUUUAUAAUGUGUAGUUAAUUAAAGCUUCCUAUACCAUCUUUCUCUGUUUCUCCAUAUCUAGUAUGUUUGUUCUUUGUUGGUGAAAAGAAAAGAAUCAAUCUAAUAAGUUGGGGUUUUAGUUAGAAGUCUGGGGUAUUAUGAUAAUUUCAGUGGGAGAGGGUCUAAAAUAUCUAAAUAAUUUGAUUUAGCUCUUGGGCUAUGUUGUAGGGAUAAAUCAUUUCCCUCUUUCUAAUAAUUUCGAAUAUUUAUAUUUAAAGUUGGCUUCUGCGUUUGGUGUUUUGUGCACAAAGGCGGGCAUUUGGAUUUUUUUUCUUUUUGUUCACUGAUACAGAUUUUGUUGUGAUUUUCACCUAUAGAUGCAUACAUUUGUUCUGAAGAAAUAGUUGCACCAAAAAGAAAGUAGUAGUUAUUCUUUCAUUAGACAUUCUUUGCUCCCUUAUGGCCUCAUCUCUUGAGUUUCUCUUUCUUUUGCUUGCAUGUUCAUAGAAUGCUCCAAAAUUAUCCAAACUAGGUUAGUUCUUUUUCUAUUUUUUGUCACUCCAGAUCAUAAUCUUCUUCAAGCAAUUAUAUGUUCUUCUAGAUUUACACCAUAAAUCUUCUUCAAUCAUUCUAGUGAAACAUGAGAUAUUGUGAAAGUUCCCAUAAAUUGAUGAAAAUCAUUUUGUUUGUGAGGCAAGUGACUAAAAAAUGAGUUCCCUAUCAGAAAGUACCUUUGGGAGAUACGCAAGCAUGGGAAAUUACCAUAUUCCAAUGGUACCUCCUUUGUUUAAGGGAUAUGGGGGGUUUCUACGCCCCCUUUGUUUAUAUGUUAAGUCUGCUUUUCUGUUUUUCCAUGAUUGGAUAUGGUUUCAGGGCUUUGGUGAAUUCUUAAUUGUUUUUAACUUUAGACAAUUCGUUGCAUUACUUUCUAUUUUUUGUUGUUCUUUUCCUUUUGAAAGGCCGAGAGAGAUCCAAACCCACUACACCGUGCUGCAAGGUUAUUAAUAAAUUCCCAAAUGAAGAAUGGAGAUUUUCCUCAGGAGGUAACUCUUAUGACUUCCAUUUUUUUCUCGUAAUUUUUUAUUUUAUUUUAAAUUUUUUCUAUUGUAUGCAAAAACUACAAUUAGGUGGUCAUCUAAUGGUUGGUUCCCCUUGUAAGAAAUCAAAAUUAUUAAAAAUAGGAAGUUAAUUCAUGAUCCAUGCUUCUUCCCUGAUUUUCAAAAAAAUUUCCCUUUAUUUUCUGUAAUUUAUCUGCACACACCAAAUGCCUUUUCUCUGGCAUUCUUUUCUCUUUUUCAUGAAUAGGAAACAAGGUUCUGAAAACUACAUCCAAACAGGCCUUUGUCAUUCUGUUAAAGUUGUUUGGUAAAAGUUCAUGGAAUAAUUUAACGAUUGAUGGUAAUACUUCAAAGACAUUGUAACAGUAUCAGGCUUAUGAGCAUUUAAUCAACCUUUGUAGCUCUUGAAAACGUAUACCUUAAAGUUUUCUUUUUGACAUUUCUUCUCAAAUAUGAAAGACUUAUUAUGAGAAUCGUCAAGAAAACCCCAGGAAGGUCGAAAACAAAUGCUUGGAAUUUGGAUAAGAAAGUUGAUCUGCAACCCCAUAAAUAUUUUAGUAAUUUGUUUCAAUUAUAAAGAUUACAUGUCUGGUUAGAAAAUGAGUAUGCCUGUUGAUUCCCAUUGCAACAACUUUGCUGACUCCCAUGCCUGAAUAAGUUUAAUAGCUUCAACAUUUCUUCAUACAGGAAAUCAUGGGAGUCUUCAACAAGAACUGUAUGAAUAGUUAUUCUGCAUAUCGGAACAUUUUUCCUAUAUGGGCUCUUGGAGAAUACCGGUCUCGGGUACUUCAUUCUUCCUAAAAAUGUAAUUAUAACGUUCUAAAGAAUGAAAUGCAUGCUUGUCUACUGAGUGUAGCCCUUGUCCUGUUUAUAGCGAAUAAGGGUCUCGGGUGGGACUUUUCUACUUUGUGUUGCUUGAAUUUUCUGGGAAAAGAAACAUUAUUGGGUUUAAGAUAAUAUGUGGCCAUAGGGUCUAAGAUAAUCUGUAAGAAACCUAAGCUUAUCUUGAUUUUGAUCCUUGGAAAGGCAUGUACGCUGGGGAGGCCCUAGCUAUUAAAAUUUAUGUAAUUGACAAUCGUAGAAAGGGUUGUGUGUGUAGUUUGAGCCAAAAGAAUUUCAUAGGUCUAACAUGUAAAAAUCAUGCAUAGUUGAAAGGAAUUCGUUGCAUCUAUGAUGCUAGGAACUUUUCUUCCCAAUAUCAUGCAUAGAUAUUGUCUGUUUUGAAUUUGGAUUUUAAAAUGUGUUUGUAAAGAGGAAUUAUAUAUAUAUAGUAUCAAAAAUUUAUCUUUCUAGUCAAUGUGGGAUUUCAUAUUAAGCAGAAUUGAGGGUAUUGUUGAGUAAUGUUAACAUUGAUGGUAAUUCAAUGCUUAAAAAAUGAGUGUGUAUGCAAGUUUUACAUAGGUAUAGUGCACCAAGGCUUAACAAUAUUAGGCCAUAAGGCAUAGUUGAUGGGUAACAAAUGAAUACUUUCUUAUUACCCUUUGUCCAUCCUUAGGGAUGAAGGAGGUUAGGAGGUUAGAUUAAUUGAAAGACAGUUAUUAUUUUAAAAAUAAAAGUUAGGUCUACAUUUCAAGGUUGAGAAGAAAUAGAAAUAAAAUAUCUCGAGUCGAUGCUCAAGUACAGAAUACUAAUAUAACCUGUCACAUACUCUCAAGUAAUGCAAAUUAUUCAUGUGAUAAAAGUUAAUUUUUUUUUCUUUUUUUAAGUUAGAAAAAAUGUUUUUUAAAAAACAAGGCAUAAAACUUUUGGACAUAUCUGAAAAUUAGGGUUUGUGAGGAAGUAGGCAAAUUGGGAGCUUUUGUGCAGGAAAAAGGCAUUGGAUCCACUAUGUUUCGUCCCCAGCAGCCACGCCAUUUGAUUCUUGUGCCAGACGAGUGUUAUCAACAAAAUUUAUAAAACCUAAAUCACCUUACACUAGGGUAGCAUGGCUACUAUAGUAUAAUGGCUUUAUGAUCGUCCACAGGUAUGGGUUUUCUUCGUACAAGUGACUUUAGUGAAGGUAAUGAAAUGGUGCUUUUCCUUAUGAAAAUUAGCUUUUAAAGAAAAUGGAAUUGUGGUUGAAAAAGUUGAUUUUAAGUUAAGCAAAAAUAGCAAUUGAAGUCAACUACAAAGAGAAUGUUUCUUGGAGCUUUAGGUCACUAGGAUCGGGUUCCUUAGGCAAAGGGGGAGAUUUCGGAUCUUCUCCUCACAUUAGGGACAAUAACAUAAAGGAUGGUUAUCUCCCGAACCGGUUUUGUAUUUAGCAAUUAAGAUUUGAUCCAAAGGGUUCAUGAAACAUGGUAGUUGCUUCACAUUAAUGGCUACAAACACUAAAGACCCUCACCUUGAACCACCUUCCAAUGACUCAUAAUUGAUAACUAAUGAACAUCCAUGGAUCUAGCAAUAAGCAUCCAUAGAAUCCGAAAAGCUUACCAAAUAUUGGCCAUUCAAGGUGAUUCUCACCUUGAACCACCUUCUAGUGGCUCGUACUUGAUAACUAAUGGACAUCCAUGGAUCUAGCAAUAAGCAUCCAUGGAAUCCGGAAAGCUUACCAAGUAUUGGCCAUUCAAGGUGAUUCUAAAGGAUUUAAAGUUAAACCUUGAAAUAAAAACCAUUAAGGGUUAACAACUACCUUCAUUUAAAGCAAGGAAAACUCCUACCUUUGCAUUUGGGUCCUUCACCUAGUUUCCAUCACUCCUAGAAACGUAAAACUUAGCCACUCAUCCCCUGAGAAAUCAUCCUCAGAGGUUGUUUGGCUAGAAAGAAAAAUGAAAACAAAAAUGAGAAGGAAAGGCAGAGCAAGGGCUUUGUAUAUUUCUUCCUACAGGAAUUACAAGUGUCGUCGUUUAAGAUUUUACAAAAAGAUAUAUUUAUAUAUAUAUAUAGAGAGAGAGAAAGAGAGAGAGAGAGAGGUCUUUACAACCCCCCUUUAUAGUUCCUAACCAAGAAAUCCUAUCAUUGGUUCAUUACAAGGAGAAAAUAGUAAUUUACACAAAAAUCUGGAGAUAAAAAUCUAAUGGAGUCGGUGCACAGGAAGAUUUCGCAGACCAUGCGAAAUUUCUCAUGGUGUGGUUUCAUAGGGCAUGCGAAAUUUCGCACAAUGUGCGAAAUUGUCCUUCACUCAGUCCUGCAGCUACUCCUCCUCUUGAUUUCACAUAGACAUGCGAAAUUGCUACAUGUUGGAUUUUUUCCUCUGAUUUUCUUCCUUGCAUCUCUGAUUGGCUUGACAACCUAUUGCCAAGCUUGGCAAAAGGCUAUGAAGUGCUCCAAAACUCGGAUUCUUCAUGUAUUUGAGCUUCAACUUGCAUUGCCAUGGAUUACACAAAAUUCUCCCUCAUUCUUUGCUUGUUUCAAUGAUAAAAAAGCUACAAAAAACACUAAAACUAGCCAAAAACUUAUUAGUAACCCUUGCUAGGUUCCUUAAUGUGCCAAUUGAGUUAAAAAGUAUUAACUACUACUCAAAAGUGUUUAAAAUAGUUAAUUUCAAGCUAUAAAAGAGCACUUUUUGAGUAGUAAUCACUCCCCCCAACCGACACAUUGCUAGUCCCCUAGCAAUGAAGGAGAGAUAAAGAAAAAUAGACAGUAAAAUAAUUUACAAAAUCAUGUUAAUCACUCAAAAAAAUUUUCAAGUGGCAUGAUGCGGAUCAUACUCUCUCAUGGAACAUCAAAGAGGCAAAACUCAACCUUCAACAAGAGUCAUCAAAUAUCUUGCUUAAUCACAAUUUAUAAAAAGUAGGCAUUACGCAAAUUUAAGCAUCAAAAGAAUUUCCACUCCCAAAGGUCCAAUCCUUACUCUUCCACAAAAAUCUAGGUGUUAAGCUUAUUAGUUUCCGAUUAUAGUGUGUUGAACUAUUCGCUCCCCCCAACCUAGUUCUUUCUCAAACCUUAGCAAACUGACCAACCUCCAAUAGGCUAAGAACGAACCUAUUUUAUUUCACAAUUUUUUUUAUUGUAGGAGUGCAAUGCUAAAGGUAUUGUUUUCUAAAGUGUCCAUGUAACGGGGAUCCAUCAAUGACUCCCAACCAAUCAAGGUUUAGGGUAUCAAGCUUUAAGGAUCUUUCGACCACUAACCCCUCAGAUUUCACCCUGGAUUUUUUAGAUUGAAAUUCAAUACCCAAGCACCUAUAAUAUGUUAAACUCUACCUAUUCACCCUUGUAACGAGCAUUGAAACCGGUGACUCCCAACCAAUAAAGGCUUAAGGCACCGGGUUUUAAAGACUUUCACCGCAUACCCCUCGGUCCUUGCUCGGGUUUCAAGGCAAGUGAAACACUUUGUUUUUUUUUUUUUUCUUUUUGUGAAGGCUUAUUGGCCUUUUAUAAGGUGUCCCAACACUAUUAAAACAAGGUCAAAGGUACCAAGUCGAAAUUUUUCUAAGUUCAGGGGGUGAGAUAGUUUUUCAUCUUAUAACCGAAACCUAAUGUGCACAGUGUGUGGUAAGAUUAAAGUGGAAGAAAUAAGGUUGAAUUCAAUAGGAGUUUCAAUAAUUCAUCAACCUCAAUAAGCAUAAUACAAACUCUAAGAUUCAAGUAAAAAGACAAGAACUCGAUUUCUCCCAUUUCAUUUUGAGAAUUUUUCCUUAAUAACCAUGGAAAGUAGAGUAAAAACUUUUAAAAUUAAGCAAAAAGUAACUAAAUUAACAAAUUAACCUAGCAUUAUUAACAAUACUUCCUUCCUCAACUCUCCCCCCAACCAAGAUCAACAUUGCCCUCAAUGUGUCAAGAGCAAUUGAAAAUAAAGGGAGAAAGUGGUACCUCCUAAGUGAAAUGGAGUUUGAGUCGUAUAUGAGAAACCACAUGAGUCAAAAAACAAAAGAGUAAUGAGUAGAGGAAAUUGAAAAAAUGCCAAGUAAUAUAAAAAAGGAUGUCUAUAUAUUAAUUUGAGAAAGUAUAAUAUGAGAUAUCAUCAGGUAAUACAUCAAAUCCCAUAAUAUAAAGCAUCAAAACAAGGAACAAUCUCGACUAAUAUAAUAUGUAAAUAUAAUAAGAUAAAGAGAUGUCCUAUGAUUAAGUAGUAGGAGCCUCAGGUGGAGAUGAUGUAUCAUUAGGUGUAGCUAUGACUGUGUCAACUGUCUGAGGCUCAUCUUGAGGAUCAACUAAAGCAAUGACAUCUAUGGUGGCCUCCUGAGGUGGCGGGAUCUGGACCUUUGUUGUGGUAGUGUCCUCGACUGGAAUAGUAUCCUCAACUGGAGCUAAAGGCUCUAAUGAUGCAGGAAGGUCAGGCUGAGGUGGAGGCAGAAGACCCAGGUGCUGCUGGAUCUGGCAAAGUAUAGCAGUCUGCUGGUUCUGCUGGGAACCCAUCUCAGCCAUCUGCUGGAAGAGAGCGGUGUGUGUGGUAGAUAGUGUCUACAAGGUAGCUACAAUGCCGCGAAACUUCGAAGCAGAGAUAGUGAUGGAAGGCUCGGAUGUAGUAAGAGUAACAGGUGGAACAGUAGGAGUCAUAGGGGGCGCAGCAGAAACAACCUCAGGCAUGGGCACUGGUGGUGCUGAAGUAAGUGAUGCAGGGGUAGACUAUACUGAGGCUCUGUCAAAAGCUCGCCCUACUCUGUAGAUACUGGAGUAGACUAUGCCUGCUUCGUCUGUGGGGACUCUGGAGGUGCUACCAUGGGAUGGGCUCCUGGAGAUGCAAAAUAGCCCGCCAACUGAUUCUAUUUGUCAAGAGUGAAUCGCUCUCGACAAAUGCGGCGUCGCUCGUGCUGAGGCUCAAUAGGAAAACCCAUAUGCUUUAAGAUCUAGCAAAGCAACCUCGAGAAUAGCAAUGGAAUGGUGUCCGCCCUCUAAAGCUUCUUCCUAUGAACCUUCUCCUCAAAGUGGACAAGGGAGGCCAUGAUCAAGUGGUGCGGGCCAAAGUAGAAGCCCUCUGAUAUGCGGAACAAAGCAUCCAAGAUAGCUCAUCGCCUCCGUACCGAAUGCUAUAGGGGAAAGAGUUUGGAGUGUAACAUCACAUCUACGAGGAGCAUCCUAGGUGGAAGCUCCUGUCGAAGAAGGAUUGAAUCUGUAAAGGUCCCCCUGGAUAAAAUGCGAACCAUGUCCCUUUGAGAUAUUAGGGACCACUGGCGGAAAACAAAGGGAUCAACUCGCUCGAAAGGAAUCUGUAGAGCCUUUGCAAUAUUUUUUGCCUUGAGGAUACCAUGAUGUCCAUCAAUGGUGAAGUGAAUCGAGGUAGGACUUGGGACGCCACAAGUAGUCAUGGACUGGUAAAAGUCUAAUGCUACUCUGGGAUAAAAGAACUCACGAGGAGUCAUAAGCUGCUCAAGAUAGUACCUCUGCAGUAGGCCAUAAGAGUCUCGAAGCUCAAGCUUCUGUCGAAAGGCCUCCUGAUCAAAAUAGAACUCCGAGUGGAAAUGUCUCAAUUUGUAAUCUGAGUUGCCCUCAAUGGGCGGUGCUGUGAGCAUCGGGUGUCUAAUAAUAGACCCCGGUGACAUGUUAGAAGGAAGCUCAAAAUCUGCAGGAGCUCGAGCAUGUGUAGCUACAAGAGGCUUAGGAUGUGGAGCUCUGGAUGACUCGCCUGGGUCUGAAGUCCUGGCUCUCUUGGCAAGAGGGCGCCGCACUAAACUCUGAGGACGCAAAGCAGUCGCCCUUUGUGUAGUAGGUGGUCUCCUAGUCUCAUACCUACGCUGAGAAGCAGAAGAGGAGGGACUAGUGGGCGCCCCACCCUCAGAAGGGGGAAUCUACGGGGCCUCUAUGGUGGCAAAUCAUGAGGUACCCGAGCAGAGAAGGCUCUCUGCCUCGGAGUGCGACUCUACAAAUGGGCAGCAAGGGCCCCUUGAGUCCUUUCCAUAUGGAAAUGGAGAAAUAGGCCUUUAGUCCAUGCUCGAAGGGGGGUGUCGAAUGGGAGAGGGAUGAAGGAGUGAGAUGCGAGGAGGAGGGGCGUGUGAACAGAGGGUGGAACCAGACAAAGGCACAGGGUGACACUGUGAAGAGGCCGUAAGAUGGCAAAGAGAUUCGCAAUGGGAGGGUGCUUGCGAAAUGGGAGAGUUAGGGUUCGGGAGUUAUUUAAAAAUAAAUUCGCAAAGGCAUUUCGCAGACCAUGCGAAAUUCCGCACAGUGUUGGGUGUGCGAAAUGGGUUCGCAGACCCCUUAUAUUUGUGCACAAUGUACGAACUGGUGUUGGGUGUGUGGAAUGGAAUUAAAGGGCUCAAAACGGGCAGUAGCUGACCUUACUUUGAGAAGGGUUUUUCAUACCCUGCGAAAUUUUUGCAAGGGUGCGUGAAAUGCCUUGGUGAAUUUUUUUCUUCAGGGUUUUUCCUCUGCCAAGAAUCUUUAAGGACAUGCCCAUCUGCUUUGAAGUCCCCUCUGAAAUUGAUCAUCAAAAACCUAAGUUAAAUCAAACCAAAAUGAAAUUAAAGCGAGAAAUCAAAAUCAAAACAAGUAACGAAACAAGAAAACUCUCAAAUAAAAAAUAAAACAAAAAGAUAUGGACUUGAUAGUCUUUAGAAAGGCUAAGUCCAUUCAAAAACCAGUCUUGUCAAGCUUGAUGUGGAUCAAGGAGGAUGAAUUCCUCCUUGUUACAAGAAAAAGGCUCCACAAAGGGCUUGAGAUGGUGGCCAUUCACUUUGAAGCUACUAGUGCUGUUGGAGUUGUGGAGUUCCACUACUCCAUUUGAAUGCACUUGGUGAAUGGUAAAAGGACCUAUCCACCUUGAUUUCAGCUUGCCCGGAAAGAUGUGGAGCUUAGAGUCAUAAAGCAAGACUCUUUGUCCCUUUUGAAAAUUUUUGCGGGAAACCAACUGAUCAUGUCACCUCUUCAAUCUCUUUUUUGCAAUUUUUGAAUUGAUGUAGGCAUCAUUUCUCAGUUCCUCCAACUUAUUGAGGUCUAAGAACCUCUUCAUCCCAGCUCUGCUCAAAUCCAUGUUGAGCUUCUUGAUUGCCCACCAAACCUUGUAUUCCAAUUCCACAGGGAGAUGGCAUGUUUUGCCAUAGACUAGGUGAUUCGUGCCUACUUGGUGUAUCAGCUGAUUCAUUUCCAACUGGUGCUCCUUGAUUGAGGGAGUAAUCAACAAAAUUUAUAACCUAUUACACCAUGAACUAGGGUAGCAAAGACAAAGCUACUAUAGCAUAGUGGCUCUAGGAUCGUUCACUGGGAUGAGUUUUCACUUCACAAUUGAUAUUAAUUCAAAGCUGAAUUGGUGCCUUUUCAUUUCAAGGUUAGCUUUAAAAGAAAACAUAAACUUUAGUUGAGAAAGGUUUGGUUUUAAACUAACAAAAAAUAAUAACUAAUUUUAAUUAUAAAGAAAAGUGUUUCUUGGAGUUUAGAUCACUAGGCUCAGAUUCCUUGUACAAAAAGGGAGUUCCGGUCACUUGUUUCUUUUCCUCGCAUUGGGGAUUUAACAUAUAGUUAUUUCCCGAACUGGUUUUGUACAGAUGCUUCCCAUUAAUGGGUUCAAACACUAAAUCCCUCUCACUGAUGCACCUUGCAAUGGCUCAUACCUCUCACCUAGCACUUGCCAUUCAAGGUGAUCUUUAACCUUGGAUUAACCCUCAAAAGCUCGCAAGAGAUAACUAAUGGAUGUCUCCUUGGAGUUCAAAAGCUUACCAAGUGUUGGCUAUUCUAGAAAAUCCUACCUUCAAACCACCUCCCAAAGGCUCGUAAGAGAUAAACUAGUGCAUCUCUAUGGAUGGAGAUCACUUGCCUUACCAAGUGUUGGCCCAGGUGAUUUAAAGGCGUUUUAAGUUAACUAAAAAGAUAAAAACCAUUAACGAGUCACACUUUCUCUUCAUUAAAAACUAAAACAACAAAACUUCCAAUUUAUGCAUGAGGAAAUUUACCCGGCUUUCUUCACUCCAAGAGACGAAGAGCCUAGCCUCUCAUCCUCUGAGGAAAAAUCCUCAGAGUUUGAUUGGCUAGAAAGUAAAAUAACAAGAAAACAAAAAUAUAUAAGAAAAGCAGAGCAAGUGCUCUGUAUUUUACUUCCUUACAAAACUGUACAAAUGAUUGAUCGUCGAGAACAAGCUCCUGAGAUUUCCUACAUAUUUUAUGUAAAGAAAAUUACAAACUAUAUAUAAGGGGUUAUUCACCCUUUGUUCUUACUUAAAGACUAAGGAAUCCUAUGAUUGGUGGGUUACAAGGAGAUUUUAGGGAUUUAGACAACAAAUAUCUAAAGCAACAUAUCUCAAAAUAUCCCAAAAUGUUGGUCGCAAAUAUCUGGAAGCUUCAAGAGAACACCGUGGCACUGUGCAGAAAUAUAUCUCAAAAUGUCAGUCGGACAUAUUGGGAAGCUUCAGGAGAACAUCGUGGCAUUGUGCAAAAUGGUUGCGAAACUCUCCGGAUAAGCGCUAUCAGAGGAUUUGGAUAUGUCUGACCGGGGAAGUUGAAACACUCUCCUCUCCCAUCCGGCGUCAGGCGCCGGAUGCGAAAUAUCCGAAGAAGGUGUGUGCCGAAUGUGAGACAUCCGGGUGGAAUGGCGGUGGAGCAGAAUUCCGGAUGUGAGACAUCCGGGUAGAAUGGCGGCGGAGCAGAAUUCAGGAUGUGAGACAUCCGGGUGGAAUGGCGAUGGAGCAGAAUAUUGGAUGUGAGACAUCCGGGUGGAAUGUCGAAGGAGCAACUCCAUCUGGAUUCCCCAAGAGGAAAUGUGGUGCGUUACCCUAUCCGGAGCAACUCCAUCCAGAUUCCGGAUUUGCUUAUGAAAAAGGAGUUCAAAGCUUCGGUUCUUCAUGUUUCUGAGCUUUCCAUUGCUUUGCCAUGGAUUCCAAAGAACUCUCCUCAAUCUCAGAUUGCUUUGGUGAUCAAAAAGCUAUCAAAACACCAAAACUUAACACAAUUUGAUUAGAAUUGAUUGCAAGGGUCCUUAAUAUGUUAAUUGGGUUAAAAGGUGAUAACUACUACUCAAAAGUGUUUAAAAGAGUUAAUUACAAGCUAUGAAAUAGCACUUUUUGAAUAGUAAUCACUCCCCCCAACCGACAUAUUGCUAGUCCCUUAGCAAUGAAGGAGAGAAAAAUAAAAAUAAAAAGUACUAUAAUUUACAACAUCAUGCUAAUCAAAAAACAAUUUCCAAGUGGCAUGAUGAUCUAACUCUCACAUGGAACAUUAAAGAAAUAUAAACUCAAAUUUCAAAAAAAGUUAUUAAAUAAUUUGUCUAAUCACAAUUCUUAAAGAGAAGGCAUUAUGCAAAUUUAAGCUUUAAAAGAGUUUCCACUCCCAAAGGGUCAAACCUUACUCUUCCACAAAAAUCUAAGUGUUACUUAUUAGCUUCCGAAUAUAGUAUGUUGAACUAAUCUCUCCCCCCCAACCUAGUUCUUUUUCAAAGCUUAGCAAACUGGUCAACCUCCAAUAGGCUAAGAACGCACCUCUUUGUUCACAAAAUUUUUUUUCAUUGUAGGAGUACAAGGCUUAAAGGUAUUUUUUCUAAAUUGUCCAUGAACGGGGGUCCGUCGAUGACUCCCAACCAAUUAAGGUUUAGGGCAUCAAGCUUUAAGGAUCUUUCAACCACUAACUCCUUGGAUUUUACCCCGGACUUUUGAGAAUGAAAUUUUAAUACCCAAGCACCUACAGUAUGUUAAACUCCACCUAUUCACCCUUGUAACGAGCAUUGAGGUCGGUGACUCCCAACCAAUUAAGGCUUAGGGCACCAGGUUUUAAAGAUUUUCACCAUAUACCCCUCGGACCUUACUCGGGUUUCAAGGCAAACAAACAUUUUUCCUUUUUUUUUUCAAAGGCUCAUUAGCCUUUUAUAAGGUGUCCCAACACUAUUAAAUGAGGUCAAAGGUACCAAGUCUAAAUUUUCCUAAGUCAAGAGGGAAAUAGUUUUUCAUCUUAUAAUCAGAACCUAUUGUGCACAGUGUGUGAAUAGCUUAAAGUGGAAGAACUAAAGUUGAAUUCAAUAGAAGCUCAACAAUUCAUCAACUUUAGUAAGCAUAAUACAAACUCUAAGUCAAGUAAAAAGACAAAAAUUCAAUUUCUCUCUUUUCAUUUUGAAAAUUUUUCCUUAAUAACCAUGGAGAGUAGAAUAAAAACUUUAAAAAAUUUUAAAAUUAAGCAAAAAGCAACUAAAUUACCAAAAUAACCUAGCAUUAAUAACAAAAACUUCCUUCCUCAACUCUCCCCCUAACCAAGCUGAACAUUGUCCUCAAUGUGACAAAAGCGAUUGAAAAAUAGGGAGGAAGUGGUACCUCCUGAGUGACAUGGAGUUUGAGUUGUAUAGGAGAAACCACAUGUUUCAAAAAAAACAAAAGAGUUAGUGAGUAGAGGAAAUAGAAAAAUGCCAAGUUUAAACAAAAAUGAUGUCUAUAUAUGAUGUAUCAUUAGUAAUACAUCCAAUCCUAGAAUGUAUAAUAUCAACUAAUAUACUAAGUAAAUACAAUAUAAAGAAAUGAUCAAGGAGCGGGGUCCUCUGGUGGACAUAAUGGCUCUGGUGCUGUCUCGUGAGUGGCCUGAGGUGGGACAUCAACAUGAUGGUCUCCGCAGGUGGAAUCGUCUCCUCAGUUGGAACUCUCGGCUCUGAUGGCCUAGGAAUAUCAGUCUGAAGUGGAGCAAGGCCUAGAUGCUACUGUAUCUGACGAAGGAUAGCAGUAUGUUGGUCAAGGAUAAUAGAAUGUUGAUCCUGCUGAUCUCGGAUGUCUCUCAUUUUCUGAAAUAGAGCGUCGUGUGUGGUGUUGAGUGUUCUGAAUAAUAAUACCAUGCCACAAAACUCUAAGCCAGAAAUGGUGAUAAAGUCCUAUGAUGGAGGAGGUACAACUGAUGGAACAGGUGGUGUAGUUGGAGGAUCAAUAGAGGCGGUCUAAGGCAUAGAUGGUGCAGCAGGGGUGGAUGAAAUAGACUCUGUGGGAUGCUCGUCCUGUUGUGUCUGGUCAGGCUGUGCUGGUACUAGAGGUACUGGCCUGGGUGGGGCUGCUUCGACUGAAUUCCUCUCUACUAACUGUGUCCAUUGGUCGAGAGUGAAAUGCUCUCGGCAAUGGUGGCGGCGCUCGAGAUGGGGCUCAGUAGGGUAGUCUAUAUGCUCCAAGACAUGGCAGAAAAGCCUCGGAAAUAGUAAUGGAAUCGCGUCAGCUCGUUGUAGCUUCUUCCUAUGCACUUUCUCCUCGAAGUAUAGGAGAGCGUCCAUGAUUAGAUGGUGUGGACCAAAAUAGAAACCCAUAUAUAUCCUGUAUAAUGCAUCCAAAAUAGGUCCUCGCCUCUGCACUAAAUGCUGGAGAGGAAAAAUGUUGGACCUCAACAAUACAUCUACUAGGAGCAUCUCAGAUGGAAGCUCCUUACGUAGUAGGCAUGUAUCUCCAGAAGUCCCUCGUGAUAGAAUGCGAACCAUGUUCCCUUGAGAUGUGGAGAUCCAUUGUCUGAACUGCUUUGGAUCCUCUGGCUGAAAUGGAAUGUGGAGAGCCUCAGCAAUAUGCCUAGCCUCUAAGAUACCCUGACGUUCGUCUAUAUUGAAACGAAUGGCUAUAGAACCCUGGACGUCCUAAGUAGUCAUAGACUGAUAGAAAUCCAUCGCUACUCUAGGGUAGAAAAACUCUCUAGGAGUCAUCAGACACUCGAGAUGGUACCUCUGGAGCAAUCCCAACGAAUCUCAAAGGUCUGGCUCCUGUCUCAUAGCCUCUAUCUCGAAGUAGAGCUCAGAGUGAAAUGGUUUGGCUCUACAAUCCAAAUUACCAGGAAUGGGAGGCGCGGUAACCAUUGGUCUCUUGAUGAUGUCUUUAGGAGCAGUGCCUGAAGAUCUCUGAAUAUCCUCUAGGGCCUAAGCAUUGGCUGGAGCCUGACUAGAUGUCUCUCUAGGGCCCGAGGUUCUGGCUCUCUUUGGUAGACCACGGGGUACUGAUGGCUCUGGGGGUGGAGAAAUUGGUGGUCUCUGUGUCGAAUAUCGGCGCUGAGGAGGGCUAGAAGGCACCCCACUCUUAGGAGAUGGUAUGGUCAGGGCCUGAGAGGCCUGAGAUGGAUCCUAAGGAGUUGAGGCGCUUGGCUUGGCCUCGCGAGAUGCAGACGGAUCUAUAUGGCCCCCUCUGGUGUACACCAUAGCUGCUAUGGACGAGAUGUGUAUUGCUUUGGUUCUCCUUGGUUGCCAUGGUGCGUGGAUUGGUGAGGAUUUUUCUUCUCAAGGCGGCAGUAAGCUCUUGGCAACAGAGGACGCUUGUGCCAAAUGGUGAGCUAGAGGCCUUUAAAUAGAAAAUUCAAAUGACUUUUGGCUUACCUCUUGGCCGUUAAUUGACCAUUGGCGUUUCGCAGACGUUUUGCAUGUAAAAAAAAAAAAAAAAAAAAAAUCAUGGCUGGUGCGAAAUGCUCUGUUUUCCUCUGUUUUUGGCUUCCCCUGUGUUGAUUAUCAUAAAACCUAAGUUAAAUCAAACCAAAAUAAAAUUAAAGCAAGAAAUCAAAAUCAAAACAAGUUUAAAAAUAAAACAAAAAGAUAUGGACUAGCUAGUCUUUAGAAAGACUAAGUCCAUAAAAAAAAAAACUGGUCCUGUUUCAGCUUGUCUUCUACCCGGUAUGCAUAUUUCAUCUUUGGAGGUAGCGGGUUAAGAAUAAGCUUUGGGGGCUCCUCCUUCGCAUGUCUCUGUAUCUCCACCGCAUUCAGUAAGGGCUGCAUUUCUUUUGUUCUCGUCCAAUGGAAUAGAUUAGCAAGCUUCUCUGAGGGUUCAGGUAACCCUUCAUCAUGCUUUGGCUUAAAUGUGGGCUGAUCAACCAUAACUACUUUGACUUUCCUCACCAUUGAAUUUUCUUCCUUUUGGGCCUCCCCUUUAUGGAUACCCUUGAGAUUUUGAUAUGGUUGAGAAGGAAAGUUUUCUUUUUCUCGCUCCAUGUUGAGGUGGAUAAGCCUUGAGCUUGAGUAUUCGAGAUUGUCUGUCUUCUGAGACAGAUCAUUCAACCUCCCAUCCAUCUUUCUGUCUUGGUUGUCAAUUUCUUGCCUGACUUGAGUAUUUUUUUUUUCUCAAUUGAUCAAUGAUGGAUUUCUGGUAUGCUACAAAGUCUCCCACAACCUUGGUAAGGUUCACAAUUGCUUGUUCAAGUUUCAAGGCUUGAUGUGGUGCUUGAGCGGGUUGCGUGUACUGAUGUGGUUGUGGUUCCCAAAAGAAAUUUGGAUGAUUCCUACAAUUUGAAUUGUAGGUGUUAUAAUCACCAAAUAUCUCUCUCGCCACUGGAAAUAUAGGACACUCCACCACCAAGUGCUCAAAAGAUUGAUAAAUGCCACAUGGCAUACCAAACAUCUCCCUCGCCACUGGAAGGAUAGGACACUCCUCCACCAAGUGCUCAAAAGAUUGACAAAUGGCACACGACAUAGCUUGCACUAGUGUUUUAGAAAUGGCAUGCACUUCUCGUAUCCAACAGGGCAUGCACAACUAAUAUCAACUAUAAUUAAAAAAAAAAACAAAAACAGAGGAAAACAAAAACAAAGCUACCAAAAAGAGUUCGAUUAACUAAAACUAAAUUAAAAGCUAUACUAGAAUAUAAACGAGUAAAGGAAAACAAACUAAAAGAAUUAGUAAAAUGACAGAAAACUCACCAAACUUGUGAUGAAAACCACAAGUACACUGAAAUAAUAUCACUAUGAAGUUGGCACCUUCCCCGGCAAUGGCGCCAUUUGAUUCGUUCCCAGCUGUAAAAUGGCAUGAUCCCUGGCGGUGGCGCCAUUUGAUUUGUCCCUGGCAACGGCGCCAUUUGAUUCGUUCCCAACUGUAAAGUGGCACGAUCCUUGGCGGCGGCGCCAUUUGAUUUAUCCCCGGCAACGACGCCAUUUGAUUCGUGCCUACUUGGUGUAUCAACUGAUUCAUGUCCAGCUGGUGCUCCUUGAUUGAGGGAGUAAUCAACAAAAUUUAUAACCUAUUACACCAUGAACUAAGGUAGCAAAGACAAAGCUACUAUAGCAUAGUGGCUCUAGGAUCGUUCAGUGGGAUGGGUUUUCACUUCACAAUUGAUAUUAAUUCAAAGCUAAAUUGGUGCCUUUUCAUUUCAAGGUUAGCUUUAAAAGAAAACAUAAAAUUUAGUUGAAAAAGGUUUGGUUUUAAACUAACAAAAAAUAAUAACUAAUUUUAAUUAUAAAGAAAAGUGGUUCUUGGAGUUUAGAUCACUAGGCUCAGAUUCCUUGUACAAAAAGGGAGUUUUGGUCACUUGUUUCUUUUCCUCGCAUUAGGGAUUUAACAUAUAGUUAUUUCCCGAACUGGUUUUGUACAGAUGCUUCCCAUUAAUGGGUUCAAACACUAAAUCCCUCUCACUGAUGCACCUUGCAAUGGCUCAUACCUCUCACCUAGCACUUGCCAUUCAAGGUGAUCUUUAACCUUGGAUUAACCGUCAAAAGCUCGCAAGAGAUAACUAAUGGAUGUCUCCUUGGAGUCCAAAAGCUUACCAAGUGUUGGCUAUUCUAGAAAAUCCUACCUUCAAACCACCUCCCAAAGGCUCGCAAGAGAUAAACUAGUGCAUCUCUAUGGAUGGAGAUCACUUGCCUUACCAAGUGUUGGCCCAGGUGAUUUAAAGGCGUUUUAAGUUAACUAAAAAGAUAAAAACCAUUAACGAGUCACACUUUCUCUUCAUUAAAAACUAAAACAAUAAAACUUCCAGUUUAUGCAUGAGGAAAUUUACCCGGCUUUCUUCACUCCAAGAGACGAAGAGCCUAGCCUCUCAUCCUCUGAGGAAAAAUCCUCAGAGUUUGAUUGGCUAGAAAGUAAAAUAACAAGAAAACAAAAAUAUAUAAGAAAAACAGAGCAAGUGCUCUGUAUUUUACUUCCUUGCAAAAUUGUACAAAGGAUUGAUCGUCGAGAACAAGGUCCCAAGAUUUCCUACAUAUUUUAUGUAAAGAAAAUUACAAACUAUAUAUAAGGGGUUAUUCACCCUUUGUUCUUACUUAAAGACUAAGGAAUCCUAUGAUUGGUGGGUUACAAGGAGAUUUUAGGGAUUUAGACAACAAAUAUCUAAAGCAACAUAUCUCAAAAUAUCCCAAAAUGUCGGUCGCAAAUAUCUGGAAGCUUCAGGAGAACACCGCGGCACUAUGCAGAAAAAUAUCUCAAAAUGUCGCUCGGACAUAUCAGGAAGCUUCAGGAGAACACCGUGGAACUAUGCAAAAUGGCUGCGAAACUCUCCGGAUAAGUGCUAUCAGAGGAUCCGGAUAUGUCUGACCGGGGAAGUUGAAACGCUCUCCUCUCCCAUCUGGCGUCAGGCACCGGAUGCGAAAUAUCCGGAGAAGGUGUGUGCUGGAUGUGAGACAUCCGGGUGGAAUGGCGGCGGAGCAGAAUUCCGGAUGUGAGACAUCCGGGUGGAAUGGCGGCGGAGCAGAAUUCCAGAUGUGAGACAUCUCGGUGGAAUGUCGGUGGAGCAACUCCAUCCGGAUUCCCCAAGAGGAAAUGUGGUGCGCUACCCUAUCUGGAGCAACUCCAUCCGGAUUCAGGAUUUGCUUAUGGCAAAGGACUUCAAAGCUUCGGUUCUUCAUGUUUCUGAGCUUUCCAUUGCUUUGCCAUGGAUUCCAAAGAACUCUCCUCAAUCUCGGAUUACUUUGGUGAUCAAAAAGCUAUCAAAACACCAAAACUUAACACAAUUUGAUUAGAAUUGAUUGCAAUGGUCCUUAAUAUACUAAUUGGGUUAAAAGGUGAUAACUACUACUCAAAAGUGUUUAAAAGAGUUAAUUACAAGCUAUGAAAUAGCACUUUUUGAGUAGUAAUCACUAGGCAAUAAGGAGACAUCCCAAUAAUGGUCUUGUAAGCUGUUCUAUAAGCCCAUAGUGAAUCAAGGAGCUUGACAGACCAAUCUUUUUUGUUCGUGUUCACCACCUUCAUCAAUAUGUUUUUAAUCUCCUGGUUUGCUAACUCAACUUGCUCACUAGUUUGAGGGUGGUAAGGUGUAGCUACCUUAUGCUUCACCCCAUACUUUGCUAGGAGAGUUUCAAAAGGCUUGUUGCAAAAAAUAGUACCCCCAUCACUAAUUAUGGCUUUGGGCACCCCAAAUCUUGAGAAGAUGUUCUCCUUGAGAAAGUUGAGAACCACUCUAUGGUCAUUGUGCUUGCAUGGGACUACCUCAACCCACUUAGAAACAUAAUCUACUCCCAUCAAGACGUAAGAGUAGUCAAAAGACAUAAGGAAUGGUCUCAUGAAGUCAAUGACCCAAACAUAAAAAAGAUCAACUAUCAAAAUAGGGUUCAAAGGCAUCAUGUUGCUACGUGUCAACUUCCCAACCCUCUGGCAUCGAUCACAACCCUUGUACAUGGUGUGGGCAUCUUUGAAAAGUGAUGGCCAACAAAAACCCGAUUGCAACACCCUCAUGGUUGUCUUUUGAGAAGCAAAGUGGCCUCCACAUGCAUUUUCAUGGCAAUGACUAAGGAUCCCCUGUUGCUCUUAUUUAAGAACACACUUCCUUAUUAUCUAAUCCGCACAAUACUUGAAUAGAAAUGACUCUUCCCAAUAGUAGGCAUGAAUUUUUGCAAAGAAGUACUUCUUAUCUUGUGCUUUCCACUCACUUGGAACUUCUCCCGUGACUAGGUAGUUAGCAAUGUGAGCAUACCAAGGAGCAACUUCCACCAACAUGAGAGACUCCUCUAGAAAAUUAUCAUUGAUGGGCAAACCAUGGGAAUUAUGUGUGAUAGCUAGCCUUGAAAGGUGGUCUGCUACCACAUUCUCCACUCUUUUCUUAUCUUUGAUCUAGAGAUUGAACUCUUGAAGCAAGAGGAUCCAUCUAAUCAGCCUUGCUUUAGCAUCUUGCUUAGUCAACAGAUACUUCAAAGCAGAGUGAUCAGUGAAAACCACAAUGAAGGACCCCCCAAGUAAGCACAAAACUUAUCCAAGGCAAAAACUACAGCUAAUAGUUCUUUCUUAGUGGUUGUGUAGUUUCUUUGUGCCUUAUUCAAUGUCUUGCUGGCGUAGUAGAUCACAUAGGGUUUUCCAUCUUCUCUUUGCCCAAGAACAGCUCCUAUGGCAAAGUCAUUGGCAUCACACAUUACCUCAAAGGGCAGUUGCCAAUUGGAAGCCCUCACUAUUGGUGCGGUUGUCAUAAAUAGCUUCAAUUGUUCAAAACUCCUUUGGCAUCUAUCAUCCCAUAUGAAUUUAGCAUCCUUCACCAAUAGUUCACAAAGAGGCCUUGCAAGCUUAGAGAAAUCCUUGAUAAACCUCCUAAUUGCCUUACUCCUUUGACAUUUGUUGGGGAUGGCAAUUUGACAAUGAGUUCAACCUUUGCUUUGUCAACUUCAAUGCCUUGCUUGGAGAUGAUGUGCCCAAGGACAAUCCUUUGUUGUACCAUGAAAUGACACUUCUCCCAGUUAAGCACUAAGUCUUUCUCAAUGCAUCGGUUCAGAACAGCUUCUAAGUUGACCAAGCAUUCAUCAAAUGCACUUCCAUAUAUGGUGAUAUCAUCCAUAAAGACUUCCAUAAUACGCUCCACCAUAUCACUGAAAAUGCUUAACAUGCAUAUUUGGAAAGUUGCGGGUGCAUUGCAUAAGCUGAAAGGCAUUCUCCUGUAUGCAUAGGUGCCAAAUGGACACAUGAAAGUGAUCUUUUCCUAGUCUUCAACAUUAAUUUCUAUCUUAAAGUACCCGGAGUAGCCAUCCAAGAAACAAUAAAAAGGAUGCCCAGAGACUCUUUCAAGGACCUGAUCAAUAACGGGCAACAGGAAAUGGUCCUUCCUUGUCACUGCAUUCAAUCUAAUGUAAUCAUACACACCCUCCAACCUAUAGUGAGGCGUGUAGAGACAUUUUCUCCCUUAUCAUUUUGCACCACCGUGAUCCUAGACUUCUUUGGCACAACUUGAGUAGGACUCACCCAUGGGCUAUCUGAUAUGGGGUAGAUAAUACUGGCCUGAAGCACUGUAAGAACUUCAACUCGCACCACCUCUUACAUGUGAGAGUUCAACCUUCUCUGAGGUUGACAAAUUGGCUUAGCUUAAUCCUCCAUGUAAAUAUGAUGGGUGCAGACUAAAGGGUUGAUCCAUUUCAAAUCAGAAAUUUGCCACCCUAUUGCCUUCUUACAUCUUAUAAGGACUUCAAGUAGACAAUCCUCUUGAUGAAUGGUAAGAGCUGAAGAUAUAACAAUAGAGCACUGCUUGUCUUCUUCCAAGUAUGCAUACUUCAACUCUGUGGGUAGUGGCUUAAGAAUAAGCUUUGGGGGCUCCUCCUUAGCAGCUCUUUGUGUCUCCUCCUCAUUGAAUAAGGGUAGAAUUUAUUCUCUCAUCCUCCAUGGAGACAGGAUAGCAAGUAAAUCUGAGGGUUCAGGUAACCCUUCAUCAAGAUCCCCAAGACUCUCAAUCAGAUCCUCAUGCAUUCUCUUAUCACAAUGCUCCUCCACUAAAGUGUCAAUCAUGCACACUUCCUCUAGACUUUCUUCUUCUUCCGGAUGGAUAUGCUUCUUGCACAAAUGGAAGAUGUUGAGCUUUAAUGUCAUGUUGUCAAACGUGAGUUGCAUGACUCCAUUCCUACAAUUGAUGAUUGCAUUUGAUGUAGCUAGGAAUGGUCUUCCAAGUAUGAUAGGAACAUAAUUAGUUCAUUUGACAACCGAAUCCAUAUCAAGAAAAACAAAAUCCACUAGAUAGUAGAAUUUGUCAACUUGAACCAAGACAUCUUUGAUCAUCCAUUUUGAAAUCUUCACUGAUUUAUCUGCCAGAGAUAGAGUGAUGGAUAUUGGCUUUAACUCUCCAAGUCCCAACUGCUUGUAGAUAGGGUAGGGUAGCAAAUUCACUCUUGCUCCCAAGUCCAACAAAGCUUUCUCCACACAAGUCCCUCCAAUACUCACUGAGAUGGUAGGGCAGCCCGGAUCUUUGAACUUCACUAGAGACUUGCACUAUAUGAUGGCACUCACUUGCUCAGUCAAGAAGGCUUUCUUGUUCACAUUCAACCCUCUCUUUACAGUGCACAAGUUCUUUAAGAAUUUUCCAUAUGUCGGCACUUGUUUGAUCAUGUCUAGCAAAGGGAUAUUGACCUUCACUUGCCUCAACACUUCAAAAUUUUCUGUUGCAUUAUUGGUUCCCUUUUUUCCAUGCAAAGCUUGAGGGAAAGGUAGAGGCAUGUGUUUCUUCAUCAUAUCUUCCUUGAUGACUAUCCUCUCGAGUUCUUCAUCCACACUAGAAUCAUGGUCAUCUUUCUUUGUACUUUUCCCUUUUCUCUUUCCUUUAAUUUCCUUACUCUUUUCUUUUUUUGCUACACUCUCUUUAUCAUGCUUUGGCUUAGAUGUGGGUUGAUCAACCUCUUUACUACUCCUCAAGGUGAUAACUGCUUUGACUUCCCUCACUUUUGAAGAUUCUCCCUCUUAAGCCUCCACUUCAUGGAUACCCUUGGGAUUUUGAUGAGGUUGAGAAGGAAACUUUCCUUUCUCUUCCACUAUGUUGAGGUUGGUAAGCCUUAAGAUUGCGUAUUGGACAUUGUGUAUCUUUUGAGACAGAUCAUUUUGCAUCCCAUCCAUCAUUUUGUUCAAUGUACUCUCCACACUGUCAAUUCUCUGAUUCAGUUAAGUAUCGAUGGACUUCUGAUCUCCCACAAAGUCUCCCACAACCUUGCUAAGGUUCACAAUAGCUUGUUCAAGAUUCGAGACUUGCUGAGGUGCUUGAGCAGGUUGUGUGUACUGAGGUGGCUUUGGUUUCCAAGAGAAAUUUGGAUGGUUCCUCCAAUUUGAAUUGUAGGUGUUGCCAUAUGAAGCAUUUUUAUUGGGCUUGAAUUAACCAAUAACAUUUGCUUGAUCACCAAACAUCUCUCUCACUGCUGGAAUGGUAGGACACUUUUCCACCAAGUGCUCAUAAGAUUGACAAAUGGAACAAGGCAUAGCUUGCACUGAUGUCUCAGAAAUGGCUUGCACUUCUUGUACCUUCUUCAUUUCUAGCUUUUCCAAUCUCCUUGCCAUAGUUGCAACCUUUGCCUUCAUGUCAAUAUCUUCAUUCAAAACAUACAUCCCACCCUUAGCAUUAGGUUGAGACUUCAUUCUUCCCACCUCUCUAGUGUUUGGUUCAUCCCAUCCUCUUGAAACUUCAGCCACAUAACUCAAAAAGUCCAUGGCUUCCUCCGGAUUCUUACUCAUGAAGUCUCCUCCACACAUAGUUUCUAGGAGUUGCUUCAUUGAAGAAGACAUACCAUCGUAAAAAUAGCUCACUAAGAGCCAUGUGUCAAACCCAUGGUGAGGACAAGCAUUAAUAGCUUCCAUGUACCUCUCCCAACACUCAUAGAAUUUCUCAUUCUCUUUAGCUAAGAAGUUUGAAAUUUGCCUUUUCAAACCAUUGGUCCUAUGAGUAGGGAAGAACUUCUUGAGAAACUCGGCUUGCAAAUUAGUCCAAGUUCAGAUACUCCUUGGCCUUAGAGAAUUGAGCCAAAUCUUGGCCUUAUCCUUCAAGGUUAAAGGAAAUAGCUUGAGCUUCAUCAAGUCAAUUGAAGCUCCUCCUUCUUGGAAUGUAUUACAAACCCUUGUCGAAUUCCUUAAUAUGCGAGUAGGGAUUAUCCCUUUCCAUCCCAUGGAAAGUAGGUAGGAGUGGCACAAUGUGAGGUCGGAUUACUAGCUGCUCAGUGGGAGGCAUUAUGCAUCAAGGUGCACUCAUAUGAGGUGGAUGCAUGUGGUCCCUCAUGGAUUGGUAUGCAUUGAAAUUAUCCUCUUGACCAUGUUGGCUAUUUUGGUCUUCAAGUGGAACAUCCAUGAUGUUCAAGCACACUUCCAACUCAGUUUCUUGAGGAAUUUCAAUCUUCACAAGUCUUCCCUUGAUAUCUCUUAUCCAAUAGGGCAUGCACAACUAGAGAUCACUGAAACAAAAACAAAGAAAACAAAAGAAAUACGAUUCUAGAAAGAGGUUAAGGUUAACUAAAAACUAAAUAAAAGAUAAGCUAAAAUAGAGAUAGAAAAAGAAUUAGUAAAAGAAAAAUCACCAAACUUGUGAUGAAGAUCAUAAGUGUUCACCAAAACUAAUGUCAAUGGACUUUGGCACCAUCCCCGACAGCGGCGCCAUUUGUUUCGUCCUUGACAGCGGCGCCAUUUGUUUCACCCCCAGCAACAACGCCAUUUGAUUCUUGCGCCUGAUGGGUGUUAUCAACAAAAUUUAUAAAACCUAAAUCACCUUACACUAGGGUAGCAUGGCUCCUAUAGUAUAGUGGCUCUAGGAUCGUCCACAAGGAUGGGUUUUCUUCAUACAAGUGACUUUAGUGAAGGUAAUGAAAUGAUGCUUUUCCUUGUGAAAAUUAGCUUUUAAAGAAAAUGGAAUUGUGGUUGAAAAAGUUGAUUUUAAGUUAAUAAAAAAUAGCAAUUGAAGUUAACUACAAAGAGAAUGUUUCUUGGAGCUUUACGUCACUAGGAUAGGGUUCCUUAGGAAAAAAGGGAGAUUCUGGAUCUUCUCCUCGCAUUGGGGACAAUAACAUAAAGGAUGGUUAUCUCCCGAACCAGUUUUGUAUUUAUCAAUUAAGAUUUGAUCCAAAGCGUUCAUGAAACAUGGUAGUUGCUUCCCAUUAAUGGCUUCAAACACUAAAGACCCUCACCUUGAACCACCUUCCGAUGGCUCGUAAUUGAUAACUAAUGAACAUCCAUGGAUCUAGUAAUAAGCAUCCAUAGAAUCCGGAAAGCUUACCAAGUAUUGGCCAUUCAAGGUGAUUCUCACCUUGAACCACCUUCCAAUGGCUCGUACUUGAUAACUAAUGGACAUCCAUGGAUCUAGCAAUAAGCAUCCAUGGAAUCCAGAAAGCUUACCAAGUAUUGGUGAUUCAAGGUGAUUCUAAGGGAUUUAAAGUUAAACCUUGAAAUAAAAACCAUUAAGGGUUAACAAUUACCUUCAUUUAAAGCAAGGAAAACUCCCACAUUUGCAUCCGAGUCCUUCACCUAGUUUCCAUCACUCCUAGAAACGUAAAACUUAGCCACUCAUCCCCUGAGAAAUUAUCCUCAGAGGUUGUUUGGCUAGAAAGAAAAAUGAAAACAAAAAUGAGAAGGAAAGGCAGAGCAAGGGCUUUGUAUAUUUCUUCCUACGGGAAUUACAAGUGUCGUCGUUUAAGAUUUUACAAAAAGAUAUAUAUAUAUAUAUAUAUAUAUAUAUAUAUAUAUAUAUAUAUAUAUAUAUAUAUAGAGAGAGAGAGAGAGAGAGAGAGAGAGAGAGAGAGAGAUCUUUACAGGCCCCCUUUAUAGUUCCUAACCAAGAAAUCCUAUCAUUGGUUGAUUACAAGGAGAAAAUAGUAAUUUACACAAAAAUCUGGAGAUAAAAAUCUAAUGGGGUCGAUGCACAAGAAUAUUUCGCAGACCAUGCGAAAUUUUGCAUGGUGUGGUUUCGCAAGGUGUGCGAAAUUGUCCUUCACUCAGUCCUGCAACUGCUUCUCUUGAUUUCGCAUGCUAUGAGAAAUUGCUACAUGUUGGAUUUCUUCCUCUGGUUUUCUUCCUUGCAUCUCUGAUUGACUUGGCAACCUAUUGCCAAGCUUGACAAAGGACUAUGAAGUGCUCCAAAACUCGGAUUCUUCAUGUAUUUGAGCUUCAACUUGCAUUGCCAUGGAUUGCACAAAAUUCUCCCUCAUUCUUUGCUUGUUUUAAUGAUAAAAAAGCUACCAAAAACACCAAAACUAGCCAAAAACUGAUUAGUAACCCUUGCUAGGUUCCUUAAUGUGCCAAUUGGUUAAAAAGUAUUAACUACUACUCAAAAGUGUUUAAAACAAUUAAUUUCAAGCUAUAAAAGAGCACUUUUUGAGUAGUUAUCACACUACAAUCUUCUUAUUCGGAGUGGGCUUCUCCCAUUUGAACCUCUUCACCAAAUGAUGCAUGAACACAAGUAAUCUCCAAAUGGUCGUAUUCUUUUCCAAGGCACAUCCAAGGUCCUCCUCCAAAUGAUGGGUUGAAUUUUUUGGGGUUUGGGAAGUAUUUAGGUUAUAUUUGGUUCCCAAGAAGUAUUAAGGAAAGAAAAAAAAUCUAAUAAGAAAAAUGAUUUUUUCAUGUUUGGUUUCAUUAUAAAAAAUAUGAAAGAAAAUAAAAUAUAAUUAAAAUUAGUUAAAAAUUUAUAUAAAAAAAUAAAUUAUUGACUUUAGAUCUUUUUUUUUUUCUUCACUUUUUUCUUUUCUUUACAUUCUUCUUUUCUAUUUUCUUUUUCUUACAUUUUUCCUCACUCGGGAACCAAACAUGCUAAAGAAGUAAACAUGGGAAUAAACAAAUAGCAAGACUCAACCACAACUCGUUUGACACUAUAUUAAGUUGUUGAUUAGCAUUAUGUUUGGUUCCUAAAAAGUAUCGAGGAAAAAAAUGUUAUGAAAAAUGAUUUUAUCAUGUUUAGGUUCACUACGAAGAUAUGGAUAAAAAAAAAUAUGAUUAAAAUUAAUUAAAAAUAUAUGUAAUUUUAAAUUAUUUGAUAUUUUUUUACAUAAAAGAGAAAAAGAAGUAAAAUGAAUUUUAAAAAACAUAUAAAAAUAAUUUAUUUAUUUUUCUUUUCUUCUAUUUUCCUCUUCAUUUUCUUUUCCUCGUAUAUUUGUCUUAAAUUUUCUAGGAACCAAGCAUAGGCUUAGGGUUUUUCGGUGUGUUGAAUUUAUACUGCAAUAUAAAUGCAUGGUAAUAGUUAUAUAAAUCACAAGUGAUAAAGAACUAAAUGAGGGAAUAACCAAACAAAUAGAUUCAAAGUUGAAGCCCAUGGAAAUUAACCACCUCUCAUGGUACAAUACUAAGUUACUAAUUAAUGGAAGAACUAUUGAUAAAAGGUAAUGAUAUAUAUUAAGUUAAAUUAUUACAAAAUCAUAUUAGUAUUUCAUCGUAAUUACAUGGUAUGUUUAUAUCGAUCACCAACAAUAGAUAAAUAAAUGAAGAAAUAAAUAAACAAUGAGACUUAAACUUAGGACUUGUAGAAAUCAAAUCUUAAUACUAUAUAUUUUAAGCUAGCAAUUCAUUUAGAAACUUAAGAUAUUAGGUAAUGAACAAAAAAUAUAUUUAUCAAACUAAUAUUAAUGAUGAUCACAUAGUUUUAUUUUACUUGAUGUAAUAUAACUAAGUGGUAUAGGUUACACAAAAUAUAAAUAAUAGAGAAAUAAAUAGACAAAAAUAUUCAAACCUAGAUCAGUAAAAACUAUAACACCUCUAGUAGAAUGUUGAGUCGCUGCUUAACCUAAAAAACUUAUUAAUAAUGCCAGUCUUCAAGAUAUCAUCGCAUCAACAAGAUUCUCAUAGGAACUGGGAAGUGAACAAAGUAGCAGGACAACCUAGUCCUUGUCUUCAAUCUUUACAUUAGCACUCUUCAAAUCAAGAAUAAUCUUGUUAGAUAGAUCAAGAUGAUCCUUAAUUGUCAUGCCUUCAUCCAUCUAAAGUUGAUACAACUUGUUUGUAAGAGACUUUGUGAUGCGACUCAUGGUAGCUUAGCUUUAAAGGCGUAUCAACAAAAUUUAUACCUUAAAUACUGUUACUAAAGUAGCCAAGCUACUAUAGCAUAGUGGUUCUAGGAUCGUUCACUGGGAAGGGUUUUCGCAAACACUAGUGAUAUUCAAAUUAGGAAAAUAUGUGAUUUUCUUAUGGAUGUUAGCUUUAAAAGAAGAUGUAAAUGUUUUAGAAAGAUUUAAACUAAUCUAAGCUAACAUUAAACACUUAAAUGAAAGGGUGUAAAAACAAAUUUCUCAAAGAUAGGAUAGCUAUGCUUUGGCUCUUAUGCAAAUUGGAAAUCUCAGGAUAGGCUCCUCGCGUUGGGAUUGCAACUAUGGUGAUGCUUGCUUCCCAUACCGGUAUGGAUUUAGCAAAUCAAGUUUUAAUCCUUUAAAAUGGCAAAACAGAUGGUAGUGAAUUUCAUCAAUGGUUAUUCACCUUAGACUUCCUUUGAAUGGCUCGUAAGAGAUAACUAAUGGUCUAAAGCCAAAAGCUUACCAAAUAUUGGCAACUCAAAGUCAUUCCAGGUGAUAAACUCGCCUUUCAAUGGCCAUUGAAAUUGGUUCUAACGGAUUAAUGCAAAACUUGGAAUUGAAAACCUCACCUUCCAAUAGCUCGUAGGAGAUAACUAAUGGAUAGAAAUCCAAAAGCUUAUCAAGUAUUGGCCUUUGGAAGUUGUCCAAAGGAAAUAAAAACCAAACUUUGCAUUAAUGAACCAUUAAUGAAAAACGACUACCUUACCUUCCAGGUGCGAGAAAUUUCCAUGGGAUUGCAUCCAAGCCAUCACAUAACAUCCAUACUUUGAGAAACUAAAAGUUUUAGCCAAUCAUCCUCUGAGGAAAAGCCCUCAUAGGUUGUUUGGCUACUAAGAAAAUAGAAAUGGGGAAGAACAGGAGAAGAGAGAAAAACAGAGCUUUAUAUAUUUCUAAGUUAAUGUACAGAGGAUUGAUCCCCAAUUCCCCCCAAUAUCUUUUGGAGGCGUUGUGCACCUCUAUAUAUAGCAAAAUUACAAGAUAAAGCCUUAAGUCGGCUCAAUACAAGGUUACAAAAGGAAUUUACACGAGAAAAUAUCAAGCUAAAAAUAUAUGGGAAGUCGGUGGUGCAUGCGUGGAGAAACAGAGGAUUUCAAAGGCAUUUUCGAAAGGGGAAAGAUGAAGGGUCCAAAUUUCGCAAGGUGAAAAGCCACCUUGCGAAAUUUCGCAAGGUGGUUCUUCAUGGUGCGAAAUGGCCAAAUUUCGCACCAUGAAGAAAAUCUCCUUGCGAAAUGAUGUUCCCAUGGAUUGAUGCAGUUGUCUUCCGAAUGCCAUAUCUUCCUCAUUUCAGCUCCAAAUCGUACACAGUUUGAAGCGUUAGAUUCUUGACUUCCUGAGAUUUGAAAUGGUAUAUAGAAUGUAGAAAAUGAACUUCGGAAAGUGCUCCAAAAGUGCGAAAGAAGACUGCAGCUUCUGUCAUUUGUUUUCUUCACUUUGCUUGUUUUUCCUCUUUGCUUCUCUCCUUUACUUGGCUUGUCUUAAUGAUCCAAAAAGCUGUCAAAACACUAAAACUAGCCACAAAUAUGAUUAGAAGUCAUUGCUAGGUCCUUAACAUGCCAAUUGGAAUAAAGAUGGAGAACUACUACACAAAAGUGCUUAAAACAUAAUGAAUUAAAGGUGUAAAAUAACACUUUUUGGGUAGUAAUCACUUUGUCAUGUACAGACUUUCUAAUUUCAACCAAAUUCCCAAAGUAGUAGUUUCAUCUGAAACUUCCUUGAGAAUUUCAUCUCCCAUAUGACAAGAUGAUUGUAGCUUGCACUUUACUCAUCAAAUCUUUCGUCUCAUUUUCAAACAAACUACUAGGCAGUUUUUCAAACCAUCUAAGAGCAUCUUCCAACCUUCGAUGGACCAGCAGUGCUCUCAUCUUAAUUCGCCACAAAUUGAAGUCAUUGCCUUUCGUGAACUUCUCGAUGUCAAACUUUGUAGUUGUCAUUUCAACCUUCCUUUCAUACCAAUUUGUUAUGAACAAAGUAAUAAUAACUCAGAAAAUAGCAGCAAGUCUAUUGAGAAAGAUUGAGAAUUAAUUAAAACCAACACAAACAAGUACACAUUAGACACAUAAUUUACGUGGUUUGGGUAAUAUCCAAUAUUCAUGAGCAGGCCCAGAUUAUUUCUUCAAUUAUUGAACUAGAAUUGUACAAAGUCUUUCCUUUUCAUAGUGUUUCCCAGAGAUUUUAAACACCAAUCUCCCUUACUAAAAUUGAAAACUCUGAACGAAAAAAACUCUACAAUACAUCCAUCAAUUUUUUUUCCACAUUAUUAUAUGCUUUGAGAUCAACACCACCAGAGACAAAAUAGUUGUCUUUUCUUUAAAGAGAUAUAUUGCAGCACUGCGCACUGUGAUACAGCCAUCAUUGGAAGAAGACAAACCAGAGCUAGACCACAAGGGCUAAUGCUGAGGAAGAUAAUUAAACUUGUUGGCAGAAUGGCCAAGACUUCAAUUGUACAGUAUAUGUGCCAUACACCUUUAAAUGAAAGACUAAUCAUUGCUGAAUUUUUGUGGGUCGUUGAUUUUUAGAAUAAGUCCAAAUUUUCUUUUAGAAGAUACUAUAUUGUAUAUUAAAAAUUAUUAUUAUUUUAGAUUUAGAAGAAAAGGAGCCUUCAGCAAGUGAAUUAUAAGACAUUAAUCACGUAAGCAUGAUGCCAAUGAGAUCUCCUAGACAGAUUCCAAGAUUUCUGUGCUUUGAUUUUGGUAGAAUCCUAUCUUCUUAGAAAUGAAUUAGAAAAAGGGUUCACUUACCUUACCAAGUAUAAUUGUUUGUACCCGAUCUCAUUUCUUUGUAUUCUUGAAUUGUGAUUCCAUUUGUUUGUAUUUUCACUUGACGGUUUAUAUCUCGUCAUAUACAUUCAAUGAUCCAAUCCAAAUUUAAAGUUGAUGGAUACCACCACGUAACUUAGAAAAAAAGCAUCCAAAUUAAUGCCUGUUCCAUUCUUGGUUAGUGUGCCGCGAGGUACUCCUGUGCUGCAUGUCUCCUUUAUUCAAUUAGGUUGCGAAGCUAUAUACAAAUGAGAAAUGAAGGGUAGUAUGUAGAUAUGAUUUCAGAGAAAGGACAGUUUUUUUGGAAGGGAGGGAGAGUUAGAAAAUGUGGAGGCUUAAGAUUGCAGAUGGAGGCAAUGAUCCCUACAUCUUCAGCACCAACAACUUUGUGGGAAGACAGAUAUGGGAGUUUGAUCCUGAUUAUGGAACCCCAAAAGAGCGAGCUAAGGUCGAAGCAGCUCGUGAAAAUUUCUGGAAAAAUCAGUUUCGGGUUAAGCCCAGCAGUGAUCUUCUCUGGUGAAUGCAGGUGAUCCCAUCUGUGUCAAAAUCUGCAAGAACACGUAGGAACAUGAAUAUAUAGUAUAUGUAGGGUAUGCAUGCUUAUGUGACUGAACCAAAGAAAUGGUUUAGCUUCAAAGAUUGUCUCCUUACGAGAGUAAGAGAUUUUACAAGACGAUGUAAAUGGUCUGGUCUGCAGUAUCUUUUUCUCUUGAGUAGAAUUCAACACUAAAAAGGUUAGACCUUAUUCUACUUCUUUAAUUAGUUAAUUUAAUGUAUUGAAGAAUAAUAUAAUGAGAAAGUGGCAAUUCAAAUUUGGGCAGGGUGAACACCUUGGGCUUAGAUUAAUUAAUUAAUCUUGUUCUCGCUUAUGUCUUCAACUUCUUAUACAUUCUAUAUAUAUAUAUAUAUAUAUAUAACAUGUGAAAUGAAAAAGUUGAAGAAAGAAACUGAAAAAAUAGAUGAAUUUAACAGAAAUAACUGCCAUAUUAGUCCAUGUAAUGUUAAGAAUCUUUUUAUAGAUAGAAAGAGAUAUAUAGAACAGCAAUUUUGGACUUAAUAUUAGUAUAGAUGCUUUGUACAGAUUGUUAGGGUUAACUUCAGGCUGGACCCUGGGCCCAAAUCCAGCACAACCCAACUGAAUUGAAUAGAUCAUAGGCCCAUUGGGUGUUGAACUUGUUCUAGGCAGACAGGACUUCAGUGGUAACCCACCCAAAUUAAGUAUGAAUCCUGUGGCCACCAGUACAGUAUCUCCCUUUGGUUCAUGGAUAAAAACUUAAAUCAUCUGAAUGACUCUUUUACUUUGGUUAUCAUUAAAAGAGAUUUUUAGGACACUAGGACAUUCUCUAUGCUCGAUAUUAAUGGAAUAUGGAAGGUUUACUAGUUUCUUGUCAUGACUGAUCAUUAAUAUAAGAUAUAAGGUCACUGUUAAAACAUGUGAGUUAUCAGAUAAGAUUUUAAUGGGCAAAGAUAAAGACACAAACCUCUUUAUUUUUUAAAUUGGGGAAAUAGAUAUGUAUUGAUGAAAACUUGACCUACCAUCAAACGAGACUCACUUCCCUUCUUGAUCUAGUUAUUGUGCGCAAGGGUUGGGGUGGCCAUUGGGCAUCAUCUUGCCCAAAUCCAUAGGAAAGAGUAUCACAUGGGUUGGACUAUUGUUGUGAUUCAUGGCAGAGUUGGCCCUGAUUGGGGCUAAUAUCUAGGAGGUGAUUCUUGGUUCUGGGUUUUUGCAGCUUUGGGUUGGAGUUCUAGUUACUGCAUCUGAUUGGUAAGUCUUUUGAUUUUUAAAUUGCACUUUAUUAUCUAAUAUUUUGCAAUUGGUUUAUUAAAUUUAACCUUUCAUGAAAUGUCAACGUCUUCAAUCUCAGUGUAAUAUAUUUUAGGUUUUGAAUAGAUUUUGCUGGAGUUGUAUGUUUUUAAUUAUCUAUUUUAGGAUAUGUUUUAAGGUAUUUUAGACCUCUUAAAACAGUCAUUAUCAACUCAUCAUAAAUAUGUUUUAUGAUUUUUCAUGUUGUACACGACAUUGAGGGAAUAUUUUAAAGGAGAUGAUAUUCUCUAACAGAAUCGAGUUCAUUGCUCCCUCUUUCACGAAUAUAGCUUUGGUUGUCAUUGCUAAAAUUUAAUUAUGUGAUGUGCUUCUAUUUUGGAUAGAGGGAGUCAUAGUGGUAGCCUUUAAGUGGGAAUAUGAAGUUGGAUCUCAUGCAUUUGCUUGGUUGAGAUAUACAAGGCUUACAUGCUCGGGCUCUAUUGAAACUCCAAGAAUCAACAAGGAAAGUCACUGACAGUUGUUUUCCCAGGUUUCAUCAUUCACCUCAUCAAAGCUUUAUAUAAAGAUGAUGUCUUCCCAUAGUGUGGGUUGUGUGUGAGCUCUCCUUUAUUUGUUGUAGAUUGGAGCUGGUGGAUUCCUUGAGAGACAAGCAAAAAAUAUUUCAUCCAAAUGGACUAGAGUCAGAAUAUGCCCAGUUGUUGUUUGCAUAUGCAAAAUCAUCAUCACUAUUGAGAGAAACUGUAUUUCAUUUUCUAGAAAGGUUGAAUGGAGAUGAGACGUAAUAAAGGGUCAGAGGAUUAUUAAGACACUAAAAAACAAAUAAGAGAGAAGAGAUUUGUUAAGAAGUGAAUGGGGCAUCAAAGUGGAUGAAGAAUGAUUACAAGUGGAUGUCCUCUUUGUUGGUAGUUUGCAUUUGUCACUCAUCCCCCUGUUUUUAGCCAUCUUGGUUUUAAUUUUUUUUUUUCUCCAAUUCCUUUUCCCAUGCUGUACCUUGCACCCUGAACCUGCUAUUUGUCUACAACCUUAGGUGAUGAGACACAUUUGACUCUAUAAUAUUUUUAAAAAUAGUUUUUAAUAGUAGCUUCUAAAAAAAAUUAGAAACAAAAUUUUAUUUCAAGAUUCAAAUGUCAAAUACCUUAUUUAUUGGUGAUUAUAUUUAUUAAUAAAACUCAGCAUAAGUAGCUCUGGUGUUUGUACAUGUCCUCGCUUCUUUCAAAACUUAGAAAAGUUGAACUUCAUUUGAAUUCCUAUAUUGAUGGCCUUGUGAGCACAUAAACAAAGCAUAUUUAAAAGAGAGCAUAUUUAUUAAAAUUUAAUAUCUUAAUAAAAUAGAUGUAUCAAAUUAUUCUUUUCAAGUUUUACAUGAACACAAAUUAGUGUAACCAACUUUUGUCAGCUUUUGAUUAGUUCUCAUCCAAUGAAAUAGAUGAUUGGUUGCAAUUUUUCUCAACAAGUUUGAGACCUUGAAAAUCAAUUGCAAAGGAAAGGAAAACCAGAUUAAAAUAGCCGCCAAAGACCAUAGCAGAGAAAAAGUAUAGGAAAGGAAAACCAGAUUAAAACAACCAUUGGGUAAAAUAAAACUUAAUGUUGUUAAUCUCAUUGCAUCAUUCACUUUAGUUUCUAAAUCUAUAUUAUUUAAAUUUCUUAGAAAUAUGCAUGUAAGUAAGACUUCUUACUUGGGAUGGAUGGAAGCAACCAACAAUGGCUUGCUUAUUCCUUCCAAUGCUCAUAGUGAGAAGAUCAACCCAAUGCUGACUGAGGUUACGAAAUAGGAAAUCCCAUAGGAGGAUCUUCAAAUUGGUGAACGUAUUGGCAUUGGUAAGAAUUUAUUCUCCUGGAUUUAUUCAUUCUUGUUGAAGAAGAAAAAAUCUUUUGGUAAUAGGAAAUACUUCAUUUAUUAUCUAUUUAAUAGAGGUUCCUUAUAUUUUGUGUUUCACUUUACUUUUGAUGAUGUGACAAAAAAUCUUUGAAUUUUUUGGCAAAUUAUGAUACUUCAAAAUGAGUUUCAAACAUAAUAUUUAAAUAGUUGAUGGAUAAUGAUAAGAAAUAGAGAUGCUUAAAUCAAGCUUUAAUUAAAUAAACCAUUUUCUUACCAAAAAUAAAUUCCAAGGUUUUAACACAAAACAGAAUGAGAAAGGAAUAUAUAUAUAUAAUCCCUAAAAAGAAGUUAUUAUUGAAAAUGGAAGACAUUAUACGAUGACUCUUGAAAAACUAUUGUUAAAUUAUAUAAGAUUAUUUGAUAAUAAAAUUUUGCACUUUAUCAACCAGAUUAAUUGUAAAAAAUAACAAAGAAAGAAGUAUAAAAAUGUCAAGGCCAAAUGAGAGCUUAUUUAGUGAGGCUAACAUCCUUUUGAAUUCUUAAUAUUUGAGAGGUUUUGGAAACAUGUUAUUUCUAGAAGAAUGCCGCUCUUAAGAUUAAUUUCAGGCAAGCCUACAAAUCAAUGAGAAUUAAGAAGAAUACUAGAGCUACUCUUGAGUGGGAAUGUAGCUUUGACAAAGUUUGAUCCAGGGGGUUUCCCUCUUAGGUUUAUGUAAACUAGGAUGAAAUCCAAACAGAUUUCUUCUUUCUGUUUAGAUCAUUAGAAGUACUUCCAUUGAUUACAAUUCUGUUGUAGGUGCGAGCAUUUAGAAGUUUAGAGUUCUAUGUGUGCUACCAAUGAUGUUUUCUUUAUUUUUUUUCCAUUAUUUUUCUUUUGAUUUUAUGAGUUCUACACUUGUUGCUCUUUAAAUCUAUUUGUAUUUUUAGAAUUUCCACAUGUUCUAGAAGUUCUUAAGCAUUGCCAUAAACAUGAGUAUUUUUUUAUGUCCAUGUACAAAUGCUAAAACACCCUCUAAGAAACUCUAACUCAUCUAGAAAAUUGAUAGUUAUAUAUUUGUUAAAGAUACUCUAUCAAAAUUAAAUUUUGGCUUUAGGGUGGUUGGUAAAUUAGCAUUUAUCUCCAAACAUACGAGAGAUUUCACCCAAAAACCAACUGGUGUUCAUUCACUAUUAUUACUUUAUAGAUUAGCUCUAUAGAUGUUUUCUCCCAUUUUCUAAUGCUUUCACUAGUUUUUUUAGCUUUUUGCUAAGUUAUCCUUGAAGUUUUAGGUGUUAGCAUGGAACUUCUGGUGACUAUCAUGCCUUUAUUGUAUAGCUUUUCCACCAAGGAAAUGGUCAAGCCUCCUACUUGGUUAAUUAGGCAUUUAGUCUAUUUUACGUGAUCUCUUUUCUAUAUUAGGGCAUUUGACCUCCUUACGUUGGAUGUCUUGUUUCCCAAUUAUUUUGUUUGGAAUAUUGAGGCAUGCAUUAGAGUUGGUAAUUAUUUUUUGGAUGCAUGCAUUAGAGCUGUUAAUUAUUUUUUUCCUAUCAGAAAAAAAACACACCCAUUUAGAGCCCAUUAGUGAAUGAUUUUGAGAGAGUGAGAAAAACUUGAAGUACUUUGUUAUAGAAAUUAGGCAUUUGAAAAAAUUUUGAAAAUCACUUUUAAAAUUUUGGAUAAUCACUACAUAGGUGAUUCUUCCAAAAAUUAUUAUUAUUAUUUUUUGGUUAUGUGACAUAUUACCAAAAACAAUAUCAAAUCAUUUUUUUAUUUAUAGCCAAACCCCAAGUUAUUCUCUUUAAAAGUGGUCAUAAUGGAAGUGUUAUUAACAAAAGUAUCAUAGACUAAAAGUGCUACAGGCUAAAAGCGCUUUAAUCAAGGUAACUCUCGAACAGACUCUUUGUCUCAUGAAGGUCAUCCAUGGUAAAUGAUAUGAUUUAUUUCUAAUUGAUACACAUUAAUUUUGGAUGUCAAUUUUACUAAAGUCAUUGAUUUUGUGAAAUGGUAAGAUAAUCAAUUGGGAUUUUUUUAUUGGUAAUAAUCAAUUGGGUUCUUAUGUUUGAAUGUAUAUCUAAAGAUGAAAGAAUGUCUAUUCUCAGUGAAUAUUGCAUCUUGUUGUCAUAAUUAGAAGCCUUAAUCACAUUUGGUCAUAAAAUAACUCUUAAAGUUCGGGACAUACUUUCGCUAUUAAGUUUGGGACAAUCUCAAAACAGAGAAAUAAAAGUACUUUGGAGUUUCUAAUUCAAUUCCCCUAUUUUUUAUUUUAUUUUUUAGUGUUUUUGAAGCUUCCUUAAUGUUUAUAGGUAGAGAUGGUUAUGGAAAAUUGGUUCAAAGAGCGUUGGAAACCCAAAGGCAUCUUGUAGAUUCUAAUUCUAAGUCAGUUCCAGGAACAAAAUCUUUUCAUAUAGAUAUCUGGUUUCCUGACAACAUAUUGCAUAUUUUGGCUUCUUUUAUGGAAAAUUCCAUGUUUUUUGCUCAUGUAGUCAUUGCAUUUCAAUCUUAUUGUUAUCAUGUUCUCAAUAACUUGACUUUUAGACUUAGAACUCCUUUAAAGCAAUUCAGUGAUCCCAAAUGAUAAUUAUCCUUUCUUACUGCUUAUUGAUGAAGAACAUUUAUCCACAAACUAAGAUGAAUAUAUAUAAAUUUUUUUUAAGCAAAGAUAUUUUAUUGAAGAAGUGCCUAAUAGAUGGCUUACAACCCAAGUAUACAAAAAGUAUAUAAAGCCUGCCAAAUAAUUUUUAUUUCCUAUUUUUUCUUUUCUUACUUGUGAUUAAAAAAUGUGAAAACUAUUUUUAAAAAGUGAAAUUAUAAAAUCUUGUUUGAUGUGGAGUUUUUGCUCAUGUAAAAAAUUUAAAAUAAACAUACUUAAAAUUUUAUAUAAUAUACCUGUAAUGUUGUGGAAUAUAUUAUUAUAAAGGAUAUUAUUAUUAGUAUUAUUAUUAUUUAAGGUUCCUUUGAGGGGUUCUAUCUAACUUUCAUAGGUUGUUUUCCUCGUUAUCUUUUUAAUACAUUCUUUUUAAAGAUUUUUGGUCUUUUGCUGAUUUUAUUUUGUAUUGUACUCUCUGCACAUCAUCUUAUUAGUAGUGAUAUUUCUCAGGGUGCUCAUUAGAUGGGCCACUGCCAUGACAACACAGGAUUGUUUGUUGGCACUCAGUAUUGUUUUUUUUUUAAAUGUAUACAGGUAAAAGAUUUCAAGUUCAAGAGUAGAUAUGCAACCAACAUGUACUUUUGGCUAGAAAUAAUUUUGGCUUCUUCUUCUUCUUGUAAUAUUAUUUUUGAUGAGGAAUUUAGAGACCUUGUUUUUUGGUACAUGUGUACUUGUUUUUUCUUGAAGUUGGAAAAUAUGCUUGUUGUAAAUAUUUUGAUACAUUUACAAAUUUACGUAUUAAUUAACUAUGUAGACAUUAGUUCUUUAUCAUGAUAUUAUUCCCAAAUUUAUUCAAUUUCUUUUGGAAGAUAUAGUUAUUAAUAUUGAAGUUAUUGUUUUGUACUUUAUAAAAAAUCAUGCAGCCAAAAUUAUAUAUAACAGGAUAUACAAAAUAUGUCAUUUUAAUAGGGGGGUUUUCAAUAUUAUUAUCCACAUAAGAUGACACUUUUUUGAGUGUCAAAAUAGACAAAUGAUAUUUUGGACAUUCAUUGGCGCUAGUGUAAGUGUUAACAUAGGUAGAUCAAUAAUGACGCUUUUCAAGGUGUCAAUAUAGAUCAAUCAACAAUGACGCUUUAUAAAGCGUCAAAGAUAAUGAACAUUAAAGAUGACGCUUUAAAAGUGUCAACAUUGAAAAUUUGGUGGAAUAAUGGCACUUAAAGAAUGUCAUGCUUUUGGAAAGAUGACACUUGGAUCAGUGUCAAUGUAAGUGCUUUUAUAAAUGACGCUUUCUAGAAGCGAUAUGGUUGUCUGCACCCAUUCCUUGACAGGGGCGAAAAGGACGCUUUUGAGAAGUGUCAUCUUAUACAUUUAUUGACGCCUAAAAAGCGUCAUUAUUGCCCUUCUUUCUUAUAGUGUACGGUUCAAUGAGUUCAAUGUGCAACAAGCUCUCCUACUAUGCGUCAGAUACGUCAUCUUCAUUUCUACUAACGAAAAAUGAAAUAGAAAAUUUAACGGUGAGAAUGGAGGAACUUUAUAAGAGUAAUUUGAAAGGCAAAAAAGUAGCAGCAGAUGGAGCCACAAGUCCUCACCAAGUUCGUGAUCCAAAUAUAUUGAAGACUAAAGGAAAUCCAAGCAAAGUUGCAUCAAAUUUUCAAAAAGGAAGACUAUGUAGUUGUUGUAAAAGAGUGGGCCACACAAUUUGAAAGUUUCCAGAAGCUACAAUCCGUCAUACUGGUAAUCAGCGUGAUAUGGUAUGUGAGAUUGAAUAAGAAUUUGUCGCUAAUCUAAAGCUUUUUAGGUGUACUUACAUAAAUAACUAACACAAUUUUUUUCAUUGCAUUAUGAGUAUGGUGCAGGAAGGUAAUUUGUCUUCCCAAUGUGACAUUCAAAUGGAAAUGAUGCCUUCAAUAAAUUCAUCAAGUCACAUGUUUGGCACCUUACCUCAUGUAUAAUAGGCUUGUUAUAUAACAACAUAAGCGUUGAUAACAUCUAAUUUAACAGUAAUUGACAACACUUAAUCUUUGAAAAUGCAGGGAAUGGGAGGGGAGAAUUUGUGGAAUGACCCAUCUGACAUGUAUAUAGAUUUUGGAGUACUUGGCAAUGUAAGCUCGGGGAUCGAAAACAUUUUGGACAUGAAUUUUAAUUAUGCAUUACUUAAUGAUUUUGUUGAAGUAAUUGGAAUGGAAUUGGAUGGCUCAAUUUUAACCAUGGAAUGUGCAUGUGCAGAUAACAGGAUUUGAGGAAUAUGAAGAAACUAUUACAACACCACGUGAAGGCGAGGAUCCAAACAAUACUCCAAAUGAAAAGGAUAUGCAACCUUUUUGUUAUUCCUUAACAGAGUAAGGGAUGACAAGUAUUAAAUCGGUAUUUUUAUCAUUUGACGUUAUCACUUUGGCUAAUAUGUACUUUUAAACCAAGUAUUUAAUGAAAAGUUUGAAUUCCCAACUAGAGUCAAAUUGAUUGAUAAAAUGCACUAUCCUCCAGAUUUAUAAUUUAUUUGAUAACAAGUGGUAAAAUGAUUGGUCAAACGGGAAACCAAUUAAUUUAUAUUAUGUCAAAAAAAUAGUUGGGCAUGAGGAUAUAAUUAAAGGAAAAUGUGGUUAAAGUUUGAAAAUUAGGUGGUUAUAAAUUAACUAUAAGAAAGUAAUUGAUUUGAUGUAAUUCAUAUGCAAUUGGUAAAUGUAGUGAUAUAACUCAAAAUGGGUAAAUCAUAAUUCGGUAAUUUGGAAUUGUAGUUUCCAUCAUUUCCAAUCCUUUUAAUUGUACCUAAUGGCUCAAUCACCAAUGUUAACUGGUUGAAAAGUAUCCACUACCACUUAUAGUUAUUUAUCAGACGAUAGUUGUACUGAGAAAAUGCAUGAUUGCAUUAAAAUUCUCAACCGAUUGACACUGCAUACAAUAAUUUCUCAAUGAGAAAUUUCAUCAGUCGGUCAUUUGAGCUCCUCAACUGUUAGACACUACAUCCAAUAUUGCUUGAACUGUUUGUGAAAUUUCCUCAGCUGGUUGGGGAAAAUCCUCUACCAGUAGACACUGCAUCCAUAAGGUCAUUAUCCGGUUGAGGAAUAUUCUCAACCAGUUGUCUUAAUUUCAUGGCUGAUAGACACUGCACGCAACUGAACAGAUGGACCGAUUAGUACCAAUUGAAGCACAUUUCUCAACUGGUAACACUGCCUUUAGAAGUCCUUGUUGUAAUUCACUCUUGCUAAUUGCUAAAUAUGAAUCGGCUAACCUAUACUCCCACCGAAACUGACUAUAUACUUUUGACCAUAGAUAAAUGAAUAUAUAUAUAUAUAUAUAUAUAUAUGUGUGUGUGUGUGUGUGUGUGUGUGUGUGUGUGUGUGUGUGUGUGUGAGGAUCAAGCCUCCUUAAAUAGCCAAAAAGAGGAGACAAAGCAUUGUUUGCUUUUUGACUAACUGCCAUGAAUAGUAAUCUCGUGCAUGAAUAGUGAAUAGUGAAUAGUAAAAUUCACUUUUCCACCGAAUUCCACCAAAAAAAACCCACUUUUGGCUGAGAAGACUACCGACAAGCUGCUUUAGACUGUGUAGUCACAUGCUUGCUGCUUUUGGUGCUGAAACUGCAAAGCUGUAAAAUAUUCUUGAUGGUAGGAAGACAUAAGGCUGAUGAUUACUUGGAUCUUCUUAUUGGAGGAAGGAUUCCUUCACAAUCGUCACCAUUGUCUGGAAGGUAGCUUGUUGAAUCAUCAAAUUCUGCAUAAGAAUUUUCUUGGGAGAAGCUUGAUCUUCCUUCUUCAUAUAUAUAUAUAUAUUUGAAAAGCAACCCAAAAUAUAUAAGGACAAAAAACAUCUAAAAAUCUAAUAGAUCGUACAAAAUCAUACAUGACGAAAAUGAAUGAUGCUAUAUAUUGCAAUUUCAUUUUGCCGACUAUAUUGAAAGAAGAGUAUAGCAUAUUAAAAUAAAACUGACUUGAUCAUGAACCAUGUAUGGUCAUCUAAGGUCACCACUUCCUAAUCGACAUGAACAUAUGUGGAGAUGGAAAUGAUAAGUAUUAAAAAGCAACAAAUGUCAUAAUAAUAAUUUUUUCAUUGCUCGUGUGGAUGUCUUUGUACAAACAAUAGCCAAAAUGGUUUGUUUUUCUCUGUUUCCCUCGUGUAAAACUAAAUCACUUGCUAUUCCCGACGUAUUUUAAUAGAAUUACAUAAGUUGGAGGCCUUCAUGGAAUCACCAUUUUUGAAUGUCUGCAUAUGUUUAAUGACAUGCACUCCACAGUCCCACCUAAGAAAAAUAUAAGAAAAGAAAAACAACUUAUUGAAUGGAUGUAUAAUUAUAGCUCAGAUAAACAAUAUUAAUGUGAGUAAUGUAUUCAUACUAACCCAUUAUCUUGGGUCAGAAUUGAAGGAGCCCAAUCAAUGGAGAAUUGGAAGACAUCUUUCCCUAUGUCAUACAGUUUCAAGAACAUUUGACAAAAUUCAACCUAAUUUAUUUUGAAAGUGUUAAUAAUUGUGGAAGAGAAAAAAAAAAGCAAAUUAAAAGGAAAACAAAUAGCUGAAAGCAUACCACUGUUUUGACACUCUUAAAUUGGAACUCGUCUCGACUCCUUGAUCGCAAUGAAUCCAAAAUUUGGAUGUGAGAGUUUUUAAAUUCAAUGACGCAAAGAUACUAAUGAUCGGGGCACUCGUCAUGCAUUAGAAUAAAUAGCUGUAAAGUUAGGAAAACAAUAUCUAUGAGUAAGGGCACAUAAUAUCAACACUAUUGUAUGUGAAAACAAUAUUUACUCUAAAUUUGAUAUAUGCAAUUAAAUAUUACAAAUUAUUACUAACCUUCUCGCAAUCAUCCAAUUCGUUGAUUUACUUACUCACGAUGGAUGUUUUUCUAUCAAAAAAAUGAAGAGGAGGACUCCCGCACAAAAUCAUUUGCUAAUAAUAGAACAUAAUACGAACAUUAGUAUAUUGUACUUAAUAUGUAAGUAAACAACAAGAGAUAUCUGAGAUUACUGAAAAUGUCGUGGGAAGAUAGCAUCUUAUACUUCGUAUGCCUAUGAAUUGCCUCUCAAAAUAAUUUAACUUUGAUGCUUCUAGAUUUAUUACCUGUUGUUAAACAAUAACUUUAAUAAAUUUGUUUAAUUAAUAAAACACGCAUUUUAUAUAAAUGAAGUAGGUACUUAUAAUAUCCAACAAAUUUUGUCUAGGACGUAAGCAAUCAAAAUCUCCACGAACUCCAUGUUCACGAGCAAAGUCAACAAGAAGCUCACUAAAAUAAUAAUAUGUUAAAACAUUGUUGACUGAAUUGGAAAAAUAUGAAGACUAAAAUUGUAACAACACAUCUAUGAAUGUUCUAGACACUACAAACCUUUUUGACAAUGCUUUAUUGAAAACAUAAUCAGCAACAAGAGAUUGAAGUACAUUGAAUGAUUGAGCAUCCACCACGUCUUCACAAAUGGAUAUGGGGAUUGACUAAAUUGAAAACAAGACAUAAUUAUUAGCUAUAUAUGUUGAGUAUCAAAAAUAAGAACAUGAUAUUAAACUAUUUGUAUUAUACCUCUGAUACUUGACGUUUUCCUAUCUUCCUUAAAUUGUGUACAAACGGGGAGAUCUUGAAUUUACUUGGUUUCCUCUCCCUUGAUGUACAUGUUUUCAUGACAUGCUCGGGAAAACCACAAAGUGCUCGUAAUGGUUCCUAAUAUGGAAAAUGUCAUUAAUAUACAUCUAUUUACUAUGGAAUGGUUAAGUAGUUGUAAAGAAAAUAAUUUUUUCUUUUCUAGGAUACAUACCUUUCCAUAAUCUCUUCUAAUUCUUUUGAUUGGUAGUGGUAAAAUAUCAACAUUUUUGUCUGGAAUGAUAUGCAUUUUAAUUGAUGUAGCAAAUGCAUCUUCAUUCUUUCCAUUCAAGUCCUCAGUGCAUAACUUGUCAAUUAACAAAGUGUGAACAUAAUAUUCAUUUCCUUUGUUAUUGUCCUUAUCUUCCAAACUUCUCUCGCAUGAGAGAAUGUCAUUCUUCGUUCCCUCCUCGUGCAUUCUCAAAGGUUUUUCGCUUGACCCAAGGAAGAGACCUUUCAAUGUAGUAUAUUUCUCCUCAAAUUCAAUAAAAACUUUUUCACAACUACUACUACUUGCACCAUGAGACAAAUCAAUUAGAUGUGUCUUUAAUUGUUGAAAGGUUUUAUCCAUCUCCAUUAAGCUCCCACCAUCAACCUAGUGAUAUAUAGGAAAUUCAUUAAUAACAUCAUAAUACAAGGGUUCACUACUAAUAUUGAUAGUCACGAUGAAUAUUGUAAAACUUACUCAUUUAAUAACAUCUUUGUUUGGAUUGAGUUCAAAUUUCUCAUCCUCCUCAUUCUCCCCCUCCAUUGUCUUCGCAUUUUCAUCAAUGCAAUCCCUUAUCUCAUUUUGUAUCAUCCAUAUUUUGACCUACAAUAUAUUCAAAAUAUAACACAUAUCAUAUUUAAAUUCACUAAAAACUUAAACCAAUAUUAAACGACUUUUGAAACUAUAACUUACAUUGUCAUUCACAUAUCCACCCUGUUUUUUCAAUCUUCAUUUCAUAUCCAAUACUUCAUCAUCUCUCCAAGCAGUAAUCCGAGGAGAAGGUUGAGUAUAUAGCGGUAGAAAUUUCUCUUCGAACGAUAUAUGCUCGUGGUAGAAUAACUGCAAUUAUAUUUUACAUAGAUAUAUAGUUAGUUCACAAAUUUUAUUAUAACAAAUUCGAAAUUCACUAUGAUGUAAAUUAUGUACAAGGACAUUACCAUUAAAAACAAUAAGCAACCAAAAACCCCACUUUUUUGGUUCAUCUUAAACUCUUCAAUCCCGUGCACAAGAUAAGACAACACAAUUUCAGCCCAAUUCAACUUUUUUAUUUAAUCGAUGUCUUCCACAAGAUGUAAGAAAGAACAUUUCACAAAACACUUCAUUGUUGGAUACAAUAAUGCACCCAACACAAAUAAUACAAAACGAACUUUGAAAUCGUUUCCACCUUCUUUAUCCUCCCUAAUAUGAUUUUCUAAAAUCACUAAUGGCAAUCACCCCUUUUUAUCACAAUAUUUUUUACAUAAAUCAUUCUUAUGGCUAACAUCUUUGUUCAUGUCAAUCUUCAACCCUCUUGUCCUCAAUCCCAUAAUAAAUUCAACACCAAUGGAGGAUAAUUUGAUACAAGUAUUAUACAACUCUAACAUAUAAGUGUUCGGAUUGAAACUAUUUAUCAACUAAAGACAUAACCCAUGAUCAAUUUUCCUACAUCGAAGUUGCAAGAGGUUACCAAAUCUUAUUUCUUCUAUGGUUGCUUUUUGCUUUGGUUCUAAUUCUUCAAUAACUCUAAUCACUUGCUCGGGUGAGCAUCAAGUCUGAAGAUAUAACUGAAAAGAUACACAAACCUCAAACAUGUUUACAUUAAUAUAAUUUGCAACAAAUACAUAAGUAAUUGAAUUUUAUAUUCAUUACAAAAAAUUUACCUUUGGACCCACACCCUUUUGAAGUGAAUAUUGUUUUGAACUUUCUUUUAACUUUGCCAUGAAAUCUUCUUUUUCUACUUUUGAAAGUGCAUUCCACUUCUUGCUCAAUUUAAAUUCUUUUUAUAAAAUGUAAUUAUAUUAGUCACAACAAUAUUACUCCUUACAUCAUCAUUUAUCUUCACUCCUUUAUCCUUCUCUUUGAUCAUGGUCAAUUGAUCGUUACUACAAAAAAAAUUCAAACAAAUAUAACUAUAACAACCACAAAAAAAUAAAUAAAAAAACAUAUUCUUUUACAUAUUUCUAUUUUCCCUUACUAAUAAUGUAUCCAAGCUCCGAUAGGCCUCUUUGGAUUUCUAACAACUUCAACACCAUCGCGUUCGCUCCUAAAAAUUAAAUCAAAUCAUUUAAGUCAAUUUUUAUAAUAUGAUUUCAGAUAUAAUAAAUCAAACAUACUUUCACCACCACUACAAAAUCCUCCCUAAAUCUCUGUACAUUUUACAUGGUCACAUAUUAAUUAAUACCCUUUUCUCUAAAUUUAUUGUUGAGUAGCUAAGGGUCUAAGAGAAGUUUUUUGGCUGUUGUGAAAAGAAAUAGGUUCUCUUGCAAAAAUGAGCCAAUCUUUUGAAAGUAAUUCACCUAAUGAAGAAUGGGAGUCUAUUGUAUACAAUUUACAACUAAAUUCUGGUUUUUGUUGUGGUUUAACUGUUAUAUUUCCUUAAAAUUCUAAAUCAAGUCAACCAGCAAUAUGCAUUUCGAUUUUCAAUCAUUUUUUUUCCUCAUAAUUUAUUUGAUUUGCAGUUUCAUGAUGAUGACAUCAUUUUAAUAAGCAUUUAAGAAGGAAAUUUAUGAAGAAGAUCAAUUGCAUCUUUCUUAUGCUUUAGGCUCCCAGUUGAUUUUGAUAUUUGUCUUUACAAUUAUUGCCAGGAAGAUCUAUACUAUCCACAUCCACUGGUUCAGGAUAUUCUAUGGGCAUCUCUUCAUAAGGUGUUUGAGCCUAUUUUGGGGCAUUGGCCCGGAAACAAGUUGAGAGAGAAGGCCUUAUGCACUGUAAUGCAACAUGUACACUAUGAAGAUGAGAAUACACGGUAUAUAUGCAUAGGGCCUGUGAACAAGGUACAUGUGAAGUAUAGAAAGGUCCUUUGAACUGCAAUAAAUGUAGUGAUUACUAAGGUCAAUAAAUGUACCGAUUACUAUUAAUUAAGAACUAAACCAGUUAGCUUCUUUAGUUCUACCACUCUACUCAGGUGCUCUUGAUCUAAUUGUCUGUUCUUUUCUGUUCCAUGAAGCUCUUGAUUUCCUGUUAUCUGAUUUGUACAGGUGUUAAAUAUGCUUUGCUGCUGGAUUGAAGAUCCAAACUCAGAGGCCUUUAAGUUGCAUAUCCCAAGAAUUUUUUAUUAUUUGUGGAUUGCUGAAGACGGCAUGAAAAUGCAGGUCCGUAGUCUUUCUAGUUUAUCUCGGUGUGCCAUUUCCAUUUUAUUGGAAAUUAUUGAAUUUUAUUAUCUAUCUGUUUACUGCAGGGUUAUAAUGGAAGUCAAUUAUGGGAUACUUGUUUUGCUGUUCAAGCAAUUAUUUCAGCAAACCUAGGUGAAGAGUAUGGUCUGACUUUAAGGAAGGCACACCAAUUCAUAAAAAAUUCUCAGCUUCAUGUUGCUAUUGAAGUUUGAUCUCAUAAAUCACCUACGUAUAUUAGCAGUUGUCCAUAAUGAUUUUACUCGACUAUUCCUACUUUGUUUUCAAGGUCUUAGAAGAUUGUCCUGGAGAUCUGAAAUUUUGGUAUCGUCACAUUUCCAAAGGUGGUUGGCCAUUCUUAACUGCUGAU
This 109618-nucleotide long non-coding RNA is filed under the name Vitis vinifera (wine grape). RNAcentral's name for it is "long non-coding RNA (VVIN_LNC003052)". Lineage: Eukaryota; Viridiplantae; Streptophyta; Magnoliopsida; Vitales; Vitaceae. The record is from RNAcentral.